CCAGUUGUCAUGUGGAGGAGUUUUGGUUUGUUACGAAGGGUGGUUUUAUUAUUUCCUUAGUUAUUCGCAUCGUUUUGUAUACGGGUUCCGUGUAAAUUGGAAUUCGAAUUCUAAUCGUGUCUGGUCUUAGCUCUUUGAGCAGGGUAUAAAUAUAAGCCCUAGGACCUUGUAAUAAGACAUCAAUCAAUCAAUCAAACACAUGUUUUUACUCAUAUUCCAGCAUUUACUUUUCGACGACUUCGUCAUACGUUUUCUUUUUGUUACGAGUUCUUAGGAAUUCGUCGACUCAAGCUCGGCGUAUCCUCAAGUUCCGCGUGAGUACCUCUUAGCCGUGACAUCCGGGCGCAUCGCUGUUGUCAGGACUAAAGUAUUCGAGUUAUCACCUUUGCCGAUAGUAAGGUCAAAUCGGCUGGCACGCCUUAACGUUUGGAUCGGGUAUUAGCCCUUUGUGUUUGCAGAUUAGUUUUUGCAUCAACAGAUAUGAUGAAUAGUUGCUCUGCCUAAUUUGCACAUUUUAAGUUCUCUCUCAAGUUUAGAUAUAACUGUUAUAAUUUAAAGCUUCUAGACCUAAACUUGUGGGAUAAAAAUUUGAUAUGAAGUCUAAGUUGUUAAAGGAUACGAUAUGGGAAGGUUGAGCUGCUGUUUAUCUGUUCCUAGAUAUGCUAGAAUUCUGGAGAAUUUAUCUUUAAAAAUCUUUAAGCAUGAUGAGUUCCUGUAUGAUGAGAGUUUAAAUUCCUACCACAGCCAUAUAUACAUGCUUGCUAGACUUUGAGCCACAACAUUUACUAUUUACUGCUUAUGAGCAUUGAGUGUGGUCAAGCUGUGUAGACCCUUAGGAGCUUGUCAUGUGGUUAAAUCAAGAUUCACUUGCACGUUCACUCAUACAUGCUACUUCUACUCCGGAAGUACCAUCCACAUAUAUCCACUCAUUUCCAUCUCCAGAAUCACCCAAAAAUAUUCUACUCCUAAUCCAAGAGAGAAUAACCAAAAAUAUUUCUGUUUUUCCCUGUGAAAUAAAUGCUCAAGUUAUCUUGUUACUACCACUUGCUAUAUUAUCUCAAGAGAUGAGUGCUCUAAAAAAAGAGAAAAAAAGAUACGAGGAAAUAAAAAGGGGCAAGUGCCCGGAACCUCGAAAGAAAAGAAAAAAAAUGAGACGAGAGGUAAAAAUGGACAAAUGUCCGACAGUAGAAUUAGGGGUACAAGAUACCCACCUGAUAGGAAAGAAAAAGAAAAGAAAAUAAGAGCAUCUCAUUCUCCUCAUAAAGUUUCAGAAAGCAAGGAAGGUAUGUAUCCCCUCAAAGAGCAAAAGUAGAAUUAGAUUUUCACCAUUGUUACCACCAUCAUCACCAUACAUCAUUCAUUCGCCACACAUGCACAUCUUGAUUUGGCUUAUUGAUUUGUUUCUUUGGAUCCAUGGUUUGACUAUGCAAUAAAUGUCUUGUAAGUAUUUAUACUUUAUCUCCCACCUAUGAGCUCCAGAUAUUAAAGCCUUAUUAGAGUAGGGUGAGAGAUAAGACAAUGUCACUAUGCUUCAUACCACAAAUACCACAUAUUUUGAGAGAAGGCAUAUACCAUCACUGCUUUGGUAAGGAUCCAGAAAUACAACAAAAGACAGAUCUGAGAGAGUCAUACAAGGAAUCUCUGAGUUUUAUUUGAAAAUCUGCAAAAACUCCAGAGCUUGCUGAUCAAGAAUAAGAGACAUGGCACUUGGCUAGACUGUUCUAUCUUUUAACCACUCAAGAUGAAAGUGACGGUUACAAGUCCCAUGGUGAAAGGAAAAGUAAGUAAGUUUUAAGUCUUGACAGUUUACUCUAACUCAGAGAUAAGAUCUUAUUUAAAAGCAUUUGUACCGUCAAUUUUUUAAAGAUAUUGCAACAACUUAUGAUCCAUUGCUGAGUCUAUCCUUGCUCAGGGACGAGCAAGAGGUAAGCUUGGGGGAGUUUGUUGACGGUCCUUAAGUAUCAAAUUUAAUUAUCAAAUAAAUAAAGAAAAGGAUCCAAAUGAAAUCAACAUCUAGACUUAGGGUUUUAUCUGACAGAAUUCCAUGAGUUUUGGUAUUUGUCUAUUUCUACAGGGGGUUAUCAGGAAAUAUGGAAGAUAGGCCCACAUGUCGGGAUUACAUAGAGAUAUUAACGUGCAGCGCAAUUAUCUGACAUCUAGAAGACUCCAGAAGCCACGGGAAGCAAGCGGAGGCCGAACGGGGCCAGAGGCAGGGCGCCCGCCCUGUUUCCCUGGGUGCCCGCCCUCUGUUGGAGUCCAAUCAGGACUCUGUUUCAUGGGAGAUCUCCACCGACCUAAAGGAUCAAGGAUAACCGUUCAAUCUAAGUCGGUUUGAUCCAACGGCCCAUAUUCACUUGAAGGGACUAUAAAACCAGACCCCCUGGCCCCUGGAGGAGAGAGCCUCUCAACCCUAAUUCAUUGUUCUUCAAGGGAGAAGAAGCCUCUGAUCAAGAUUAGAGCCACCACAUCAAUUAAAUAUCUAGAUUAGCAUAGCUACAGAGGAUUAGAACUAGAAGGAGUGAAUCUUCGAUUGGUUUUCGGAUCUGUCAAGAGGAUUCUUGGUAAUUCUCUAAUUGUGCUUCUAAUUGCUUUCUAAUUAUCUUUGUUCUUCAAUAUUAUGAAUAUGACUUUGUUCUACUUCAAUAUAUUGCUUAUGACUUUGCUCUACUUGUUUAUAUUCAAGAUUAUAUUGUUCUUAGUUUAUCAUAGUUACGUACUUGGCUUAGUUAGAUUGGAUCUAUAUACAUGCUUAGGAUCGUAUAGCGUUUAUCCAUCGGAUCCAUGGGUAAAUGAUAGAUAUUGUGUAGGCGUGGUGCUUAUACCGUAUUUAUCUGCGAUUGUACCCAAUAUGCCAGAUUGUGGGGUAGUUCAUGAUAGUGACAGCUUCAUUGAUGCUUAUAUAGUCCCCCUCUCGUUUAUUGGGCUGGCAGAGCAAUAUUAUUACAGGGGAGUGAUUGCUAUGUUUCUCAUUUACCUUGCUAAUAUCACUAUGCAUGGGCGUAGUCUUGUCUCGCAAUGAUUGCUAAGUAUGCUUGCACUAACUAUGAUAAUGCUAGACUAUAUAGUUGAGAAUAACUUAGGAAAUAUUCUUAUAUUUCGUUCUAAUACCAUGCUAAUGACUUUCUAGAGUAUCUAAUUGAGGUGCUUAUCAUAUUUAUUAUGUGGCUAAGUUAUGAUCAGAUUAAUUAUCUUUGUCACUAUUCAUUAUUUCAUAUAUCCUUUAUGUGACACUUACCCCUGUAUGAAAGAGUUAGAUAAAUGUUCUCAAUUAUACAUGCAAUGAUAGAUGCUCAAUCUCAUAUUCUAUUCUGUAAUCAAUAUUGAUGAUUGCUAAUCCCUUCCUAGUGGUAAAAAUAUAAAUAACGAUACCUAGAAUACUUCCCGGUUAAAAUGCUACAUCGGUAUUAAUCUGUGCGCUUGCAGAUCCCAUUCAUUAUUAAUUUAGAAGAGCAAUUGCAUAUUUCAAUACCGCGUCUGUCAUAUCAUGCUGGGGAUGACAACUUGGCUUAAGUGGUAUGAGGGAUAGGUUUGGCAUUUUUGGCACCGUUACUAGAAUUAGAAAAUUAAGUCUACUUUUGGUAGUGAUGUUAAGAAUACCCAACAGUGCUUAUCAUAUUUAUAUGUGGCUGAUUAGAUCAAUUAUCUUUGUCACUCUUCAUUAUUUCAUAUAUCUUUUAUGUGACAUUUAUCCCUAUAUGAAAGAGUUAGAUAAAUGUUCUCAAUUAUACAUGCAAUGAUAGAUACUCAAUCUCAUAUUCUAUUCUGUAAUCAAUAUUGAUGAUUGUUAAUCCCUUCCCAGUGGUAAAAAUAUAAAUAACAAUACCUCGAAUACUUCCCGGUUAAAAUGCUACAUCGGUAUUAAUCUGUGCGCUUGCAGAUCCCAUUCAUUAUUUAUUUAGAAGAGCAAUUGCAUAUUUCAAUACCGCAUCUCUCAUGUCAUGCUGGGGAUGACAACUUGGCUUAAGUGGUAUGAGAGAUAGGUUUGGCAUUUUUGGCACCGUUACUAGGAUUAGAAAACUAAGUAUACUUUUGCUAAUGAUGUUAAGAAUACCCAACAUCUAUCACCACGAAGUCUGCUGGGGCGUACAAGGUACCAACUCGGACGCAGAGGUUCUUUAAUAUUCCCUUUGGGAAACUUAGUGUCUGAUCUGCAGGCAUGCCGAUGGAGAUCGGGAUGACGGUGCGUCCUGGAUUGCCUCUCUUGACUGGCAGAAGGUUAGUAAUUACUUCCACAACGGGGUUACUCCAGUAGUUACGUCCUCAAGCAUCUCAGGGCAGUGAUUGCCUAACCGUCCAGUAUCUCCAGUGUGUUUGUGCUUGUAGAUCUAGGUUCUUCACUUGGUGGAGUCUGGGAGUUGUAAAACUCCUUCAUAUGCUACUCGAAGUGUACCUGCUCAUAGAGACAAGGGCAGAGAUCAAGUGCAUGGGCUCUGUUGGUGGAAAACACCAACAGAACCAAAAGUGUAUUUGUUCUUCUCUAACCUUAAGCAUAGUGAGCAAGACAGAGUUGAUAGAUAAUAAGAUCAUGACUGUAGCAUUUAAAACAUUUGUCAGAUCAGAUCACUCAACCUAAUGGAAAGAUAAUCUAUCUAUACUUAUGUUUUUUUAUAUAUAUCUUCCAAAGAUUGAGUGUGCAACAUUUUAGCUCAUAAGAUUAGGAGUGUGGGAUCACAAAGGUGGAAGGACUAAACAGGUUGAAUCGAUUGGGUUGGUUAAUCUAGAGUUGUAAAUCAUACAUGUUUGUCUCUUUUAUUCAUGUGAACGCCAGAACCAAGGAGAAGCUUAUAGAAGUGAUAGUCAAGUACCUUAAGAUGUUACCUUACAUGAAGAGUGAUGGUACAAUAUCACCUUAUGGAAGCUUUCCUUUCUUAGCAGUUGUGCAUCAUGUUUGUGGCACCCUCCAUGGAUCAUCUCUUGUGAGCUAUGCCUUCCUUGUGUAAGUUGUUAACCUUCAUGUGUCUCUCUUUGUCUCCAAUGUGAGUUUAUCUCAGGACUUCCCAGGUCGAUAUUGAAUAUUUUCCUGCAAGGGUUAGUCCAACAAAAUAUCCAAUAUCUACUAUAGCAUACUAUCGGCUCAAAAAUCAACCUAGACACCAUGUCUAAUUUGAUUUAGGAGGGCAUCUUAACCUAAGCAUCAUGCUUAAAUUAAAAUCCCUUGGAACUAAGAUCAUCAUUCCUAAACUAAGCACCAUGCUUAAUUAAGAGAUAAAUGAAACUACUCCAAACCUAGUCAUAUACUAAAGCAAAUAAAGGUAGCACGGGAGCAUUUAUAGAAGUCUACUCAUGUGGAGAUGAAGUAGUGUGAUUAGUAUUUAACAAAUUGAGCAUGUCUCAAAGGUAGGGACAACCAAUAUAGAAACAUGGCAAAGGAUGAUUUUAUGUAAAGUUCUCCCUUAAGCUUGAAUUUUGCAAAAUUCAAGUUUGGAUGAAUUUAAUUCAAUGUUGUAUGAUGAUUGGUUGGACAUACCUUGUGCUUGUCAUUCAUCCGAUCUUCUUGCUCCAAUCCUGGAAAGGUUAGUGACAAGAAUACCCGAAGGAAUAUUUUCACAAUUAUCCUUAUAUGCUCAAUACACAAGGUAAUGCUGCAAAUAAUUAAAAGCUCAUGUUACGAUCUGAUAAGUGCUUGUUUUAGGACACUAAGCUUGUCCUUGGGAAACCAUCAAUUUAUGUCGGCAAAGUGGUUUCCCCUCCAACGCUGACCUAUAUCAAGAUCAACUCAACAAGAUCUACAAUAUUUAAUAUAGACAUAUGCAAUGACAACCGCCCUUUUAAAGUUUUUAUAAAAAGAAAGGAUGAGGGGGUUGGAGAUCUUGAAUGUGGUGAUGUUGGAAAAACCAAUGGAUUGGGAAGAUGUUGCAUAUGAGUGUGGAGUAAAUGAAGUGGCUAUGAAAUAAAUUCCAUGCUCAUUAAUGCUUAGAGUGAAAUCCAUGAGCAUACUCAAAUGAUAAGGUGAGUGUGGUAAAAAAGGAAAAGAAAAAGGAUACACGGACGACUUAGUUCAAAACUAGCACAGCUACCGUUCCCUGGCAACGGCGCCAGAAAUCUUGUUGGGUAUUUUAAACGCAAACAGAAAAAUCCGCAAGCGCACGGAUACCGAUGUAGCUUUCACCCGGGAGUAUUCCAGAGUAUUGAUUUUCCACAGGGAACGUGAGUGUACUAAUUAAGAUCCAAGAUCGCCCAAGGAUAACUAUAUAAUUAUUUUUGGUGGGAAGAGAGAAAGUUUCCUGAGAGUUCUCUAGUUGAUCUAAGAAUCAAGAAUUACUUCAAGAUUAUCUAUUUCGGGACAUCAGAACACUAACCACAGAAAUAGAUGAGAAGGGGGCUAGGAAGCUCUGACUACGGUCCUACAAACACCGAUCCGAACGAGGUGGAAUACGUCGACAGUUAGGGCUGUCACUACCCUAGGGCUACCACAACAAUCCGCAGGAUUAGGUGCAAUUCCAGGUAAUUGCAAGACUAAACACCACGUCUAAUCUAUUAAUUACUACUCUAGUGUUUCAAAGACUAGAGCACUUGAUGCAAGCGGGAAUCCAAUAAAUAACUUGAAUGUAAAUAAAGUAAUUAAAGAACUCAGGAAUUAUGAAUUGAAGAACCUAGAGAACGACGAAGAACGAACCAGUUGCUGCAAAAGUACAAUGUUGAGGAAGAUCCGACAGAUCCGGCUCGUCCUCCUCCGCUCUCCUCUUCUCUCUCUCUAUUUUCUAGAUUACAACUAGAACUAACUAGAACUAGAACUAGAGGAACUAGAACUAGAACUAGAUGCACUAGAACUAGAACUAGAUGAACUAGAGGUAGAACUAGAUGAACUAGAGGGAUCCUCUCUACUUGGAUGAAGAAUUGAAACCCUAACUUUGAUUCUGUAGAAGAGGUAUGAUCUCCAGGGGCCAGGGGACCUUGCUUAUAUAGUCUUUUCAGAUGAAUCUGGGCCGUCGGAUAAAACCGACAUUGAUUGCACGGUUUUCCUUGACCUUUAGGUCGGUGGAGGAUGAUCCCCGAGUUGUACCCUGAUUGGGCAGAAUAGGAGGGCGGGCGCCCUAAGGACUAGGUAGGGCGCCCUGUCCCUGAGCCCUCUCGGCUUCCACUUUGUUUUCGUGGCUUCUGGAGCCUUCUAGAUGAUAGAAAAUUGCGCAGCACGUUCAUAUCUCUAUGUAAACCCGACGUGUGGGCCUUUCUUCCGUAUUUCCUGAUAACCCCCUGUAGAAAUAGACAAACACCAAAACUCGUGGAAUUCUGUCAGAUAAAACCCUAAGUCUGGGUGUUAGUUGCAUUUGGAUCCUUUUUCAUGAUUAGUUGAUGGUUCAAUGUGAGCAUUAAGGACCGUCAACAAGCUCCCCCAAGCUUAACCUUUGCUCGUCCCUGAGCAAAGAUGGACUCAAGAGUUUCUGCAGUGGUUUCAUGCCUUAAAGAUACACAUGCGUUCAAACAAGAUCUCAUCUCUGGGUUAGGGUAAACUGUUAAGAUUUAAACUUACUCAUUUCACCUUCCACAGUGGGGCUUGCAACCAUCACUUGUGUCUUGAGCAGUUAAAAGAUAGAACGGUCUAGUCACGCGCCAUGUCUCUUGUUCUUUAAUUAACUAUAGCUCUUGAGUUUUUGUAGAUUUUCAAAUAAAACUCAGAGAUUCCUUGUAUGACUCUCUCUAGUCUCUCUUUGUGGUAUUUCUGGAUCCUUACCAAGGCAGUAAUGGUGUAUGCCUUCUCUCAAAGUAUGUGGUAUUUUUGGUAUGAGGCAUAGUGGCAUUGCCUUCUCUCUCACCCUACUCUAAUAAGGUUUUGAUAUCUGGAGCUCAUAGGUGGGAGACAGCUAAUACAUACUUACAAGACAUUUAUUGCAUAGUCAAACCAUGGAUCCAGAAGAACAAGUCAAUAAGUCAAAUCAAGAUGUGCAUGUGUUGCGAAUGAAUGGUGUAUGGUGAUGAUGGUGAUAACAAUGGUGAAAGUCUAAUUCUACUUGUGCUCUUUUGAGGGAAUACAUACCUUUCUUGCUCUUUUGAAACUUUUUUAGGAGAAUGAGAUGCUCUAUAUUUUCUUUUUCUUUUCUCUCAGGUGGGUAUAUUGUACCCCUAAUUCUACUGUCGGACACUUGUCCAUUUUUACCUCCUGUCUCACUUUUUCUUUUCUUUCGAGGUUCCGGGCACUUGCCCCUUUUUAUUUCCUCGUAUCUUCUUUUUUUUAGAGCACUCACCUCUUUAAAUAAUGUAGCAAGUUGUCACACCCGGAUGUAAAAGAGCAUUCGGGUGCCAAAUCACAUGUGCGCCAGGAUCACAAAUUCACACACAUGGACCGACAUCAUCAAUGGUACAAAACACAGUGUUCAAACGAAUUACAUAAAUGAGAGUAAAAGUACCAUUAUUACAAGCCAAAUGUUUAUCAAAGUGCGGAGGGGAAACAUAAACUAAACUGUUCCAUAAAUAAAGGGAAAACUAAACGCCGACGUAGCAGGACCACCUUGCCACAGGAAGGUCGACGGCAGAACCACACGAGCCUAACAACCAGGAGACUCAGGGUAGUCCUCAGGGAAAUCGCAAUUGUACUCCUGAUCGUCCGAGCAACCUUUAAUGAUUAUAGCAAGGGUGAGCUCAUGUCGAACUCAGCAAGCACAGACGGAAAGUAAUGACAUGCAAGGCUUAAAACAAGGUAAAGCUGACUUGGUUUGACUGCGGUAGCAUUUUAGUUGAUCGCUUUUAAUUAUAACAAUUACUAGAACAACCUAUUACUAAAUAUGAGUAGCAUAAACCCAACCCUUAAUUAGUGUAAGUAGUAAUUAGCAUCUUUUAAAAGACUAUUCUAAUUAUUAUAGUAAUCCAGGGAUUAACCCCAAUUAAUACCACAGGAUAGCAUUCCUGCCAUCACGGAAUAGCCAUUCCGCCAAAACCCGAGGUAGCAACCUCGCCAAGGUCCAUCUCCAAGCAACCAGUGAAUCCAAUUUGCUCAUCAAGUGAGGGUCUGGGCCGCUCGUGACCGUGAGCACGGCUGAUAUAUCAGUUUUACACUCUGCAGAGGUGUGCACGUUCACUCCAAGUCGUGAUUCCCAUUUGCCCGGGGUCGCGACUCCCCAAAACACUUCCAAGGUGAGCAGGCAGGGUCUCACUACGAGACCUUUCACAGGGUCCAACUAAUAGGAUGCCACUCGCAAGUUUUUGCCGGGGCGCUCGGCAGUCGAUACCCAUAGCCAUGGCGUACCGAUCAACCGACAACUUAAUAUUCAUUACCCAAGUUACUUCCUCACGCCUACCCGGAAAGUAACACCCUACUAGUGGAGGUCCUGCUAAUUAGUCAAGCCAGAGCCAUAUAGCUUGGAGCUGCACUGUAUGUCCCAGGGGGCCGCUCCCUGACUAAGUCCUUACGGAGAGCAGAGACGGGAACGCCCGGCAAACCGGACCACCAACGGUACCCGCUCCCCCUGUCACCACCAUCAUCACGAUGCUCGUAAGCAUCCAACAUCGCCAUCACCGCAGUGACCAAAGAUUCAGCACAAUUUAAGCAUCAAGUUGAGUAGAGACUAAUACUUGUUUAGGCAUGUGUAUAAGAUGAGUAGAGCAGCUAAGCAAACCUAGUAUAGCCUAGUCUACCCAAAUACAUAACCCCAGGUGAGCAAGGAAUAAUAAGUGAAGCUAGUCAUGUCCUUAGGGUUUGCAUUCAUUGGACACAUGCAUAUAAAGUAAAUGACAUUAAUGAGUAGGUUCAAAAUGAUCAAACAGUGUCUGCACUUGCCUUGAUCGAAGUCGGGUUGCUCGAACUCAGCGGGAUCCUGUACCUCUUCCUUCACGAACGUCUCGUUGGCUAAACGCGACAAUCAUCAAUCAUAGGAACAAUACAUGCAAGCAAACAAACUUAAUCAGAAACAGUACACCAAGGCAUGCGAAAGCAUAAAGCAACUGCACUACUGUAUUCUACUCGAUGAAACGAAACCAUAGCGACCAGAAUCACCUAAAUCGGAGUUACGACGCAAAAGUUAUGGCUAAAACAAGUUAAAUGGCAUUUCUGUAGAUAAACUGAACUAUUUUUCGUAAUAAAACUAAUUAAAAACUGAAUUAAAAAGCAUUUAGGAUUAAAUAUAUAAAUUCUAACGGGUGCAGGGGCUAAACUGUAAAAGCAGGGGCAUAAAUUAAAUAAAUCUAAAACUAAAUAGAGCGCGGGUUGAUUUCAAAGAAACCCAGGGGGGUUUUUGCAAAAACGCAGGGGCGCGCGGGGACCGUGGCCGUCCUGGCCACGUGGCGGCUUGCGGCUGGCGGGUCCACGGUGGACCGGGUGCGGCGCGGGGUGCACCGGUCCACGGUGGACCGGGGGGGCGCGCGGGGCAGCAUGGACUCGGUCCACUGGACCGGCCGUGCGGGGGCGCUGGGCCGCGGUCCACGGUGGACCGCGCGCCGGAGCGGGCACGCGCAGGCGGCGGGGCGGCCGGCCGCGGCGGCGCUAUGCGCGGCGGCGCCAUUGGAGCGGGCCGGAGCUUGCGGGGAUGACGGCGCAGGGCACGGGAAGGCACGCCAAGGGCACGGGCGUGCGCGGCUUGCCACGACGAGCGCGAUGGCGGGCUUACCUUCGCGAGCGGACGACGACAAGGAGAAGGCUGACGGCGGCGGCGCGGAUUCCGAUGGCGGCGCUGCGGAAAACGGCGAGCUCGGGCUAGGGUUUCGCGUAGGGGCGCGUGCGGGCGAGGCCGAGGCUUUAAAUAGGACGGUGGUCCCGGGGUCCUCGAAACGCGAGCGGGCGCGGAAGCCGGAGUCGGUUGCGGCCGAGUCCGUUCCGGCCGGAGGAGGAAGACGGCGGGNNNNNNNNNNNNNNNNNNNNNNNNNNNNNNNNNNNNNNNNNNNNNNNNNNNNNNNNNNNNNNNNNNNNNNNNNNNNNNNNNNNNNNNNNNNNNNNNNNNNNNNNNNNNNNNNNNNNNNNNNNNNNNNNNNNNNNNNNNNNNNNNNNNNNNNNNNNNNNNNNNNNNNNNNNNNNNNNNNNNNNNNNNNNNNNNNNNNNNNNNNNNNNNNNNNNNNNNNNNNNNNNNNNNNNNNNNNNNNNNNNNNNNNNNNNNNNNNNNNNNNNNNNNNNNNNNNNNNNNNNNNNNNNNNNNNNNNNNNNNNNNNNNNNNNNNNNNNNNNNNNNNNNNNNNNNNNNNNNNNNNNNNNNNNNNNNNNNNNNNNNNNNNNNNNNNNNNNNNNNNNNNNNNNNNNNNNNNNNNNNNNNNNNNNNNNNNNNNNNNNNNNNNNNNNNNNNNNNNNNNNNNNNNNNNNNNNNNAGUCGGCCCAGGCGGGGGCAGGGGCAGGGGGCGCCGCGGGCUCUGCGGCUGGGCCGCUGCUGGUCCUUUCGGGAAGAGGGGGGGGGGGGAAAGCGCUGCCCAUUUUUCUUCUUUUUUUUUGUAAAAUUUCUUGCUCCAAAACAAAACAAAACAAGCACCAGCAACAAUAAAUAAAAUCAAGCAAAAAUUAUGCGGCAGCAUGAAUGCAAUCUCAAACAUGUUUCUACCUUAUAUUUAAUUUUAUUUAAUUUUGUAAAUUAUUUAAUAAUUCCCAAAAAUUCAAACUAAGCCAAAAUUAAAUCAAAUUUAAACUAAAUUUGAAAUUCAAAAAUUUGGAGUGUUAUACAAGUGGUAGUAACCGAAACAACUUGAGCAUUUAUUUCACAGGGGAAAACAGAAAUAGGAGAAUGUUUUUGGCUAUUCUCUCCCAGAUUAGGAGUAGAAUAUUUUUGGGUGGUUUUAGAGAUGGAAAUGAGUGAAUGUAUGUGGAUGCAUACUUCCAGAGUAGAAGCAACAUGUGUGAGUGAAUGUGCAAGUGAAUCUUGAUUUAACCACAUGACAAGCUCCUAAGGGUCUACACAGCUUGACCACACUCAAUGCUCAUAAGCAGUAAAAAGUAAAUGUAUGGUUCAAAGUCUAGCAAGCAUGUAUAUAUGGCUGUGGUAGGAUUUUAAACUCGCAUCAUACAGGAACUCAUCAUGCAACAUUUUAAGGAUCUUCAAAGAUAAAAUUCUCCAGAAUUCUAGCAUCUCUAGGAACAGAUAAACAACAGCUCAAGCUUCCCAUAUCGUAUCCGUUAACGACUUAGACUUUAGAUCAAGUACACUUCCCACAAGCUCAGGUUUAGAGCAAAUCUUAAUUAAUAACAGUCAUGCCUAAACUUGAGAGAGAUUUCAAUUUUGAGAAUUAGUCAUGGCAGAGCAACUAUUCAUCAUUUCCAUGUGAGAGCUUAUCAUGAGGGUUCAUAGCAAACUUUAUUUAUUUAUUUAUUUAGCAAACUAAGCAAAGAUAUAUAUAUAUAUAUAAUAUAUAGCACAAAAUCUUUAUUUGGGUUUAUAUGAUUAUGCAUCUUUUUAUUAUUAGAGUAAAAUAUAAAAGAGAGUAGAACACUUAGCUGGAUAAAUGGGGGUGCUCUCCCCCAAGCUAGAUUUUGACGUAGUUCCUUUUGAUGUAGCAGGUGGCGGAGGUGUAUUUGAAUGUCGGCAGCACCCUAACAGUGAUUAGGAUGUCCUCCGUCUGAUAGUCUUCUUUGAUCCUUGAAUUCUGUGGAGCUCAAAUAGACAACAAAGCUUUGUGGAACUGGUUAAGUGUUAGCAUAAAUUUCUAGCCUUUAUCAUGUUGAGCCUCCUCAAUAAAUGUUACUCUCUUUAGUAGAAUCAUAAAUUUAUUUUUAUAAUUUUGUUUUUAUAGGACAGGAAUAUAUUUAUUUAAUUUUUAUGCCACCAUAGUGAAUGUACUUAUGGGUUUUAUGCCAUGAGCAUACUCACAUGGGGCUUACUAUUUUUAACAUUUUUAUUUUCUUUUCAAGAUAGCAUGAACCUGAUUGACUAAGCAAACCAUUUUAAAUAAUUGAAAGGAAAAGAAUAACUACCAAGUUUAGCUCUUGGCAAGGUGUUCGGUGUUUUUAAGUCCUCCGAACGGGACUCUCCGUUUUCUCAGUCGUCUUAGGAUUCGCUGGAUGGCGUAGUCGGUGGUUUCGGCGGCGCCUGAUCUUCAUGUAUAACUAUCUUCUCUCUACACACCUGACUCAGUGCUACGGUCUCCUCGGGACAGUUCUGUUCAAGUUGUAUGUCUUUAGACCUUACCACCUCUGCUUCAUAGUCCGCCCAUCCGUCCUUGAUAAUUUGCCUCCUCUGGUUGCGGUUGCGUCGUCUUCUUCUUGUCCUGACCUACUUAAAGUCUUCAACGAUAUAGUUAGGGUCAGUAAAAUAGCGGCGUACCUUCUCUGAGGGGAAGUGCAUGUGGACUUCUCCGGUUCCAAUGUAGAUGACUGUUUUAACGGGGUUGAGGAAUGGUCUGACAAGGAUGAUGGGUGGAUAGUACUCGUCUUCUCCCAUGUCAAUAACCUGAAAGUCUUUUGGAAUGUCUGAUCUGCCAUCUGGAGCUGAAUGUAUGUUGGUUUUAGGGGCAUGGUUCCGAACAGGAGCUGAUAGGUGACUGCGGCCAUUAUGUUGAUGCCCGACUGUUGACGGUCCUUAAUGCUCACAUUUAACCAUCAACUAAUUAUGGAAAAGGACUUAUAUGCAACCAACACCUAGACUUAGGGUUUUAUCUGACAGAAUUCCACGAGUUUUGGUGUUUGUCUAUUUCUGUAGGGGGUUAUCAGGAAAUAUGAAAGAAAGGCCCACACAUCGGGUUUACAAAGAGAUAUUAACGUGCCACGCAAUUUUCUACCAUCUAGAAGACUCGAGAAGCCACGGGAACGAACGGGAGGCUGAUCGGGCCCGGGGGCAGGGCGCCCGCCCUAUCCCCUUGGGUGCCCGCCCAGCUACAGUAACCAAUCAGCUUCAACUUCGCGGAUUGUGCUCCACCGACCUAAGGAAUCAAGGAAAACCGUGCGAUUAAUGUCGGUUUGAUCCGAUGGCCCAGAUUCAUCUGAAAAGACUAUAUAAGCAAGGCCCCCUGGCCCCUGGAGAGCAUACCUCUUCUAUAGAAUCAAAGCUAGGGUUUUCAAUUCUUCAUCCAAGUAGAGAGGAUCCCUCUAGUUCAUCUAGUUCUACCUCUAGUUCAUCUAGUUCUAGUUCUAGUUAAUCUAGUUCUAGUUCUAGUUCCUCUAGUUCGAGUUCUAGUUAGUUCGAGUUGUAAUCUAGAAAAUAGGGAGAGAGAAGAGGAGAGCGGAGGAGGAGGAGCCGGAUCUGUCGGAUCUUCCUCAACAUUGUACUUUUGCAGCAACUGGUUCGUUCUUCAUCGUUCUCUAGGUUCUUCAAUUCAUAAUCCUGAGUUCUUUAAUUAUUUUUAUUUACAUUCAAGUUAUUUAUUGGAUUCCCGCUUGCAUCAAGUGCUCUAAUCUUUGCAACAUUAGAGUAGUAAUUAAUAGAUUAGACGUGGUGUUUAGUCUUGCAAUUAUCUGGAAUUGCACCCAAUCCUGCGGAUUGUUGUGGUAGCCCUAGGGUAGUGACAGCCCUAACGGUCGACGUAUUCCACCUCGUUCGGAUCGGUGUUUGUAGGACCGUAGUCAGAGCUUCCUAGCCCCCUUCUCAUCUCUUUCUGUGGUUAGUGUUCUGAUGUCCCGAUAUAGAUAAUCUUGAAGUAAUUCUUGUUUCUUAGAUCAACUAGAGAACUCUCAGGAAACUUCCUCUCUUCCCACAAAAAAUAAUUAUAUAGUUAUCCCUGGGCGAUCUUGAUUCUUAAUUAGUACACUCACGUUCUCUGUGGAAAAUCGAUACUCUGGAAUACUCCCGGGUGAAAGCUACAUCGGUAUCCGUGCGCUUGCGGAUUUUUCUGUUUGCGUUUAAAAUACCCAACAAGCUUUCUGGCGCCGUUGCCGGGGAACGGUAGCUGUGCUAGUUUCGAACCAAGUCGUCCAUGUAUCCUUUUUCUUUUCCUUUUUUAACACACUCACCUUACCAUUUUCACCACACCACAUGGAUUUCACUCCUAUCUAUAAAUUCUUUGCUCCAAAGGGUGAGUUAUUAGAGCCACCACCAUCAUCACAUCCAAUUCUUACAGAUGGCUACGACCUCGGCCCUGAUCUAAUAGCCAUGAUUCAGGAGCAACCCUUCUCUGGGCAAGUAGAUGAAGAUCCAUACACCCACCUUAGAGAAUUCGAGCAGUUGUGCUCUUGCCGAUCUAUUUCCAGCAUGACACAAGAAACCCUUAAAUGAAAAUUAUUUCCGUUCUCCCUUUUGGGAAGAGCAAAAAAGUGGUAUGCUCAUUCUGUAGGAGGCGUUAAUGGAAAUUGGGAUGAACUUCGGGACAACUUUUGUCUCGCUUUCUUCCCACUUUUUCGAAUUGCUGACCUUAGAAUUGAAAUUCUUACAUUCAAACAAAGAGAGAAGGAAACUUUAGGAGCAGCUUGGGCUAGGUUCACAAGCCUUACCAAUUCCGGUCCAAACCUGUCCCUGCCUGACCAUGUACUGUACUACCACUUUUAUCGUGGUCUAAACAAGGAAGCUGCUCUUCACCUCGACAUUGCUUCAGGAGGCUCAUUCACACACAAACUCACAGAUGAGGGGAGAGCUAUCCUAGAAAGAAUUCUUGAAAAUACCCCUUACACAGGCAUUUAUGAUGAGUUUCCUGAAGGAGAAAAAGAAGUCGAGCCUGAUCCUAAACCAAAAGAUGAGGAACUUGCAACCGAGUUAGAAAUUCCACCUGACCCAUCCAUUAAUUUGGUUAUAGAGAAACCUCCUGAUAAAGGAAUGCAAAACCAACUAAGGGAUGAUGAACCACCACCUUUAGAGCAUCCCUUUGAAUUCGAGGAAGAUCUUUUUGAAGAUUAUGGAAACACCUCAAAUUUUCUUAUCCAAACACGACCUCUAGCAAGGACCACUCAAUCCAUUCUAAGAGUAGAAUCUGUUGACAUAGAACACAUCAAAAGCCUUUCGGCUAUUCUGAGUUACGAAUGGCUAACAGAAGCAGAGAUGUCUCUUGAGGUAGCUCGGAUCAUCACUCCUUCAACCAUUCUUCUGUGCCAAAUUAGAGGAUCCACUAGGAAGGUCCACUACAAUCCAUAUGUUGGGAUAAAUGUUAUUUCAAAGGAGUUAGCUGACACUCUUUAUCCCAACGAGUCCAUAACUCCAUCUCAAAAACUUUUACAAAGUCCAUCUGGAUUAAUUCUAGAAAGCCAUGGGGUAUUAAGGGCAGUUCCUAUUAGAAUCAAGGACUCUGGAAUAUGUCUAGAUUUUCACAUUUAUGACAUACCGGAGAUUCCUCUCUUGAUUGGUAGACCAAUCAUGAAACUUCUACAAGAACAACCACAACGAGGUCAUUUAGACUUCAAAGUUGGGAAUUCCAGUAUUGUUGUUCCUCUAGCUAGAUCAAUUAACACGAUAGUGGAACCCAAACUUAAACUAGAUCCUAUUGAGGAGAUCUUAAUGCUGACUCAAGAGGAGAUGGCCCAACCAUUCUUUAAUCAUGAACACUUUGUUCAAGAAGAAGAAGAGUUGGUAGAACCCGUUGAGCUAGACAAAAAUGAACAACUUUCACCUCCUUCAAUAGAGUUAAAACCUCUUCCUUCUGGCCUUAGAUAUGUCUUUCUACACAACAACCCAAAAACUCUAGUGAUUAUCAGUGACAAGUGUUGACGGUCCUUAAUGCUCAUAUUUAACCAUCAACUAAUUAGAGAAAAGGAUCCAAAUGUAACCAACACCUAGACUUAGGGUUUUUAUCUGACAGAAUUCCACGAGUUUUGGUGUUUGUCUAUUUCUGCAGGCGGUUAUUAGGAAAUAUAGAAGAAAGGCCCACACGUCGGGUUUACAUAGAGAUAUUAACGUGCCGCGCAAUUUUCUAUCAUCUAGAAGACUCCAGAAGCCACGGGAACGAACGGGAAGGAAAUCGGGCUCGGAGGCAGGGCGCCCGCCCAACUCUCCUGGGCGCCCGCCCAGCUACAGUGCCCAAUCAGGACACGUUUCGCGGAUCAUGCUCCACCGACCUAAUACUUCAAGGAAAACCACAGGAUCAACGUCGGUUUGAUCCGACGGCCCAGAUUCAUCUGAAAAGACUAUAUAAGCAAGGCCCCCUGGCCCCUGGAGAUCAUACCUCUUCUACAGAAUCAAAGUUAGGGUUUCAAUUCUUCAUCCAAGUAGAGAGGAUCCCUCUAGUUCUUCUAGUUCUACCUCUAGUUCAUCUAGAUCUAGUUCUAGUUCUAGUUCCUCUAGUUCUAGUUCUAGUUAGUUCUAGUUGUAAUCUAGAAAAUAGGGAGAGAGAAGAGGAGAGCGGAGGAGGAGCCGGAUCUGUCAGAUCUUCCUCAACAUUGUACUUUUGCAGCAACUGGUUCAUUCUUCAUCGUUCUCCAGGUUCUUCAAUUCAUAAUCCUGAGUUCUUUAAUUACUUUUAUUUACAUUCAAGUUUUUUAUUGGAUUCCCGCUUGCAUCAAGUGCUCUAAUCUUUGCAACAUUAGAGUAGUAAUUAAUAGAUUAGACAUGGUGUUUAGUCUUGCAAUUACCUGGAAUUGCACCCAAUCCUGCGGAUUGUUGUGGUAGCCUUAGGGUUGUGACAGCCCUAACGGUCGACGUAUUCCACCUCGUUCGGAUCGGUGUUUGUAGGACCGUAGUCAGACCUUCCUAGCCCCCUUCUCAUCUCUUUCUAUGGUUAGUGCUCUGAUGUCCCGAUAUAGAUAAUCUUGAAGUAAUUCUUGAUUCUUAGAUCAACUAGAGAACUCUCAGGAAACUUCCUCUCUUCCCACCAAAAAUAAUUAUAUAGUUAUCCUUGGGCGAUCUUGGAUCUUAAUUAGUACACUCACGUUUCCUGUGGAAAAUCGAUACUCUGGAAUACUCCCGUGAAAGCUACAUCGGUAUCCGUGCGCUUGCGGAUUUUUCUAUUUGCGUUUAAAAUACCCAACAAGCUUUCUGGCGCCGUUGCCGGGGAACGGUAGCUGUGCUAGUUUCGAACCAAGUCGUCCGUGUAUCCUUUUCUUUUCCUUUUUAUACCACACUCACCUUACCAUUUUCACCAUACCACAUGGAUUUCACUCUAAGCAUUAAUGAGCAUGGAAUUUAUUUCAUAGCCACUCCAUUUACUCCAUGCUCAUAUGCAACAUCUUCACAAUCCAUUGGUCUCUCCAACAUCACCACAUUCGAGAUCUCCAACCCCCUCAUCCUUUCUAUUUAUAAAAACUUUAAAAGGGCGGUUGUCGAUGCAUAUGUCUAUAUUAAAUAUUACAGAUCUCGUCGAGUUGAUCUUGAUAUAGGUCAGCGUUGGAGGGGAAACCACUUCACUGACAUAAAUUAAUGGUUUCCCAAGGACAAGCUUAGUGUCCUAAAACAAGCACUUAUCAGAUUGUAACAUGAGCUUUUAAUUAUUUGCAACAUUGCCUUGUGUAUUGAGCAUAUAAAGAUAAUUGUAGAAAAAUUCCUUCGGGUAUUCUUGUCACUAACCUUUCCACGAUUGGAGCAAGAAGAUCGGAUGAAUGACAAGCACAAGGUAUGUCCAACCAAUCUUCAUACAACAUUGAAUUAAAUUCAUCCAAACUUGAAUUUUGCAAAAAUUCAAGCUUGGGGGAGUACUUUAUAUAAAAACAUCAUUUGCCAUGUUGCUAUGUUGGUUGUCCCUACCUUUGAGACAUGCUCAAUUUGUUAAAUAGUAAUCACAGUACUUCAUCUCCACUUGAGUAGAUCUCUAUAAAAGCCAUCACGCUACCUUUGUUUAUCCUAGUAAGUGUUAGUUUGGAAGUACUGUACAUACUUCUAUUGGUUUUUAAAUUAAGCAUGGUGCUUAGGUUAAACAGCCUUCCUUAAUCUAAUUAGACAUGGAGUCUAGUUUGGUUAUUGAACUAAAAACUGCUUGUGUAGACAUUGGUAUAUUUUGUCAGACUAACCCCUGUAGAAAAAAGAAAACUUUCAAUAUCGACCUGGGAAGUCCUAAGAUAAACUCACAUUGGAGACAAAGAGAGACACACUUGAAGUUUAACAAUUUACACAAGGAAGACAUAGCUCACAAGAGAUGAUCCAUGGAGGGUGCCACCAAACACGAUGCACAACCGCAAAGAAAGGAAAGCUUCCAUAAGGUAAUACUGUACCAUCACUCUUCAAGUAAGGUAACAUCUUAAGGUACUUGACUAUCACUUCUAUAAGCUUCUCCUUGGUUCUGGCAUUCACAUGAAUAAAAGAGACAAACAUGUAUGAUUUACAAUUCUAGAUUAACCAACCCAAUCGAUUCAAUAUGUUUAGUUUUUUCACCUUUGUGAUCCCACACUAAAUGUUGCACACAUAAUCUUUGGAAGAUAUAUAUAAAAAAAAGAGAUAAGUAUAAAUAGAUUAUCUUUCCAUUAGGUUGAGUGAUCUGAUCUGACGAAUGUUUUAAAUGCUACACUCAUGAUCUUAUUAUCCAUCAACUUUGUCUUGCUCACUAUGCUUAAGGUUAGAGAAGAACAAAUACACUUUUGGUUCUGUUGGUGUUUUCCACCAACAGGGCCCAUGCACUUGAUCUCUGCCUUGUUUCUAUGAGCAGGUACACUUCGAGCAAAAUAUGAAGGACUUUUAUAACUCCCAGACUCCACCAAGUGAAGUACCAAGAUCUACGAGCACAAACACACUGGAGAUACUGGACACUCAGGCAAUCACUGCCCUGAGAUGCUUAAGGACGUAACUACUGGAGUAACCUCAUUGUGGAAGCAAUUACUGACCUUCUGCCGGUCAAGAGAGGCAAUCCAAGACGCCCCGUCAUCCCGAUCUCCAUCGGCAUGGUGGACUUCCCAGAAGCACUCUGUGACUUUGGCUCCAGCAUCAACAUUAUGCCCAGGAACCUCUGCGUCUGAGUUGGUACCUUGUACGCCCCAGCAGACUUCGUGGUGAUAGAGACUGGUACUGAUGAGAGGGCACCCAUCAUCCUAGGGAGGCCAUUCCUGAACACCUCAAGAGCUGUCAUCUACGCUAGUGCUGCCAAGAUCAGUUUCUACAUCAAAGGGAGGAAGGAGACAUUUUCCUUCAAGAACAAGACUACACAAAUCUCAGAGCAAUCCCGACAUGAACCAUGGAAGAGGGCCAACAGGAGGGACAAGACCAAGCAAAUGUGGACCAAGUCAGCUAAGAUGGUCACUGCAGUUCAAGGAGGUCAAGAUCGUCGACUUAAGUCACCGUUCCAAACCAACAAGGACGACCCAAGUAUGCCAAGCAUCCAGUGCUCCAUUAAUGGAUGCAACUUCCAGAAGAUGCUUUGCAACACUAGGUCAGGCGUCAACAUAAUGGCCGCAGUCACCUAUCAACUCCUGUUCGGAACCAUGCCACAAAAAACCGACAGAGAUUCAGCUCCAGAUGAUUUUAAGGUUAUUGACAUGGGAGAAAAGUAUGAUCCACCCAUCAUCCUUGGAGACCGUUCCUCAGCACCGUUAAAGCAAUCAUCUACAUUAGAACCAGAGAAGUCCACAUGCACAUCCCCUCUGAGAAGGUACGCCGCUAUUUUACUGACCCUAACUAUAUAGUUGAAGACUCUAAGCAGGUCAGGACAAAGAAGACAACGCAACCGCCACCAGAGAAGGCAAAUCAUCAAGGACGGAUGGAUGGACUACGAAGGAGAAGUGGUAAUGUCUGAAGACAUACAGCUUGAACAGAACUGUCCUGAGGAGACCGUAGCACCAAGUCAGGUGUGGAGAGAGAAGAUAGUUAUACACGAAGAGGAGGCGCCGCCGGAACCACCGACUACGCCAUCCAGCGAGUCCCAGGACGACUGAGAAAAUGGAGAGUCCCGUUCGGAGGACUUAAAAACAUCGAACGCCUUGCCAAGAGGUAAACUUGGUAGUUAUCUUUUUCCUUUCAAUUAUUUUAAAAAAAAGUUUGCUUAGUUAAUCAGGUUCAUAUCAUCUUGAAAAGAAAAUAAAAAUGUUAAGUAAGCCCCAUGUGAGUAUGCUCGUGGCAUAAAACCCAUAAGUACAUUCACUGUGGUGGCAUAAAAAUAAAAUUAAUAUAUUCGUGUCCUAUAAAAAUAAAAUUAUAAAAAUAGAUUUAUGAUCCUACCAAAGAGAGUAAAAUUUAUUAGAGGAAGCUCAACAUGAUAACGGCUAAGAGUUUUUAUGCUAACACUUAACUAGUUCCACAAAGCUUUGUUGUCUAUUUGAGCUCCACAGAAUUCAAGGAUCAAAGAAGACUAGCAGACGGAGGACAUCCUAAUCGCUGACAGAGUGCUGCCGACAUUCAAAUACACCUCCGCCACCUGCUAGCUACAUCAGAAGAAAUUGCGUCAAAUCCAGCUUGGGGGAGAGCACCCCCAUUUAUCCACCUAAGUGUUCUACUCAUCUUUAUACUUUACUCAAAUAAUAAAAAGAUGCAUAAUCAUAAAACCCAAAUAAAGAUUUUGUGCUUAUAUAUAUAUCUUUGCUUAGUUUGCUAAAUAAAUAAAUAAAUAAAGUUUGCUAUGAACCCUCAUGAUAAGCUCUCACAUGGAUAUGAUGAAUAGUUGCUCUAUCAUGACUAGUUCUCAAAAUUAAAAUCUCUCUCAAGUUUAGGCAUGACUGGUAUGAAUUAAGAUUUGCUCUAAACCUGAACUUGUGGGAAGAGUACUUGAUCUGAAGUCUAAGUCGUUAACGGAUAUGAUAUGGGAAGGUUGAGCUGCUAUUUAUCUGUUCUUAGAGAUGCUAGAAUUCUGGAGAAUUUUAUCUUUGAAAAUCUUUAAAAUGUUGCAUGAUGAGUUCCUGUAUGAUGAGAGUUUAAAUUCCUACCACAGCCAUAUAUACAUGCUUGCUAGACUUUGAGCCACACAUUUACUUUUUACUGCUUAUGAGCAUUGAGUGUGGUCAAGCUGUGUAGACCCUUAGGAGCUUGUCAUGUGGUUAAGUCAAGAUUCACUUGCACGUUCACUCGCACAUGCUGCUUCUACUUCGGAAGUACGCAUCCACAUAUAUCCACCCAUUUCCAUCUCCAGAACCACCCAAAAAUAUUCUACUCCUAAUCCGGGAGAGAAUAGCCAAAACAUUUCUGUUUUCCCCUUUGAAAUAAAUACUCAAGUUAUCUUGGUUACUACCACUUGCUAUAUUAUUUCAGGAGAUGAGUGCUCUAAAAAAAGAGAAAAAAGGAGAGAAAAAAAAUAAAUACGAGGAAAUAAAAAGGGGCAGGUGCCCGGAACCUCGAAAGAAAAGAAAAAAAAAAGAAAAGUGAGACGAGAGGUAAAAAUGGACAAGUGUCCGAUAGUAGAAUUAGGGGUACAAGAUACCCACCUGAGAGGAAAGAAAAAGAAAAUACAGAGCAUCUCAUUCUCCCCAAAAGUUUCAAAAGGGCAAGGAAGGUAUGUAUCCCCUCAAAAGAGCAAAAUUAGAAUUAGACUUUCACUAUUGUUAUCACCAUCAUUACCAUACACCAUUCAUUCGCCACACAUGCACAUCUUGAUUUGACUUAUUGACUUGUUCUUCUGGAUCCAUGGUUUGACUAUGCAAUAAAUGUCUUGUAAGUAUGUAUUAGCUGUCUCCCACCUAUGAGCUCCAGAUAUCAAAAGCCUUAUUAGAGUAGGGUGAGAGAGAAGGCAAUGUCACUAUGCCUUAUAUAAAAAAUACCACAUACUUUGAGAGAAGGCAUACACCUUUACUGCAUUGGUAAGGAUCUAGAAAUACCACAAAAGAGAGACUAGAGAGAGUCAUACAAGGAAUCUCUGAGUUUUAUUUGAAAAUCUGCAAAAACUCCAGAGCUAUAGUUAAUCGAAGAACAAGAGACAUGGCGCUUGACUAGACCGUUCUAUCUUUUAACUGCUCAAGACAGAAGUGACGGUUACAAGUCCCAUGGUGAAAGGUAAAUGAGUAAGUUUUAAGUCUUAACAGUUUACUCUUACCAGAGAUGAGAUCUUGUUUAAACGCAUGUAUAUCUUUAAGUUAUGAAACCACUGCAGAAACUCUUGAGUUCAUCUUUGCUCAGGGACGAGCAAAGGUUAAGCUUGGGGGAGCUUGUUGACGGUCCUUAAUGCUCAUAUUUAACCAUCAACUAAUCAGAGAAAAGGAUCCAAAUGCAACCAACACCUAGACUUAGGGUUUUUAUCUGACAGAAUUCCACGAGUUUUGGUGUUUGUAUAUUUCUGCAGGGGGUUAUCAGGAAAUAUAGAAGAAAGGCCCACACGUCAGGUUUACAUAGAGAUAUUAACGUGCCGCGCAAUUUUCUAUCAUCUAGAAGACUCCAGAAGGCACAGGAACGAACGGAAAGGAAAUCGGGCUCGGAGGCAGGGGCGCCCGCCCAACUCUCCUGGGCACCCGCCCAGCUACAGUGCCCAAUCAGGACACGUUUCGCGGAUCAUGCUCCACCGACCUAAUACUUCAAGGAAAACCACACGAUCAAUGUUGGUUUGAUCCGACGGCCCAGAUUCAUCGAAAAGACAAUAUAUGCAAGGCCCCCUAGCCCCUGGAGAUCAUACCUCUUCUACAGAAUCAAAGUUAGGGUUUCAAUUCUUCAUCCAAGUAGAGAGGAUCCCUCUAGUUCUUCUAGUUCUACCUCUAGUUCAUCUAGAUCUAGUUCUAGUUCAUCUAGUUCUAGUUCUAGUUCUAGUUCCUCUAGUUCUAGUUCUAGUUGUAAUCUAGAAAAUAGGGAGAGAGAAGAGGAGAGCGGAGGAGGAGCCGGAUCUGUCGGAUCUUCCUCAACAUUGUACUUUUGCAGCAACUGGUUCAUUCUUCAUCGUUCUCCAGGUUCUUCAAUUCAUAAUCCUGAGUUCUUUAAUUACUUUUAUUUACAUUCAAGUUAUUUAUUGGAUUCCCGCUUGCAUCAAGUGCUCUAAUCUUUGCAACAUUAGAGUAGUAAUUAAUAGAUUAGACAUGGUGUUUAGUCUUGCAAUUACCUGGAAUUGCACCCAAUCCUGCGGAUUGUUGUGGUACCCUUAGGGUAGUGACAGCCCUAACGGUCGACGUAUUCCACCUCGUUCGGAUCGGUGUUUGUAGGACCGUAGUCAGACCUUCCUAGCCCCCUUCUCAUCUCUUUCUGUGGUUAGUGCUCUGAUGUCCCGAUAUAGAUAAUCUUGAAGUAAUUCUUGAUUCUUAGAUCAACUAGAGAACUCUCAGGAAACUUCUUCUCUUCCCACCAAAAAUAAUUAUAUAGUUAUCCUUGGGCGAUCUUGGAUCUUAAUUAGUACACUCACGUUCCCUGUGGAAAAUCGAUACUCUGGAAUACUCCCGGGUGAAAGCUACAUCGGUAUCCAUGCGCUUGCGGAUUUUUCUGUUUGCGUUUAAAAUACCCAACAACAAGCUUUCCGAUUAUGAAACACAACAACUUGUCACUAUUCUUGAAAGACAUAGAUCAGCAUUUGGCUACUCUCUCGAGGAUCUCACGGGCAUUAGUCCCAUUCUCUGCACUCAUCGUAUCCCUAUUGAUCCUAAUUUUACACCUACAAGGGAACCACAACGGAGACUUAAGAAUGCUAUGCGAGAGGUUGUUAAGAAAGAGGUCCUCAAACUCUAUCGUGCUGGGAUUAUUUAUCCUGUGCCACAGUGAGUGGGUUAGCCCUGUCCAAGUAGUGCCAAAGAAAGGAGGAAUGACGGUCGUUAGGAAUGAGAAGAAUGAACUCAUCCCUCAACGAAUUGUCACUGGGUGGCGUAUGUGUAUUGACUAUCGAAAACUCAAUAAGGCUACAAAGAAAGAUCAUUUUCCGUUACCCUUCAUUGAUGAAAUGUUGGAACGGCUUGCAAACCACUAUUUCUUUUGUUUCCUUGAUGGUUAUUCUAGAUAUCACCAAAUCCCAAUCCACCCAGAUGACCAAGAAAAGACUACCUUUACAUGCCCGUAUGGAACUUAUGCAUACCGACGAAUGUCGUUCGGAUUGUGCAAUGCUCCAGCUUCUUUCCAAUGGUGCAUGAUGUCUAUUUUCUCGGACAUGAUUGAGAAGAUCAUGGAGGUUUUCAUAGAUGAUUUUACAGUCUAUGGCAAAACCUUCGAUCAUUGUUUGGAUAAUUUAGAUAGAGUCUUGCAGCGAUGUGAAGAAAAACACUUAAUCCUGAAUUGGGAGAAAUGCCAUUUUAUGGUUCGGGAAGGAAUAGUGCUAGGACAUAAAGUGUCCGAAUGUGGUAUAGAGGUGGACAAAGCAAAGAUUGAAGUUAUUGAAAAACUUCCACCUCCCACGAAUGUGAAAGGAAUCCGUAGCUUUUUAGGACAUGCGGGGUUCUAUAGACGCUUUAUCAAGAACUUCUCUCAAAUUGCUAGACCCCUAACUAGUCUCCUAGCUAAGGAUGCACCUUUCAUCUUUAGUGAUGAGUGUCAUGAAUCUUUUCAAACUCUUUAGAAAGCACUCAUCUUAGCCCCAAUCAUCCAACCACCUGAUUGGAAUCUUCCUUUUGAGAUCAUGUGUGAUGCUAGCGAUUUUGCGGUUGGUGCCGUUUUAGGACAAACCAAGGAUAGAAAGCAUUAUGCCAUAUCCUACGCUAGCAAAACCUUGUCUGGACCACAGCUCAAUUACACUACAACUGAAAAAGAGCUUUUGGCUGUUGUCUUUGCUAUAGACAAGUUUAGAUCUUACUUAGUGGGGGCAAAGAUAAUCAUCUAUUCAGAUCAUGCUGCUCUCAAGUACCUCCUCACUAAGAAAGAUGCUAAGCCUCGUCUAAUUCGAUGGAUUCUUCUACUCCAAGACUUUGACAUAGAAAUCCGAGAUAGGAAGGGAGUACAGAAUUCCGUAGCCGACCACUUAUCUAGGCUUCAAUAUAAGGAAACACAUGAUGAGCUUCCCAUAAAUGACUACCUAAGGGAUGACACCCUGCUUAAGAUAACACAUGCAGAUCCAUGGUACGCAGACAUCGUAGACUUUAUAGUAAAAGGCUAUGUCCCACCUGGUGCAAACAAAAGGAAGUUGCUUCACGAUAGUCGUUUCCACCUUUGGGAUGAGCCAUAUCUUUUCCGAGUCUGCGCUGAUGGACUCUUGAGAAGGUGUGUUCCUAUGGCUGAGGCUACUCAAAUGAUGGAAAGAUGCCAUGCCUCGCCAUAUGGAGGACACUAUGGAGCAUUUCGGACACAUGCUAAAAUUUGGCAAAGUGGUUUUUUCUAGCCAACGAUGUAUGAAGAUACAAAGGACUUUGUCAGGAGAUGCCACCGAUGUCAAAAACAUGGGAAUAUCAACUCACGAAAUGAAAUGCCUCUCACAAAUAAUCUUCAAGUAGAACUUUUCGAUGUAUGGGGCAUUGAUUUCAUGGGGCCAUUCCCUAUGUCUGGGAAUUGCGAGUAUAUCUUAGUAGCUGUGGACUACGUGUCCAAAUGGGUAGAAGCCCUACCUUGUCGAUCAGCUGAUUCAAAACAUGCCAAGAGAAUGUUCCAUGAAGUAAUCUUUCCUCGCUUUGGUAUACCCCGGAUAGUUAUAAGCGAUGGAGGUUCCCACUUCAUCGACAAAAUCUUCCUAAAGUACCUAGCCGAUCAUGGAGUUCGACACAACGUCGCAACACCAUACCAUCCCCAGACUAGCGGUCAAGCCGAAACAUAUAACAAACAAAUCAAAAAUAUUUUACAAAAGACCGUAGAUGAGAUGGGUAAGGGGUGGAAGGACAAACUUCCUGAUGCACUUUGGGCAUAUAGAACUGCAUUCAAAACACCCAUAGGCAUGUCACCUUAUCAACUUGUAUAUGAAAAAACUUGUCACUUGCCUGUGGAAGUAGAGUUUAAGGCUCAUUGGGCACUCAAGAAAUGGAACAUGGAUCUCCACCUCGCUAUCGAGAAUCGUCUGAUGCAACUAUCUGAGCUAGAAGAACGGAGAGAGAAAGCCUACCACAAUUCAAGGAUCUAUAAAGAGAGAACAAAACGAUGGCAUGAUAAGAGAAUCAAGCACAAGGAGUUUAAGCCUGGAGAUACGGUUCUACUAUUCAAUUCAAGAGUUAAGCUCUUUGGGCAUGGUAAGCUACGAAGUAAGUGGGAUGGACCAUACAAGGUUAUUGACACUUCAACUCAUGGAGCCAUUACCAUCCAAGACGACAUAGGUAACACUUUUAAGGUGAAUGGUCAACGCUUGAAAAUCUAUCUCGAGCCACAAAACAACCUGGUAGAGGAACUUGAUGUGAUUGAGUUCAUAGAAUUCUCAUAUUAAGCUCUCAUAAGCUCUAGACAAUUACCUAACCCUUAACAUGCUCCACAAGUUUUGUUGUCUAUUUGGGUUGUGCAGAAUUUUGAGGCUUAAGAAGAGUGAGACCGAACAUGCAGGCCAGAAGAGUGAACGACUAUGUCAACAUCCAGCUUGGGGGAGGCACCCCCACGUGUAUCUAGAUAAGUAUUACUUUUCUUUCUUGGGUUUAUUUACUAGUAUUCGGAAAUAAAAAAAAUGCAUAACCAUGAAACCAAACAAAGUUUUUAUUUUGAGUAAUAUACAAUAGUUUGUGUAAUCCUAAGUCUUAAAUAAAAUAAAAAGAAAGUUUGAUUCAAGUCUAGGUAAUUAACAAACAUGAUAUGAGAAGGUUUGAGCUACUAUUUAACUUGUUCCAAGUUUUGCUAGACUUCUGGAGAUUUUAUCUUUUGAAAAUCUAAAAAUAAAUGAGAUCCUGUUUGACAUAAUACCUAGAGUCUUAUAAGAUAUAAAUACUAAAACUGUGGGCACUUGCUUUGUUCAAGCCAUUGUUAAUUCUGGUAGUUUUGGUGGAGAGAAUUAUCAUGCUCUAAAGAUCAAGAUCUUUUUGUUUAAAAAUAUAAAAGAUUCACUCUUUCGAAGUAUUAUUGCGUUAGAGGCAUGGGACUAUGCAAAAAUUUGAUUUGAAAAAAAAGAGUGAGACGAGAGGUAAACAUGGACAAGUGUCCGAAGUAGAAUUAGGGAUACAAAGAUACCCACCUGAGUGGAAAAAAAAGGACAUGUGUCCAACAGUAUAAUUAGGGGUACUUGCUGCCCACUUGAAAAAAAAGAGACUGAAAAAAAAGAGAAAAAAAAGAAGAAAAAAAUGAUAGCCCAUGGUACCUCUAAUAAGCAAUAUGCCAGUAAGAGAUGACAAACUUUUCAAAAAGGUCAAAGGUCUUGAUCUAGGAGUAUGACAUUCCUCUCCCUUGCUCCGAGCAUUGACAUAGCAAAAUGCAAAGUAAGUAUGCUAAAAUUUUUAAAGCUCUACUUAUAUAUCUUUCGAGAAGAAGGCAAAUACCUCAGUUUUAUUUUGGAAACUUACAAACAACUCCAGAACAAAGGUAAGACAGAAGAGCUUGAGACAUAGUGCUUGACUUGAUCGUUCUGUUUUUCAAUCACUAAAGACCUUAAAAACCCUGUAGUAAGAGGCAUAAAAGUAACCCCUAUUUUCUUGCUGAUUUUAGCUUUGCUCAGGGACGAGCAAAGGUUAAGCUUGGGGGAGCUUGUUGACGGUCCUUAAUGCUCACAUUUAACCAUCAACUAAUUAUGGAAAAGGACUUAUAUGCAACCAACACUUAGACUUAGGGUUUUAUCUGACAGAAUUCCACGAGUUUUGGUGUUUGUCUAUUUCUGCAGGGGGUUAUCAGGAAAUAUGAAAAAAAGGCCCAUACGUUGGGUUUACAUAGAGAUAUUAACGUGUCGCCCAAUUUUCUACGAUCUAGAAGACUCGAGAAGCCACAGGAACGAACGGGAGGCUGAUCGGGCCCGGGGGCAGGGCGCCCGCCCUCCCCCCUUGGGUGCCCACCCAGCUACAGUAACCAAUAUGCUUUAACUUCGCGGAUCGUGCUCCACCGACCUAAGGGAUCAAGGAAAACCGUGCGAUUAAUGUCGGUUUGAUCCGAUGGCCCAGAUUCAUCUGAAAAGACUAUAUAAGCAAGGCCCCCUGGCCCCUGGAGAGCAUACCUCUUCUACAGAAUCAAAGCUAGGGUUUCAAUUCUUCAUCUAAGUAGAGAGGAUCCCUCUAGUUCAUCUAGUUCUACCUCUAGUUCAUCUAGUUCUAGUUCUAGUUCCUCUAGUUCUAGUUCUAGUUAGUUCUAGUUGUAAUCUAGAAAAUAGGGAGAGAGAAGAGGAGAGCGGAGGAGGAGGAGCCAGAUCUGUCGGAUCUUCCUCAACAUUGUACUUUUGCAGCAACUGGUUCGUUCUUCAACGUUCUCCAGGUUCUUCAAUUCAUAAUCCUGAGUUCUUUAAUUACUUUUAUUUACAUUCAAGUUAUUUAUUGGAUUCCCGCUUGCAUCAAGUGCUCUAAUCUUUGCAACAUUAGAGUAGUAAUUAAUAGAUUAGACGUGGUAUUUAGUCUUGCAAUGGUAGCCCUAGGGUAGUGACAGCCCUAACGGUCGACGUAUUCCUCCUCGUUCGGAUCGGUGUUUGUAGGACCGCAGUCAGAGCUUCCUAGCCCCCUUCUCAUCUCUUUCUGUGGUANNNNNNNNNNNNNNNNNNNNNNNNNNNNNNNNNNNNNNNNNNNNNNNNNNNNNNNNNNNNNNNNNNNNNNNNNNNNNNNNNNNNNNNNNNNNNNNNNNNNNNNNNNNNNNNNNNNNNNNNNNNNNNNNNNNNNNNNNNNNNNNNNNNNNNNNNNNNNNNNNNNNNNNNNNNNNNNNNNNNNNNNNNNNNNNNNNNNNNNNNNNNNNNNNNNNNNNNNNNNNNNNNNNNNNNNNNNNNNNNNNNNNNNNNNAACACUACCACAGAAAGAGAUGAGAAGGGGGCUAGGAAGCUCUGACUACGGUCCUACAAACACCGAUCCGAACGAGGUGGAAUACGUCGACCGUUAGGGAUGUCACUACCCUAGGGCUACCACAACAAUCCGCAGGAUUGGGUGCAAUUCCAGGUAACUGCAAGACUAAACACCACGUCUAAUCUAUUAAUUACUACUCUAGCAUUUCAAAGACUAGAGCACUUGAUGCAAGCGGGAAUCCAGUAAAUAACUUGAAUGUAAAUAAAGUAAUUAAAGAACUCAGGAAUUAUGAAUUGAAGAACCUAGAGAACGAUGAAGAAUGAAAGAGUUGCUGCCAAAGUAGAAUGUUGAGGAAGAUCCGACAGAUCCGGCUACUCCUCCUCCGCUCUCCUCUUCUCUCUCCCUAUUUUCUGGAUUACAACUAGAACUAACUAGAACUAUAACUAGAGGAACUAGAACUAGAACUAGAUUAACUAGAACUAGAACUAGAUGAACUAGAGGUAGAACUAGAUGAACUAUAGGGAUCCUCUCUACUUGGAUGAAGAAUUGAAACCCUAACUUUGAUUCUGUAGAAGAGGUAUGAUCUCCAAGGGCCAGGGGACCUUGCUUAUAUAGUCUUUUCAGAUGAAUCUGGGCCGUCGGAUCAAACCGACAUUGAUCGCACGGUUUUCCUUGAUCCUUUAGGUCGGUGGAGCAUGAUCCCCGAGUUGUACCCUGAUUGGGCAGAAUAGGAGGCGGGCGCCCUAAGGACUAAGGCGGGCGCCCUGUCCGUGAGCCCUCUCGGCUUCCGCUUUGUUUCCAUGGCUUCUAGAGUCUUCUAGAUGAUAGAAAAUUGCGCAGCACGUUCAUAUCUCUAUGUAAACCCGACGUGUGUGCCUUUCUUCCGUAUUUCCUGAUAACCCCCUGCAAAAAUAGACAAACACCAAAACUCGUGGAAUUCUAUCAGAUAAAACCCUAAGUCUGGGUGUUAGUUGCAUUUGGAUCCUUUUUCAUGAUUAGUUGGUGGUUAAAUGUGAGCAUUAAGGACAGUCAACAAGAUACUAGAGUUCUAGAUAUUUUUAUUUGAAAAUCUUAAAAUUGCUAUAUGAUGAGUUCCUUCAUGACGAGAGUUCCAAAUUCCUACCACAACCAAAUUCAUACCAGUGUCACAUUUUACCUGGAGGUUUUAAAUAUCAUAUCCACAGGAAACAGUUGUGAUGAUCACAAAGUACAUAGACUUAACCCUAUAAUUAGGCUAGAUCAUAUAAAGAAAAAGGAAAUAGCUAAUGCACUCUGGUUCUGACUCCGGUAAACUUUGUAUAAUAUUGUCUUAUCGGGCAAGUAACCCGAAUAGGAGAAGAAUCAGAGUAAUCUCCUACCAGGCACCUAUAAGCCUAUGAGUCCUAUCAAUGGGAAGUGGACUACAGAGGAAUGAACGCAGCUAUAAAGUCACCUACGCGAACUACCACUAUCCGGCUGAUUAGGGGAUAUCCACAAGUAAACCUAGCCUAGGCACCACGCCUACACUACAAAAUACUACUUCAACCAAGUAACGAUCAAGAUCAAAGCAGUCAAUAUGAGUUGUGAACUAAAGAAUGAAUAAGAACAAGUUGCUUACUUAACAGAGAAGGAUAAGUAUAAAAGUACCUCAGAAUGCAGCUCCGUGUGAGGGAACUGAAUCCAAACAAAUACAACCAUGAAGAAGCACCGACAGGCUAGAACUCCUCCAGAAUCUCUACUCCUCUACUUAAUCUCUCUAAUCUCUAAACAAGACUAGAUCUAGAAGAACUAGUCUCUCCUAAUUGCUACAUCUAGUUGAACUAGAACUAUCAACUAGAGGUAUCCUAACCCUAAUUAUGUAGAGAAUAUGAAGCACCGGUGUGUAGAAUGCCUCUUGGGGGAGCCUUGGGCGUCAUUAUAUAGGCUGAGGUGGAGUAGGGGGCAAGGAACCGCCACGUCAGCGAUCCGCGUUUCAUCUUGUGUGCACGGUCGGAUCAAACCGACUUAAAAUUGACGAAGGGAUACUUUGGUUGGCUUCCAAGGAGGUGUGGGAGGAAGACUCCAGAAGGCGGCGGGCAUCGGGCAAAGUAGGGCGCCGACCGGCCCCACGGUGGGGCCGGCCGGCCCCACCUUCUCUCCUCUGCCACUCUCAUUCCUUCGGGUGUCUUCUAGACCCUUCUUGAGUCUUCUCAUGAUGUUUUCCAGCGCGGAUGAGUUUCGUGGUAAAUAUGCACUAGAAUCCCUCUUUUCAGCUCUCUGUGAAAUAAACGUUGGAAAAUACAUAAUAUGCAAAACUCAUGGAAAUUGUCAGAUAAAACCCUAGACUAGUGUGUUUUCGUGUGUUCCCUUGUGUCUAAAGUUCUAAUAAAUAUUGACCUUAUUGACCAUCAAAAAUUCCCCCAAGCUUACCUUUUGCCAGUCCCUUGGCAAACAACCCAAGCCUAAUUAAUAAACUUGGAUCAAGAGUUGCUACGAUACUUUCAUUUCCUUUAAGUACACUUGCUUUUAAACAUAACUUGCCCUCUGUUCUAAUUUUUAAACUUACCCAUUUUACCUUUAACCAUGGAGCUUUAUAGCUUUUGCAUAAGUCUUGAGUAAUCGAAAGAUAGAACAAUCAAGUCAAGCACUAUGUCUCAAAUUCUUCACAGUACCAAUAUUUUGGAGUUUUGCAAAUUUUUGAAAUAAAACUCGGAGCUUAAUUGUAUGAUACCCUCAAGUCUCUUAAUAUAUAGUAUUUAUGGAUCUCACUGAGGCAUUAAUAAUGUCAUGCCUUCCUACAACUAAGCAUCUAUAGUGGAGCUUAUAGGAGUGGGAAUAACAAGGAUGAGCAUACUUGCAAUUCAUAUAUUGUGAAGUCAAACAAUGGAUCCAUAGAGAAUCGAGGCAUACAAUCAAAUAAAAAUGUGCAUAUAUGGAAUAUGGUGGAUAGGUGUAUAUAUAGUAUUUAGUGGCUAAUCCUAAUUCUACUUUUGCUCUUUGAAAAUUACUCCCUCCUUAGAACUUUUCGUGGAAAAGCAUGGGCCAUCUUUAUUCUCUCUUUCUCUCUUUUUUAAUCUGGGAGGCAGGCAUCGAUGUACCCAUUGUUUUAAUUGCUGAGAUACUUGUCCAUCUUUUACUCCUUUUUUUCUUUUUUUAAAUACUUUUUCAUAGCCACAUGCAUCCUUUGAAUACAAAUAAUUGGAGAGAUAAUGAUAAGAACUUAGAGCAAUUAAGUGGGGGCUAUCCUAUAGGGUAUAUUUUUUGGUGUUUACCCCUAGUGUAGGAGAAAACACAUUUUUUUAAGGUGGAUCUAGAUGAAGGUGAAAAUGACUGUGUUUACAUCCUAGAGUAGGAGUAAUGCAUAUGUGGGUGGAGUGCGUAAGUGAUCUUAAUUUAAAAAGCAUGACAAGACUCUCAUAAGGUAUACUAAAGGUUGACCGAACUCAAGUAGCAUGAAUGCGCAAAGGUUUUUCUAACUCUAAAUGUAUCAUAUAUGGCUUUGGUAGGAAUUUAAACUUUAUCAUACAAGAGCUCAUCAUGUAAGAGUUUGGGUUUUUGAAAAUAAAUCUCCAUAACUUAAUAAUGCUAGGAAUAAGAUAAAUAGCAGCUUAGACCUUCAUGUAUAAUAUCAAUUACCCAUACUUAGCUUAAACAUAUGCCUCCACAAAUUUUAAGUUCAGAGUAAACUCUUAAAGUGGCCAUGUCUAAAACUCAGGAGAAUCCAUGGUUGAAAACUAGGCACUUGAAAGGAAUUACUAUAGAGCAACUAUUCAUCAUCUCCAAGACAAAAUUUUAAUAUUCUCUAAUUUUUAUUUGACUCUAAACUAGACUGUAGACACACUCUACGAUGACACCUUAAUAUAUAGAUAUGUAUUUUGUUUGGUUUUUUAUUCAUUUCUGUUGGACUCAGGAGACUCUAAAGACAUGGACCUUCACGUGCCCAUAUAUUUUUGGUAUUUUUUAUAUUUUCUUAUGAUACUAUUGUGAACCUUCAUGUGCUCACAUAUUUUUGGUAAUUUGUGACUAUAUAAAAUAGACUCGAUAAUUGCUUAGGUAUAGUUACCUAAUAAUUAGGGGAUGCUCCUCCCCCAAGCUAGAAGUUUGCAAUAGUUGGUGUUGAUGAUCUAAAGAGUGAGCUAACCGGCAUCGCUCCAGGUGGGUGCCACUAAUAGACUCCCUCUGUCGGUGGUUUCCCCACGGGGUGUCACACCAACGAGUGAAUUUGUAUGCGUGCUCCCUUUCCCAGAUGGUGAUGCAAAAAGACACACAAAGAUUUAUCCUGGUUUGGGCAAGAGAAGGCCCUACGUCCAGCGGGGGGAGAGAGUUUGUAUUAUUUUGCACCUAAGUGCUUGUACAGGGGUGAAUACAAGCAUGAUAUGGAGCGGGAUGGAGUAUGGAAGUUCCACUACGUAUGGGUGUAGUGUUGCGUGAUGUCCUGUCUGUUCGCUCCCGGGCCUCCCCUUUUAUAGUGCCAAGGAGGGGCCUAGGGUACAAGUAUAGGCGUCAGAGUAGGGGUCGAUAGAGGUAUGGCGCGCAUACCUACUCGAGGCCUCCGUACCGGCGUGGUCUCGAGCCGUCCUGUCCCGGUAGCUUGAUGAUGAUUACGCAUGCCCCUAGAUCCCGCUCCGUGCGCCGUCGUGGACUGGUUUAUCAGUCGCACGCCUGUACGUCAUGGCGGCAGAUACGUCGGAGUGGCUGCAGUGUUGUUAGUCGACGCCCAACCCUUCCUCAGGAAGGAAACAUGUCUGGUCAAGGGUCGGACGCCGUGUAGCACCUUGCUAUCCAGAGCAUUGACCUUAGGCGUCUCGAGGGGAUCUUGAUUAGACGUUCCAUCCCUGCUUCCCGCGUCCUGACAUGCUCUGGGUUGUUUGGUGGGGAAGGCUGCAAAAAGAAUGAUGGGACGGGUGCCUGUUCCCUAUCACGCUUCCUGUGACUGGCGUGUUAGGUGGGAACGUGACAGGCGCAUUAAAUGCCCCGGUACCCGUGCGCGCGUCAGGCGGUGGGCAGCGUCCUUGCGCUCGACGCCUCCUGGUUCGCUCGAGCCUGUUUCCGUAUUCGACGGUAGUUGGUGCUCGAGCCCUGACCGAUUCGCUCGACGCCUUUUCCGUCUUCGAGGCUGUGGUCGUUGAUGACUGUAUGCGGACUGAUCAGAUCGUCGAGUUGAGGGCCUCGACCUGCGUACGAACAAUCUUGUUAUGUACAUCAGUUAGGAUACCCCUUACUGAUACCCUCGACAGUAGCCCCUGAGUCUCCAUUUGAGCGCUGGCGCUCGAGUGGAGGCUUUAUUUUGCGGUCGAAUUUCUGUAGGGGUAGCCCCCGAGGCCUUGGAGGAGUUUUUGACUCCUUCGAGGGUUAUAUUGCCUAAUUCGCAGAAACGCUGUCGACACUAGUGGUGGAAGGUUCUGGUUGGCUCGUUUUGUGCAGGGGGUUUCGACGUACUCUCGAUAGAGCGAGCGUCAUCCACCCCGGAUUGAGCUCCUAACGGGUAGUCCAAGUGAGAACCUGUGCCCCUUUCGAGGGGGUCAGCUGUAGCCCGGAGGCGUUCUCAUAAAGCGGGGUCGACGUGGUCGGGGAUGCUGGUCUCGUUCGAUAGAGUCCAGUGGCUUGAUGCCUCCCGUCGGGGGGAUUCCUCUCGACUGUCUCGACCCUACCUUGGACAUCCCUAGCGAGUUCUAGAGGUGGGCCUCGAUUUUCGACCACUCGCUAGGCAUCCCUGACUCUGGUGCUCGAGAUCGGCUGUCGAACUCUUUCGGCAGGUCAGCCUGCGACCUCUCGAGGCUUUCGUGGGUGCGUUCCUUGGCUUACAAGGGAAGGAAGAGGCCGUGGCGGUUCGCCUUUUUGCCCGUUGGGCGCACCUUUUCAGGCGGGAGCCGUUGCGACACUGUAUCGGUGCAGAAUUCGGAGCGCCCCAUCUGUGAGGAGGAAAAUGACCGUUAGGCGGCGCAUUUAUGUGGGGAGUUACCUCAUUUAUCGGAUCCGUCCGUUGGUGGGUUGCUGCCUAUAAAUAUCCCGUGGUAUCGCCGCCGUUCUCCCUUCCGCCUUCUGUCUUCAUCUUUGCCUUAGCUCUCUCGCCGUCUUAGCUCUCUUGCCAUCUCACGCGCGCUCACCCCCUCGGGCAGUAGCGAAUCUGCCCUCCUUCCGUCCAAGAUGCCUAUGAGACUCGUUGCUGCCGACGACUGGCACCCGGCGUCGAUGACGGAACGCCGGUUGCUGGAGCUUGAGAGGGAGGGACUCCUGCGCCACCGCACAUCGCCGUCGUCGCCGGAGUGGAUCGCGCCACCAGUGGACCAAAGGGAGCCCAAGCCGCCCAAGGGCUAUGUGGUUUCGUUCGCUAAGUUCCACCGCCAUGGCCUGGGUGCUCCUCUGAGCCGCUUCAUGCGGACGCUCUGCCACCAUUACGGGGUGGAGCUCCAGCACUUCUCCCCAAAUGCCAUCACCGUCGCGGCGUUCUUUGCCGCGGUGUGUGAGGGUUAUUUGGGGAUGAUGCCCCACUGGGAGCUGUGGCUCCACCUCUACAGGGGCGAGCUCUUCAACGCCCCCACUGGAGCCGCCGAAGUGAGGAAACCCGUGCGGGCUGUGUGCCUGAACCUGGUGCUGAAGACGGGGAAGACGGAGAGGCCACGGGAGUACAUCCCGGUGGGAUUAUCGUCGAACCAUGCCGGAUGGGACUCCCAAUGGUUCUAUCUAUGGAACGACGACGGUCUCCUCCCUGCCUACACCGGCCGCCUGAUUACGGAGCGCCCGGAGAACUGGACAUACGGCGUCGUCCAGGUCCACCAGUCGCGGCUCGACCCCCUCCUUGACGCCUUGAAGAAGCUACGCAUGGAGGGCCUGUCUACUGCUCUCGUCCUCUCGGCCGUCCAUCAUCGGAGAGUUCUCCCGCUGAUGUCUCGGCCGCUGAGGAUGGAUGAGAUGGGGCCCGGCGCUUUGUCCCGGGACCUCGAGGCAUGCCGGAUGUCCAACGAGGCUCCGGCGGACGAUGAGGUCGCGGCCCGGGUCAGGGCAGCCGUUGCCGACGACUUCCAGCCAGAGCACGUUAAUGGCUUCCCCAUGAGGCCCGACGCGGGCUCGAUCGACCUUGUACGUUCUUUUCUUGUAUACGGCUUUGAUUCUAGAUCUCUUUCGAUCCCCUUUCAAGCUUGUCUUUGUUCUGGCAGGGACAGAUCGAUGUCCGAUCCUCGAGGCCUCCAGUAAAGGAGGACGAGGCCGACCAUGUCAAGCGGCGCCAGUCUGCUGAGAAACAAAAGUCCGCCAAGGACUCUAAGAAGAAAGGGAAAAAGAAAAAGAACCUCGACCGCCAAGCGCUAGAGGCGCGUCGAGCUAAGUCCAGGCAGAGGGGGGAGCCUGACGAGGAAUCCCCCAGUGAGGAUGAUGGUGGAGACGGUGAUGAUGACAGCGAUGACUCCGAGGGGAUGGCGUCUCGCCUCGACCGGAUCCUCGAGGGUCCGCCUCGAGGUGACGUCGACGCCCCCCGGACGGGGGCACAAAAGGAGGGGCCAGGCGGAUCUCACCGCCCCCGCGCUGACACCUCUCCCGUGCCUGCGCCAAGUCAGGCCGUCCUGCCCCACCAACCUCCCCCUGCACCAAAAGCGGGUGGCCGGGCUAAGCCCCAAGCGACGGGGCCGUUGACCCAUGGCCGCGCCGCGGCCUCCGACAAGGGAGACACUAGCCGCAGGAGCACUAGCCCCGGCGCCCGCCAGGUGGGAGACGCUGGACCAAGGCCUGCGCCUGCCCGUGAGGGGACUGGAGUCUCAACGCGGGGUGGUUCGAGGUCCACUGGUCGAGGUACCGGCAGGCGAGCCGUUCUCUCUGUGGGGUAAGUUCUUCGACGCUAUGAUUCCCAUCUUCCUGUUUCCUUGCGCUUUCUCGUAUAACGGUCUUCCUUACGCUCAUUUCUUUUUCCUCAGGUUGAAGCGGACGCUUGAGCAGGCCCAGCCUUCAAUGGCAUAAAGGCUCAAGGUGGGAGCGGCCUCCAAGGAUUCAGGUUAGUUACUUAUUCCCGUUGUUAUGGGAUUUGUGUUGUUCUUACGUCGACCACCAUAAUGACUGACCUUUGUUUUUUGCUUUAUAGGCUCCUCCGACCCUCAACCACCGACUGGUACCGAGGGUGCCCCGCCCCAUCCCCUGGCGGGUGAGUCUGCCCCGUCGUCGCCAAAACAAGCCGAGGCGCCUCAGCCCCAAGGGCAGGAGGGAGCCCCUGAGCCUCCCCGAUCAGGGGUCAAGGGGGAUCCCAUUACCAUAAGUGAUGGAUCUGGCGGCGACGGGACCUCGAGGGAUGCCCGUCCUAUGGACGAGGAGGCCCAGACUUCUCUCGUCGCGAGACGGACGCCCUGGCCUGCCGGGCUUCGCUCCAUCGAGGAGCAGAAGAAGAAAGAAAAGGAGGAGCGUGAGCAAGAGACGCCGCGGCAACUGCAGGAGCAGGACCAUCAACAAGAGCCGCGGGAGCUUGAGGAGCAGCAGCAGCGGAGGGGCCUGUUGACGGUCCUUAAGUGUCAAAUUUAAUUAUCAAAUAAAUAAAGAAAAGGAUCUAAAUGAAAUCAACAUCUAGACUUAGGGUUUCAUCUGAUAGAAUUCCACGAGUUUUGGUGUUUGUCUAUUUCUGCAGGGGGUUAUCAGGAAAUACGGAAGAAAGGCCCACACGUCGGGAUUACAUAGAGAUAUUAACGUGCCGCGCAAUUAUCUUACAUCUAGAAGACCCCAGAAGCCACGAGACCGAAGCGGAGGCGAACGAGGCCUGACCCUGGGCGCCCGCCCACCUCCUGAGUCCAAUCAGGACUCUGCUUUGCGAGAGAUCUCCACCGACCUAAAGGAUGAAUCUAAACCAUACAAUCUAUAUCGGUUUGAUCCAACGACCCAUAUUCACUUGAAGGGACUAUAAAACCAGACCCCUUGGCCCCUGGAGGAGAGAGCCUCUCAACCCUAAUUCAUUGUUCCUCAAGGGAGAAGAAGCCUCUGAUCAAGAUUAGAGCCACCACAUCUAUUAGAUAUCUAGAUUAGCAUAGCUACAUAGGAUUAGAACUAGAAGGAGUCAAUCUUCGAUUGGUUUCCGGAUCUGUCAGGAGGAUUCUUGGUAAUUCUCUAAUUGUGCUUCUAAUUACUUUCUAAUUAUCUUUGUUCUUAAUAUUAUGAAUAUGACUUUGUUCUACUUCAAUAUAUUGCUUAUGACUUUGCUCUACUUGUUUAUAUUCAAGAUUAUAUUGUUCUUAGUUUAUCAUAGUUAUGUACUUGGCUUAGUUAGAUUGGAUCUAUAUACAUGCUUAGGAUCGUAUAGCGUUUAUCCAUCGGAUCCAUGGUUAAAUGAUAGAUAUUGUGUAGGCGUGGUGCUUAUACAGUAUUUAUCUGCGAUUGUACCCAAUAUGCCAGAUCGUGGGAUAGUUCGUGGUAGUGAUAGCUUCAUUGAUUCUUAUGUAGUCCCCCUCUCGUGUAUUGGGCUGGCAGAGCAAUAUUAUUACAGGAGAGUGAUUGCUAUGUUUCUCAUUUACCUUGCUAAUAUCACUAUGCAUGGGCGUAGUCUUGUCUCGCAAUGAUUGCUAAGUAUGGUUGCACUAAUUAUGAUAUGCUAGACUAUAUAGUUGAGAAUAACUUAGGAAAUAUUCUUGUAGUUCGUUCUAAUACCAUGCUAAUGACUUUCUAGAGUAUCUAAUUGAGGUGCUUAUUAUAUUUAUUAUGUGGCUAGAUCAGAUUAAUUAUCCUUGUCACUAUUAUUAUUUCAUAUAUCUUUUAUGUGACACUUAUCCCUGUAUGAAGAGUUAGAUAUAAUGUUCUCAAUUAUACAUGCAAUGAUAGAUGCUCAAUCUCAUAUUCUAUUCUAUAAUCAAUAUUGAUGAUUGCUAAUCCCUUCCCAGUGGUAAAAAUAUAAAUAAUGAUACCUGGAAUACUUCCCUGUUAAAAUACUGCAUCGGUAUUUAUCUGUGCGCUUGCAGAUCCCAUUCAUUAUUUAUUUAGAAGAGCAAUUGCAUAUUUCAAUACCGCGUCUCUCAUGUCAUGCUAGGGAUGACAACUUGGCUUAAGUGGUGUGAGGGAUAGGUUUGGCAUUUUUGGCACCGUUACUAGAUUUAGAGAACUUAUUCUACUUUUGGUAAUGAUAUUAAGAAUACCCAACAGGGCCAGACGUCGGAGGAACCGCUCGAGCCACCUCCUCACAGUCCGCCCCAAUCUUUACUACCGGCGCCGCAAGAGCUCGGGAACCACGAAGAGGGUCUGCCGGUUUUCGGCCCUCCGACCCCGGCGUGGCUCCAUCCAGGGGCGCCCGCCGCGAUCCCAGUAGAGUCGGGGCGGACGGACGGUGUGGUGGCGCUUGCCUGCAUGAUGCGCACCCCCGUCGACCCCGAGUCCGAGAUUAGGAGGACGAUCUACGGCAUGGACGGGAUUGCUCUGGGGUUCCUCCGGGAGCGUCGGUCGUGGGAGGACCGUAUUCCCGCCUAGGAGAACGAGGCUGGGACGUCGAGCGGUGGCGGAGGCAACGAAACAGACACCUGGAAGACGGUGGACGACGACGAGCGGUUCCCCUCCCUCGUCGACUUGUUCCUACGCCAUGGGGGGUCCCUCGAGACCGUCGAGGAGCUCAUCCGCGGCGUCAAGGCGCGGGCCGACCAGGAGAUGGAGAACUGGUGCCCCGAUCGGAUCCACAUUCGGGCUUCCACCGAUCCGUCUGAGCCCAACAUCUUCCUAGACGAUCGGAAGGAGGCUGAGAAGUGGGAGCACGUCGAGGAGCUCCGCCUCUGGAUGAAGCACACGGUGGGGCUCCUAUCGAACGUUGUAAACAACGGGCUCAGACCAGCCUACUUUGUAAGUAUUGUUCAGUCUUUCAAUCUUUGUGGAACUUGUUGGUUUUGUGUUCUAACUGCUCGAUCACCGGCUCGCAGGACCUGAAAGAGACCUCCCGCAUUAAGUCAAGCUUCAUUCACGUCACGAGAGGCGGCUGGGAGCAGCUCCCCAUCCUCAAGGACCAACUCCUGGAGUCGCAGGAGAAACUCCUCAAGGCUUACAAAGAGCUCUUAGCGCUCGAGGAGGAGAAAAAGGAGAGGGAGGCUGCCUUAGUCGAGGCUCGAGAGGCCUCAAGGAAGGCGGUGGAAGAGGCUGUGCUGCUGAGGGAGCGGGCUCUGAUGGUCGAGGAGGCUGCGUCCAAAGCCUGGGAGGAGGCCCUGUCCUACAAGAACGUCGUUGCUGACCUGGACAAGGAGAAGGGCCUCCUCAAGACUGACCUGGCCUCCCUCCGAGAAUCCUUCCAGAGGAUGAAUAUGGAGUAUGUGAACAGCGAGGUCGCCAGGAGCGCCACAGAUGAGGCAAAGAAGAAGGCCCUUGAAGACCUCGAGGCGGAGCGGGCUCGAUCCCGCAGCCUCUCUGAUGACGUCGAUCGUCUGAAGAGGGCGCUGCUGGAGAAGGAAGGAGCCAUCACGUAGGCUGGCAAGGCGAUCGUGGAUCUACGCGUCGCCAACACCGUGCUGGCGCGCUCUAACAGGGAGGUCGAGAGUGCCAACACCAAUUUAAAAACACGGCUCUAGAGGAGAGCAUCCGUUGUAUGUUUUCUAUUAUCGAGUUUCUUUCCUAAGGCAUGUUUGGCAUUAUCUAAUCCACUCACUUUGAUUCUUGCAGGGCUCAAGGACGAGCUGCUGGCUGCCCAAGUCGAGCCCGCUCCAUCAAGACCCAGCUCGAGGGGGAGGUCGCCUUGAACGGUCGUCUAAGGACUACGAUAAGCAACCUCUCGGCCUCCUGGGAGCUCGAGCCUAUUGACAAGUGGAGGGAGGAGGCUCGGGGCGACGCACUCGUCGACCAGCUAUGCUAUCUUGGAGCUACGCUAAGAGACCGGGUGCGGGACGCCCUCCACGUCGGAGUGAAGCGGGCGAUGGCGGUAGUCUGCUCAGGCUUCUCCAACGACAUGGAGGUGGUGUCCCACAGCUUCGUCACCGACAUCUCUAAGACUGACGCAGAGAACGAGGUGAGGCUCCAUGCCUUGAUCGACGAUGCAGAGGUUCCUGGAGAGAGGUUGGCUAAGCUAUUCGAGUUAGAGGUACUUCCUCCUGAGACUAGCUCAGGCGCGGAUGAGGAUGGUGAGGGCCGAGACGCGGACUGAGGCCUGCGAGCCUACUCUGGGUGCCUGGGCCCCUUGUAUAGUACUCUGUCAACUUGUAUUUAAGUAAUAUCUUUUAAGUGGUUGUCAAAUGUUUAUCUGUCUUUCCGCUCAAGGCUCUUUUAUUUUCCUUUGCGCCUAUGUUUGUAUUCUUCGUUUGAUCUUUUGUUUAAGGCGAUCUCGAUUGCCUCAAGGGUGAGGAAGCGAGUAGAGUUUCCGUAGCCCGGGGGCAUAGGAGUUCUCAGGCUCGUCGUCUCUCCGCCCUUAAGGGGCUCGAGGUGCCUCUACUACUCGACCAUACGAGAUUACUGAUAGGAAAGAAAGGGUUACUUGGUUUUUUCGACACUUGGGGGGGUCGCCCCCCUGCUAGCCCCCGAGGGGGUAUCGACUAUGAUGGGUCAUAGUUGGUACUCCCUUCUAACGUCGAGAUUUUGACUCGUGAGAAAGUAAAUUGCUUGAGGGAAAGACCUUAUUUAUUCAUGCAUUCAUUUACAAAGCCUUGGUACAGAAUGUACAUGAGAACAUAAAGCUUUGAAAUUCUAGGGGUAGAAUCGACGUAGCUGUUCGAUGUUCCACGCGUUGGUGAAGGUUGCCCCCUUUUCGUCCGCGAGCUUGUAUGUCCCCGACUUCAAGACUUCAGCCACUACGUAUGGGCCCUCCCAAGGUGGAGUCAGCUUGUGGCGUCCUUGAUUGCUUUGCCGCCGUCGUAGGACGAGGUCGCCCAGGUUCAAGUCCCUCUUGCGCACGUGCUUGUCGUGGUAGCGUCGAAGUUUCUGCUGGUAUCUAGCAGAGUUGAGGAGGGCCAUGUCUCGAGCUUCCUCGAGUUGGUCGACCGCGUUCUCUUGAGUCUCUUUAUUCGAUUGCUCGUUGUAUGCUUUGAGUCGAGGGGACCCAUACUCGAGGUCUGUUGGGAGCACAGCCUCAGAGCCAUAGACCAUGAAGAAUGGGGUGUAUUUUGUGGCCCUGCUCGGCGUCGUCCUUAAGCUCCAUAGGACCGAGGAAAGGUCCUCGACCCAUUUCUUGCCGAAUUUCUUCAAGCGAUCGUAAAUCCUCGGUUUGAGCCCCUGCAAAAUCAUGUCGUUGGCAUGCUCGACCUGGCCGUUAGUUCGAGGGUGGGCCACUGUAGACCAGUUCACACGGAUGUGAUGCUGAUCGCAGAAGUCCAAGAACUUUUUGCCAGUGAACUGAGUGCCGUUGUCGGUGAUGAUGACGUUGGGAAUCACAAACCGGUGGAUGAUGUCGGUGACGAAAAGCACGGCCUGCUAGGAGCGGAUGUUGGUGAUGGGUCGAGCCUCGAUCCAUUUGGAGAAUUUGUCGAUGGCCACCAACAAGUGGGUGUACCCCCCUUUUGCCUUUUGUAGAGGCCCUACUAAGUGGAGCCCCCAUACCACAAACGGCCAUGUGAUCGGGAUCAUCUGGAGAGCGUGGGCAGGCAGGUGCGUCCGUUUAGCGUAGAAUUGGCACCCAUGGCAUGAGCGCACGAGUUCGACAGCAUCAGCUACGGUCGUUGGCCAGUAGAAGCCUUAUCGAAAGGCGUUCCCUACGAGGGUCCGUGGAGCAGCAUGGUGACCACAAGCCCUCGAGUGUAGAUCCUCGAGGAGUUUUCGGCCUUCCUCUAUGGUGAUGCAACGUUGCAAGACCCCCGUCGGGCUUUGUCGAUAUAGCUCUUUGUCCUCGCCGUAGCUUACAUAUGAUUUGGCCCGUCGAGCGAUACAGCGGGCCUUGAAUUAGUCUUCUGGUAGCUCGCAGCAGAUUAGGCAGUCGAGGAACGGCGUGCGCCAAUCAAACAGUCGAUUGGGCUGCUGUUCCACCUCCAUUACUUCGGCUUCCAUUAGCAGCGCUUCAACGGAGUCGGUUUGCUGGGCAGGAGAGGCUUCGACGCCAGACCCCAAGCCCAAGUCGACGGAUGGCUCGUGAAGAUCUCUCGAGAGCGCGUCAGGUGGUACCGUGCCUCAAGUCGACGCGAUCUUGGCGAGUUCGUCAGCCGCCUCGUUGUAGCGUCGGGCGACGUGUGUUGACGGUCCUUAAUGCUCACAUUUAACCAACAACUAAUCAUAGAAAAGGAUCCAAAUGCAACCAACACCUAGACUUAGGGUUUUAUGUGACAGAAUUCCGCAAGUUUUUCUUGUUUGUCUAUUUCUGCAGGGGGUUAUUAGGAAAUACGGAAGAAAGGCCCACACGUCGGGUUUACAUAGAGAUAUUAACGUGCCGCGCAAUUUUCUACCAUCUAGAAGACUCCAGAAGCCACGGGAACGAACGGGAAGGAAAUCGGGCUCGGAGGCAGGGCGCCCGCCCAACUCUCCUGGGCGCCCGCCCAGCUACAGUGCCCAAUCAGGACACGUUUCGCGGAUUAUGCUCCACCGACCUAAAGGAUCAAGGAAAACCGUGCGAUCAAUGUCGGUUUGAUCCGACGGCCCAGAUUCACUUGAAGGGACUAUAAAACCAGACCCCCUGGCCCCUGGAGAUCAUACCUCUUCUACAGAAUCAAAGCUAGGGUUUCAAUUCUUCAUCCAAGUAGAGAGGAUCCCUCUAGUUUUUCUUGUUCUACCUCUAGUUCAUCUAGAUCUAGUUCUAGUUCAUCUAGUUCUAGUUCUAGUUCUUCUAGUUAUAGUUCUAGUUCGUUCUAGUUGUAAUCUAGAAAAUAGGGAGAGAGAAGAGGAGAGCGGAGGAGGAGCCGGAUGUGUCGGAUCUUCCUCAACAUUGUACUUUUGCAGCAACUGGUUCGUUCUUCAUCGUUCUCCAGGUUCUUCAAUUCAUAACUCCUGAGUUCUCUAAUUACUUUUAUUUACAUUCAAGUUAUUUAUUGGAUUCCCGCUUGCAUCAAGUGCUCUAAUCUUUGAAACAUUAGAGUAGUAAUUAAUAGAUUAGAUGUGGUGUUUAGUUUUGCAAUUACCUGGAAUUGCACCCAAUCCUGCGGAUUGUUGUGGUACCCUUAGGGUAGUGACAGCCCUAACGGUCGACGUAUUACACCUCGUUCGGAUCGGUGUUUGUAGGACCGUAGUCAGACCUUCCUAGCCCCCUUCUCAUUUCUUUCUGUGGUUAGUGCUCUGAUGUCCCGAUAUAAAUAAUCUUGAAGUAAUUCUUGAUUCUUAGAUCAACUAGAGAACUCUCAGGAAACUUCCUCUCUUCCCACCAAAAAUAAUUAUAUAGUUAUCCUUGGGCGAUCUUGAUUCUUAAUUAGUACACUCACGUUCUCUGUGGAAAAUCGAUACUCUGGAAUACUCCCGGGUGAAAGCUACAUCGGUAUCCGUGCGCUUGCGGAUUUUUCUGUUUGCGUUUAAAAUACCCAACAAGCUUUCUGGCGCCGUUGCCGGGGAACGGUAGCUGUGGUAGUUUCGAACCAAGUCGUCCGUGUAUCCUUUUUCUUUUCCUUUUUUACCACACUCACCUUAUCAUUUUCACCAUACCACAUGGAUUUCACUCUAAGCAUUAAUGAGCAUGGAAUUUAUUUCAUAGCCACUUCAUUUACUCCAUGCUCAUAUGCAACAUCUUCACAAUCCAUUGGUCUCUCCAACAUCACCAUAUUCGAGAUCUCCAACCCCCUCAUUCUUUCUAUUCGUAAAAACUUUAAAAGGGUGGUUGUCGAUGCAUAUGUCUAUAAUAAAUUUUGCAGAUCUCGUUGAGUUGAUCUUGAUAUAGGUCAGCGUUGGAGGGGAAACCACUUCACUGACAUAAAUUGAUGGUUUCCCAAGGACAAGCUUAGUGUCCUAAAACAAGCACUGAUCAGAUUGUAACAUGAGCUUUUAAUUAUUUGCAACAUUACCUUGUAUAUUGAGCACAUAAGGAUAAUUGUAAAAAUAUUCCUUCGUGUAUUCUUGUCACUAACCUUUCCAGGAUUGGAGCAAGAAGAUCGGAUGAAUGACAAGCACAAGGUAUGUCCAACCAAUCAUCAUACAACAUUGAAUUCAAUUCAUCCAAACUUGAAUUUUGCAAAAUUCAAGCUUGGGGGAGUACUUUACAUAAAAACAUUUUUUGCCAUGUUGCUAUGUUGGUUGUCCCUACCUUUGAGACAUGCUAAAUUUGUUAAAUACUAAUCACACUACUUCAUCUCCACUUGAGUAGAUCUCUAUAAAUGCCCUCAUGCUACCUUUAUUUGCUUUAGUAUAUGUUUAGGUUUGGAGUAGUUUCAUUUAUCUCUUAAUUAAGCAAGGUGCUUAGUUAGGAAUGUUGAUCUUACUUCCAAGGGAUUUUAAAUAAAGCAUGGUGCUUAGGUUAAAAUACCCUCCUAAAUCAAAUUAGACAUGGUGUCUAGGUUGAUCUUUGAGCCGAUAGUAUGCUAUAGUAGAUAUUGGAUAUUUUGUUGGACUAACCCCUGCAGGAAAACUUUCAAUAUCGACCUGGGAAGUCCUGAGAUAAACUCACAUUGGAGAUAAAGAGAGAGACACAUGAAGUUUAACAAUUUACACAAGGAAGGCAUAGCUCACAAGAGAUGAUCCAUGGAGGGUGCCACAAACACGAUGCACAACCGCUAAGAGAGGAAAGCUUCCACAAGGUGAUACUGUACCAUCACUCUUCAAGUAAGGUAACAUCUUAAGGUACUUGACUAUCACUUCUAUAAGCUUCUCCUUGGUUCUAGCAUUCACAUGAAUAAAAGAGACAAACAUGUAUGAUUUACAAUUCUAGAUUAACCAACCCAAUCGAUUCAAUAUGUUUAGUCCUUUCACCUUUGUGAUCCCGCACUAAAUGUUGCACACACAAUCUUUGGAAGAUAUAUAUAAAACAAGAGAUAAGUAUAGAUAGAUUAUCUUUCCAUUAGGUUGAGUGAUCUGAUCUGAUGAAUGUUUUAAAUGCUACACUCAUGAUCUUAUUAUCCAUCAACUUUGUCUUGCUCACUAUGCUUAAGGUUAGAGAGAACAAAUACACUUUUUGGUUCUGUUGGUGUUUUCCACCAACAGGGCCCAUGCACUUGAUCUCUGCCUUGUCUCUAUGAGCAGGUACACUUCGAGCAAAAUAUGAAGGACUUUUACAACUCCCAGACUCCACCAAGUGAAGAACCUAGAUCUACGAGCACAAACACACUGGGGAUACUGGACACUCAGGCAAUCACUGUCCUGAGAUGCUUGAGGAUGUAACUACUGGAGUAACCCCGUUGUGGAAGUAAUUACUGACCUUCUGCCGGUCAAGAGAGACAAUCCAGGACGCCCCGUCAUCCCGAUCUCCAUCGGCAUGGUGGACUUUCUAGAAGCACUCUGUGACUUUGGCUCUAGAAUCAACAUUAUGCCCAGGGUACUCUAUAAAAAAUUCUUUACACAUCCUUUCCUAGAAACAACCAUGUGUUUGCAGCUUGCAGAUCAGACACUAAGUUUCCCAAAGGGAAUAUUGAAGAACCUCUACGUCCGAGUUGGUACCUUAUACGCUCCAGCAGACUUCGUGGUGAUAGAGACUGAUACUGAUGAGAGGGCACCCAUCAUCCUAGGGAGGCCAUUCCUGAACACUUCGGGAGCUAUCAUUUAUGCUAGUGCUGCCAAGAUCAGUUUCUACAUCAAGGGGAGGAAGGAGACGUUUUCCUUCAAGAACAAGACUACACAAAUCCUAGAGCAAUCCCGACAUGAACCAUGGAAGAGGACCAACAGGAGGAACAGGAACAAGCAAAUGUGUACCGAGUCAGCUAAGAUGGUCACUGCAGCUCAAGGAGGUCAAGAUCGUCAACUCAAGUCACCUUUCUUGAUCAAGAAGGACGAUCCUGGUGUUCCAAGCAUCGAGUACACAAUCAACGGAUAUUCUUUUCAGAAGACACUCUACGACACCGGAUCUGACGUCAACAUAAGGGCCGCAGUCACUUAUCAGCUCCUAUUCGGAACCAUGCCUCUAGAACCGACAUACAUUCAGCUUCAGAUAGCAGAUCAGACAUUCCGAAAGGUUGAAGAUUUUCAGGUUAUUGACAUGGUAGAACACUAGUACGAUCCAACCAUCAUCCUUGGAAGACCGUUCCUCAGCACCGUUAAAGCAAUCAUAUACAUUGGAACCUAAGAAGUCCACAUGCACUUCCCCUCUGAGAAGGUAUGCCACUAUUUUUCUGACCUUAACUAUAUAGUUGAAGACUCUAAGCAGGUCAGGACAAGAAGAAGAUGACGCAACCGUAACCAGAGGAGGCAAAUCAUCAAGGACGGAUGGGCAGACUAUGAAGGAGAAGUUGUAUGGUCUAAAGACAUACAACUUGAACAGAACUGUCCUGAGGAGACCGUAGCACCGAGUCAGGUGUGGAGAGAGAAGAUAGUUAUACACGAAGAGCAGGCUCUGCCGGAACCACCGACUAUGCCAUCCAGCGAAUCCCAGGAUGACUGAGAAAACGGAGAGUCCCGUUCGGAGGACUUAAAAACACCGAACGCCUUGCCAAGAGGUAAACUUGGUAGUUGUCUUUUUCCUUUCAAUUAUUUUGAAAUAGUUUGCUUAGUUAAUCAGGUUGACAUCAUCUUAAAAAGAAUAUGAAAAUGUUAAAAAUAGUAAGCUCCAUGUGAGUAUGCUCAUGACAUAAAACCCAUAAGUACAUUCACUGUGGUGGCGUAAAAAUAAAUAUAUCUUCCUGUCCUAUAAAAAUGAAAAUAUAAAUAAGAUUAUGAUCCUACUAAAGAGAGUAACAUUUAUUGAGGAGGCUCAACAUGAUAAAGGCUAGAUAUUUAUGCUAACACUUAACUAGUUCCACAAAGCUUUGUUGUCUAUUUGAGCUCCACAGAAUUCAAGGAUCAAAGAAGACUAGCAGACGGAGGACAUGCUAAUCGCUGUCAGGGUGCUGCUGACAUUCAAAUACACCUCCACCACUUGCUAGCUACAUUAGAAGAAACUACGUCAAAAUCCAGCUUGGGGGAGAGCACCCCCAUUUAUCCAGCUAAGUAUUCUACUCACGUUUAUACUUUACUCUAAUAAUAAAAAGAUGCAUAAUCAUAGAAACCCAAAUAAAGAUUUUGAGCUUAUAUAUAUCUUUGCUUAGUUUGGUAAAUAAAUAAAUAAAUAAAGUUUGCUAUGAACCCUCAUGAUAAGCUCUCACAUGGAAAUGAUGAAUAGUUGCUCUGCCAUGACUAGUUCUAAAAAUUGAAAUCUCUCUCAAGUUUAGGCAUAACUGUUAUGAAUUAAGAUUUUCUCUAAACCUGAACUUGUGGGGAGAGUACUUGAUCUGAAGUCUAAGUCGUUAACGGAUAUACUAUAGGAAGUUUGAGCUGCUAUUUAUCUGUUCCUAGAGAUGCUAGAAUUCUGGAGAAUUUUAUCUUUGAAAAUCAUUAAAAUAUUACAUGAUGAGUUCCUGUAUGAUGAGAGUUUAAAUUCCUACCACAGCCAUAUAUGCAUGCUUGCUAGACUUUGAGCCACACAUUUACUUUUUACUACUUAUGAGCAUUGAGUGUGGUCAAGCUGUGUAGACCCUUAGGAGCUUGUCAUGUGGAUAAAUCAAGAUUCACUUGCACGUUCACUCACACAUGCUGCUUCUACUCCGGAAGUACGCAUCCACAUAUAUCCACCCAUUUCCAUCUCCAAAGCCACCCAAAAAUAUUCUACUCCUAAUCCGGGAGAGAAUAGCCAAAAAUAUUUCUGUUUUUCCCCUGCGAAAUAAAUGCUCAAGUUAUCUUGUUACUACCACUUGCUAUAUUAUCUCAUGAGAUGAGUGCUCUUAAAAAAAAGAAAAAAAAAAGAGACGAGGAAAUAAAAAGGGGCAAGUGCCCGGAACCUCGAAGAAAAGAAAAAGUGAGACGAGAGGUAAAAAUGGACAAGUGUCCGACAGUAGAAUUAGGGGUACAAGAUACCCACCUGAGAGAAAAGAAAAAGAAAAUAUAGAGCAUCUCAUUCUCCCCAAAAGUUUCAAAAGAGCAAGAAAGGUAUGUAUCCCCUCAAAAGAGCAUAAGUAGAAUUAGACUUUCACCAUUGUUAUCACCAUCAUCACCAUACACCAUUCAUUCGCCACACAUGCACAUCUUGAUUUGACUUAUUGACUUGUUCUUCUGGAUCCAUGGUUUGACUAUGCAAUAAAUGUCUUGUAAGUAUGUAUACUUUGUCUCCCACCUACGAGCUCCAGAUAUCAAAACCUUAUUAGAGUAGGGUGAGAGAGAAGGCAAUGUCACUAUGCCUCAUACCAAAAAUACUACAUACUUUGAGAGAAGGCAUACACCAUUACUGCCUUGGUAAGGAUCCAGAAAUACCACAAAAGAGAGACUAGAGAGAGUCAUACAAGGAAUCUCUGAGUUUUAUUUGAAAAUCUACAAAAAAAACUCCACAGCUAUAGUUAAUCGAAGAACAAGAGACAUGGUGCUUGACUAGACUGUUCUAUCUUUUAACAACUCGAGACAGAAGUGACGGUUACAAGUCCCAUGGUGAAAGGUAAAUGAGUAAGUUUUAAGUCUUAACAGUUUACUCUAACCAGAGAUGAGAUCUUGUUUAAACGCAUGUGUAUCUUUAAGGCAUGAAACCACUGUAGAAACUCUUGAGUCCAUCUUUGCUCAGGGACGAGCAAAGGUUAAGCUUGGGGGAGCUUGUUGAUGGUCCUUAAUGCUCACAUUUAACCAUCAACUAAUCAUAGAAAAGGAUCCAAAUGCAACCAACACCUAGACUUAGGGUUUUAUGUGACAGAAUUCCACAAGUUUUGGUGUUUGUCUAUUUCUGCAGGGGGUUAUUAGGAAAUACAGAAGAAAGGCCCACACGUCGGGUUUACAUAGAGAUAUUAACGUGCCGCGCAAUUUUCUACCAUCUAGAAGACUCCAGAAGCCACGGGAACGAACGGGAAGGAAAUCGGGCUCGGAGGCUCUCCUGGGCGCCCGCCCAGCUACAGUGCCCAAUCAGGACACGUUUCGCGGAUUAUGCUCCACCGACCUAAAGGAUCAAGGAAAACCGUGCGAUCAAUGUCGGUUUGAUCCGACGGCCCAGAUUCACUUGAAGGGACUAUAAAACCAGACCCCCUGGCCCCUGGAGAUCACACCUCUUCUACAGAAUCAAAGCUAGGGUUUCAAUUCUUCAUCCAAGUAGAGAGGAUCCCUCUAGUUCUUCUAGUUCUACCUCUAGUUCAUCUAGAUCUAGUUCUAGUUCAUCUAGUUCUAGUUCUAGUUCUUCCAGUUAUAGUUCUAGUUCGUUCUAGUUGUAAUCUAGAAAAUAGGGAGAGAGAAGAGGAGAGCGGAGGAGGAGCCGGAUGUGUCGGAUCUUCCUCAACAUUGUACUUUUGCAGCAACUGGUUCGUUCUUCAUCGUUCUCCAGGUUCUUCAAUUCAUAACUCCUGAGUUCUCUAAUUACUUUUAUUUACAUUCAAGUUAUUUAUUAGAUUCCCGCUUGCAUCAAGUGCUCUAAUCUUUGAAACAUUAGAGAAGUAAUUAAUAGAUUAGACGUGGUGUUUAGUCUUGCAAUUACCUGGAAUUGCACCCAAUCCUGCGGAUUGUUGUGGUAGCUGUUGACGGUAUUUAUACCAUGUUUUCUACUAUCAUAACCGUCAACAUAAGACUCAUUUUGGGAGAAAACAACCAAACAAAGUAGUAAUAUAGGUACAUAUAACCUAGUUCCACAUGUACAUGCUACUAUUUGGUUGCAGGAGUAAGAACAGGUACUUUUCAAGGGUCCAAACACUAAGAAGGGGUGAAUAACAAAAGAUCAGUGACACCAGUAACCAAGACAACAUUAUAGUCAUGAAGAGGAAGACAUGUAGGACAGGGCUGACACCCUAACCCCAUAGAAUUGGGGUCGGGCGACCCCACUUUGGUGGGUCCCACAGGUCAGCUCAACUCCACCGACAUCAGAGAGCCUCCAGGACACUGCAGGUGGGCCCAACCAGCCAGAUAGGGGGUCGGCCGACCCCACUUCAUGGCGGUUCCAGGGUCGGUUGGCCUCCCACCGACCUUGCCCACAUGUUGCACAUGUUAGUUUGCCUCUACCGUUGAUCAGAUGGCGGUUGUGAAGUCGGUUUGAUCCAAUGGUGCAUGAUGAAGAUGACGCGGAUCGCUGACGUGGCACCGGAGUAGCCCCUACUCCAUCUCCCACUAUAAAUACCCCCUAUUCCUUCACUUAAGAGUCAUGUAUCUUAGGAGUAAACUACUUUAGUAGCUUAGUGAUAUCAUAGUGAGUAGAGAGUGAGGAGUUCCAAGGAGGGGUCCCGGCUUGUCGGGAGUCUUCUUCGCGGAGCACCUCAGCGGAAGCAGGUCUUCUUGUAAGUCUUACUUCUGAGUCUUUUCUAGUAUUUAAUAUUUGGUCUGGUACUUUAAGUAUAAGAAUCCUUUACUGGCACAUUGCUUGAUCUUGAGUGCUCUUAGCUUUAGCUAAGCUUAGGGUAGCAAGAGCUAGUUUAGACGUGGUGUCUAGACUACUUCUUGCCAGUGUGGACUCCUUGUCGCAGUUGUGUAGACACCUAGUGUGAGAGUGACAGUCCUCGCUAGGCGGAAAGUUCCUCGCAUCUGUUGUAGGCAAGUUGCAAAUAAUAGUUGGGCUGAGCAGGGUAGUCGCUUAGGAGACGAGGAGGUGAAAAACUUCGUUAACUCAAUCCUCCUUUUCGGGUAUCGCCCUCAGUAAAGAGUUAGGUGAAAAACCUUGACUAUACUUAAUUACCAAGACCAGGCAUUAAUACUAGUUAGACCUCUCUACCCCAUUAUCCUAGACCCUUUGAUCAUCACCUAACGAUCUAAAGCCUAGUUAAUUCACUUCGCGUUCCCCGUGGAAAUCACGAUACCUGGAAUACUCCCGGUGAAGGCUACAUUGACUACCGUACGCUUGCGGUAUAACCGUUUGCCACUUCUGGUGUCAACAAGCUUUCUGGCGCCGUUGCCGGGGAACAGUAGCUGUUUUAACUAGGAAAAAAAAAUCGUUAAGUUAUCUUUGUUUGAUUUAAAACUUUAUACACAUAUCCAAAUGGAUCAAACAACCCUCUUCGAUUACGCUGCUCCAACGGGCGCUGAGUUGGAGCCAGCGAGUUCAUCAAAAGCCAUUUUGGCCUGUCACUAUGAGCUUCGCCCGAGUCUCAUAGCGAUGGUUCAGGAGAAUCCCUUUUCGGGAGAAGGAGAUGAAAAUCCUUACACACACCUACGAGAUUUCGAACAACUUUGUUCAUGCAUCCACAUCCAAGGGAUGAGGCGAGUUACCCUCAAGUGGAAGGUCUUUCCGUUCUCUUUGACGGGAAAGGCCAGACGGUGGUACACUCGCUAUGUAGGUAGUGUAGGAGGAGAAUGGGAAAAGCUGCAAGCCAAAUUCUGCCUCACCUACUUUCCCAUCUCUAGAAUAGCUCGUCUCCGUAGAGAAGUCCUAGACUUCAAGCAAGAAGGGAAGGAGUCUCUAGGUACGGCCUGGGCGCGUCUCACCGACUUAACAUCAUCUGGCCCAGACUUAGGUAUAACCGAGCCAAUUCUUAUGCAACAUUUUUACCUCGGACUUAGCCAACAAUCCGCACAAUUCCUUGAUUUAGCCUCCAAGGGAGCAUUCCUUCAUUUACCUAUCAGUGAAGGUAAGGCCAUUCUUGGGACUAUUCUCGAGAAUACCCCUUACACUGAUGAUCAUAUUGAAGCUCCUGAGGAAGAUCGAACUCCUAGGGAUGAACCUUCGACAGCCAAAACUCCUUUAGCCGCAACCCAAGCUGUCGAACCUGAACCAAUACCACAAGCACCUCCAAGGGAAGAAGUAAUUCAUCCCUUGGAUUACCCACUUAACAUCGAGACUGAUCUAUUUGCCGAUUUUGGCAAUGUCUCGAAUCAACCUGUGCAAAGGAGAUCUACAGCACGCAGAGCUCCGAAUAGCCAUAUCCCAGCUCAUCUUGAGGCUGGUUACCUCAGGGCAACUGCCCAAGAACUCACGGCUAUUAUGAGUAAUGAAUGGGUUAGAGAAGCUGAGACAUCAUCUGAUGUCAUCAAACUUCUUUCGAGUUUUACACCCAUUCCCUGUGUCAUAAACUCCACUCCUAUAGAAUCCCUUUAUGACCCUGCUGUAGGAGUAAGCCUAAUGUCCAAAUCAUUAGUACUGACACUCCUAGGCGAGGAACCAUUAACCCCGACCAGCAAAUUUCUUAAAUUACCCUCUGGGGAAAUGGUCGAGAGUUGUGGGAUUGCGCAGAAUAUUCCUGUCUCCAUUAACAAAGUCAACAUUCUGCUAAACUUCUUUAUCUUUGAUAUGAAAGAAGUUGACUUGUUAAUCGGGCACCCCAUCAUGAGGUUCCUAAAUGGAUUUCAUGAAGGGCGUCUCAAGGGUAACCUCGGGAAGGGCUUAGACCUUUCUAUGCCUUUUGCCGGCUCUAUUAAUUCUAAAGCCGAGACCCCGCCCGAGCCUGACCCAAUAAAGGAGGUGAUGUCGGCAUCUCUUCUGGACGCUUCUCAGCCUGACUUAGAAGAAGACGCCGAAAACUUCAUCCAAGAAGAAGAGAACAAAUUAGAAGAACCAUUAGACUUGGAUGAAUCUAAACCACCACCAAAACCCUCUAUAGAACUUAAGCCACUUCCCUCUGGACUUAAGUACGCCUUCCUUAAUGGUGAUAGAGAGACUCCGGUAAUCAUUAGUGAUCAACUGACAGAAGAAGAAGUCACCAAACUCAUCAUCGUCUUAGAAGAACGCCGCUCUGUCUUAGGAUACUCGUUAGAAGACCUUAAGGGAAUUAGUCCUGCACUCUGCACUCAUCGCAUCCCUAUCGAACCCGAUGCUAUACCUUCCAGGGAGCCUCAGAGAAGGCUAAAUAAUGCGAUGAGAGAAGUUGUGAAGAAAGAGGUCUUAAAACUAUUGCAUGCGGGCAUAAUCUACCCUGUUCCGAACAGUGAAUGGGUCAGCCCCGUUCAAGUAGUUCCUAAGAAAGGAGGAAUGACGGUCGUUAAAAAUGACAACAAUGAACUCAUUCCUCAACGGACUGUCACGGGAUGGAGAAUGUGCAUAGACUACCGAAAACUUAACAAGGCCACUAAGAAAGACCACUUUCCGUUGCCAUUCAUCGAUGAGAUGCUGGAACGGUUAGCCAAACACUCUUUCUUCUGCUUCCUUGAUGGGUAUUCGGGUUACCAUCAAAUCCCAAUCCAUCCCGACGACCAAAGUAAGACUACAUUCACAUGCCCCUACGGAACAUAUGCAUAUAGGCGCAUGUCUUUUGGCCUAUGCAAUGCUCCUGCCUCUUUUCAAAGGUGCAUGAUGUCCAUCUUCUCCGAUAUGAUCGAGGAAAUCAUGGAAGUUUUCAUGGACGACUUCUCCGUCUAUGGGAAAACUUUUGAUGAUUGCCUAAAGAACCUGGACCGAGUCUUACAAAGGUGCCAAGAGAAGCACUUGAUCUUGAACUGGGAAAAGUGCCAUUUUAUGGUUCGAGAAGGGAUAGUGUUAGGACAUAGAGUGUCCGAACGUGGGAUAGAGGUAGAUAGAGCUAAAAUUGAAGUUAUAGAACAGCUCCCUCCUCCCACAAAUGUUAGGGGCGUCCGUAGCUUUCUUGGCCAUGCAGGCUUUUAUAGAAGGUUCAUACAAGAUUUCUCUCAAAUUGCUAGACCUUUAACAAACCUGUUAGCUAAGGAUGCACCCUUUGAUUUUAAUGAUGAGUGCUUGGAUUCCUUUUACUAUCUUAAGAAAGCACUUAUCUCUGCACCAAUCAUUCAACCCCCUGAUUGGUCGCUACCUUUUGAGAUAAUGUGUGAUGCUAGUGAUUACGCUGUAGGUGCUGUCUUAGGACAGACUAAAGAUAAGAAGCAUCACGCAAUAUCUUAUGCUAGCAAAACACUAACAGGACCACAGCUGAAUUAUGCAACAACUGAAAAAGAACUGUUGGCUGUAGUGUUUGCUAUAGACAAGUUUAGAUCUUAUUUAGUUGGAGCAAAGGUGAUUGUUUACUCCGAUCACGCAGCUCUAAAAUACUUGCUCACUAAAAAAGAUGCUAAACCAAGAUUAAUAAGAUGGAUCCUACUACUCCAAGAAUUUGACUUAGAAAUUAGAGAUAAAAAGGGAGUAGAAAACUCGGUAGCCGAUCACUUGUCUAGGAUGCAAAUCGAGGAUAAACAGGAUCCACCUAUCAACGACUACCUUCGAGACGACACACUCCUCCGAGUUUCAGAAGCCUACCCAUGGUAUGCAAACAUAGUCAACUACCUGGUGUCCGGAUACAUACCAUCUGGGGUAGACAAGAAGAAGCUUGUUAAAGAGAGUAGGGUGCACCUAUGGGACGAUCCUUACCUCUACAGAGUCUGUCAAGAUGGCAUACUCAGGAGAUGUGUUCCCAUGGACGAAGCAGUAAAAAUAAUGGAAAAAUGCCAUGGGGCAGAGUACGGAGGCCACUAUGGAGCAUUCAGGACCCAUGCCAAGAUAUGGCAGAGUGGAUUCUACUGGCCUACCAUGUACGAAGAUACAAAGAACUUCGUGAGGAGAUGUGCAAGGUGUCAGAAGCAUGGGAACAUCAAUACUCGUGAUGCAAUGCCACUCACAAACAACUUACAAGUCGAGAUAUUCGAUGCUUGGGGCAUAGACUACAUGGGGCCAUUCCCUUUGUCACAAGGGUUUGAGUACAUCCUAGUGGCAGUAGACUAUGUGUCCAAGUGGGUCGAAGCAAUGCCCUGCAGAGCAGCCGACUCUACACAUUCGAUAAAGAUGUUCAAGGAAGUCAUAUUUCCACGCUUCGGCACCCCCAGACUAGUUAUCAGUGAUGGAGGGAGCCACUUCAUUGACAGAAGAUUCCGACGGUUCUUAGCUGAAGUGGGGAUAAGGCACAACAUUGGAACACCCUAUCACCCUCAAACGAGCGGACAAGCAGAAACAUCUAACAAACAAAUCAAGAACAUUCUGCAGAAGACUGUCACUAAGAUGGGAACCGGCUGGAGAAGCCAUCUACCAGAUGCACUUUGGGCAUACAGGACCGCAUACAAGACCCCAAUUGGUAUGACACCAUACCAACUUGUAUACGGUAAGACAUGCCAUCUACCGGUAGAGCUAGAGCAUAGAGCUCACUGGGCAAUCAAGAAAUGGAACAUGGAUUUGCCCUCGGCCGAAAGAAAUACAAAGCUCCAAAUCUCCGAACUAGAAGAAUGGAGAGAUAAAGCCUAUCACAAUGCCAGGAUCUACAAAGAGAGAACAAAAAGAUGGCAUGAUAAAAGGAUCAAGCAAAAGGAAUUUCAUCCUGGGGAUAAGGUUCUCAUGUUCAACUCAAGGGUCAAGUUAUUUGGCCAUGGAAAGCUAAGGAGCAAAUGGGAAGGACCAUUCUUCGUUGUUGACGCCGCGACUCAUGGAGCGGUAACGCUGCGGGACGACGACGGCAACACCUUUAAGGUAAAUGGUCAUCGUCUUAAAGUUUUCCAUGAACAUGAACCUUUAGAAGAAGAAGUUGAUAUGAUAGAAUUUGAAUCUGACACAAAGUCUUAAAAUCCACAUGUCCUUCUUUUUACCCCCUUUUUUAAAUAAUUGCUAAAUCAAUAUAUUUAGUUCCUUUUUGUUUUGAAAUAGGUUUGUAAAGGGUUUUAGAUGACGUAGGAUCAAAGUUGGGCCGCCGAACACCCCAAAUGGGGGUCGGCCGACCCCUCUUCUAGGGGUUUUGGCCCAAGGGGGGAUAGGUUUAGAAAGAGGGGAAUGAAUAGAGUUCGGUGCUGAAAUUCAAAAUUCAAAAUCCUGAAAUAUAGGGGUCGCCCGACCCCAAUAUUUUGAGUUUUGAAAUCCCCUAGAGUCUCGGAUCGUCCCUCAAAACGUUCCACGACGCUCCUUUUCAAAAUUCAAACUCUCAGGCUCCAAACACAUCUAUUUAUCCCCCCUCUUCUUCUUCUUCCUCCUCUCAAUUCAUUCCUUCUCAUCUUCACCUCGAACCAGACUCUCCUAGCCUCCAUUCCUUGCCAAGAGAUUCAUCUCCAUGGCUCCUCCAACUAAAUCUUCCAACCAAGCCAUUCGCUCCAACUCCCCACGUUCGCAAAGGUCUCUAACUGAGAGCCUGGAGCUUGCCCUAGCCGUCAACGUGCUGGAGCCUGAACCACUAGCCAUGGUGCCGCCGGCUGGAGGGCCGACGGGCCCCAUGUGGGGGUCGCCCGACCCCAAGAGGGGUCGCCCGACCUCGCCCCGGGUGACGCAGCGCUCCGCGUCGGCCUCUUGUUCGCUCACACCGCGCAGGGGCAUCGGCAAGUCCCCUACUCGAGCCGUAACGCCGGUUCGACCUACCACGGGCCAACUUGCGCUGCGGGAGAAGGCGCCGAUGGCCACCAAGCAGGCCAUCACCAUCUCCUCCGACACGAUCCACACCUCUUCCUACUCGCCGUCCACCCCAACCUUUUGGAGGAACCACCAAGUGGUGGGCAGUGGGCCGGGAAAGGGGAAGGUGCUGAUCCCGCCGCUGAACUCUAAGGAAAAGAUGGAGUUGCGGGAGUCCUUUGACUCGUCAGCAAGUCCAUCCAUCCGGCGGAAGAUGGAUCCACCUCCGAUCAACGGUGCGCCUGGCAAAUACGAAGAAGAUCCAGAAAAAGGCGACAUCGAGAAGCUCCUGGAAGUCACAGCUAGCCUUAGAAAGAAAAAUAGGAUCUUAGAGGAGACAGUGUCGGAGCUCAGGAUGGAGAAUCUUGAGUUAGAAGAUCACUUCCGCCACCUGCGCAUUAGCACCAGCGCUAAAAUCAAGCGUUUGGCGCAAGCAAUUGGGCGGGAGGAUCUCCUCAAACCUCCAUCUCCCUAAAUAAAUUAGUUAGUUUAGGUUAUAGGCAUUAUUUGAUUAUUUAGGUUUGAUUACUCAAUUUUAUUUUUCAAAUUGUCACUUUGAAUUUCGCAAUGUAAAAGUGCCUAUACAAUUGAAAUUUGAUUUAAUGGAGUCGUUUUUGGUCCUGCUGGUGUGUUGCCACCAGCAGGACAUCUGCAUUUGAUCGUCUCUCUCUAUUUUAAGUUCAGCUGCACGAAAACUGCAAGUGUGGGGGGGUCGCCCGACCCCCCAACUUCAUCUCUGAACUGCCGUGAGCAUGGAACAACACUGCAUACACCUUGGCACGUCAUGGCACCAAAAACAGGCACGAUGAGGGGGUCGCCCGACCCCCUUUCUAUGGCAAAAGGAAAUGACACAAGUGCAGAAAGACUUCCCGAGGGACGUAGAAUCGAGUGGCAGGGCCAGGAACCUCCAGGUGGGGUCGGCCGACCCCUCCAUAGAGCCCUGGGCCCACCAGGAAGCUUCUAUACGACGAAACACAUCUUUCCUGCCCGGUUUGCUAACUCUUCCCCCUCUCAGUCUGUCCAAUUCUUUACCUUUGUGUCACAAUUAAAAUAAAAUUUGAUAGUUUAAACUUGUUUGCAAAAUAAAAAGUGAACUGGUUCAUGAUUUAAGAGAAAUUGUGACAUAAAGUAUAGUUCUUACAAUUGUUCAUCCUCAUGGGUAAAAAUCUAUAGGAACCAUAUUGACUAAGUUGUUGAUGAAAGUGAUAUAACUCUUGGCUAAGAAUUCAUAACAUUUCUAUUCAAGGUACUUAGAGAUUUGUUUCAAAAAUAUCACAAAACCAUAGUAUCAUUCACUCCUCAUUAGCAAGAAAUUCCCACCAAAAGCCAUACACUUAGAUAUUCAAGUAACCAUUUUAUGAAAUGCAACCUGCUUUUGUAAUGAGUUUUGUCAAAACCUUGUUGACCCUAGUGAGAGUUGUAUCAUAGUCACAAGAUCAAGAUCACGUACACACCACAUAUAUAUAUGCUGCUUCUACACUGGAAGUACGCAACCACAUGUAUUGUGCAUCCACUAAAUAGGUUGCUCCAUACUCUAAGUGUUAGAACACCUCUCUAAAUAUUGUUUAGAAAAUGAGACAUAAAAGGCUUGGCAAAAAAAAAAAAAUUGAGCACAUAAAGCUCGAAGAAAAAGAAAAUCUAGCCAUGUCUCAAUAUACAAGUAGAGAGAGUGUAGCAAAUAAAGGAGCAACCUAGUCCACCAUAUAACACACUUGCACAUUUUGAUCUAUGACUAUGACACUCCUCUCUUUGGAUCCUUGUUUUUGACUUAACAAUAUUUGCAAAGUAGAGUAUGCUACCUUGUUUAUCCCUACCAAGCCCCAUAUAAGCCUAUAGUUAUAGGAUGAAACAAGUUGGCAUUCAUGCCUUGGUGAGGACUACUAAAAAAAAAAACUUUGAGUGAUCUAGAGCGCUAAAUGAGGAGUAGGAUUGAACUAUGUGACUUAUUUUAAAAAGUGUCAUAAAAACUCUAAGUACCAAGAAUAUGAAAUUGGAAUUUGAUCUUGUUCUGAGAGUUGUUCCUUUUCUCAACCUCUGAAGGAUAUAUGCUAGACACUUACACAAAAACCCAUUUGGAUGAACUAUGUUCGAACUAGCAUUUUAUGCUCACUACUAUCUUAAGUUAGAACCCAUUGAUCACUCAUUUUUAACCUUUACUCGAGGACGAGCAAAGACUCAAGUGUGGGGGGUCUUGUUGACGGUAUUUAUACCAUGUUUUCUACUAUCAUAACCGUCAACAUAAGACUCAUUUUGGGAGAAAACAACCAAACAAAGUAGUAAUAUAGGUACAUAUAACCUAGUUCCACAUGUACAUGCUACUAUUUGGUUGCAGGAGUAAGAACAGGUACUUUUCAAGGGUCCAAACACUAAGAAGGGGUGAAUAACUAAAGAUCAGUGACACCAGUAACCAAGACAACAUUAUAGUCAUGAAGAGGAAGACAUGUAGGACAGGGCUGACACCCUAACCCCAUAGAAUUGGGGUCGGGCGACCCCACUUUGGUGGGUCCCACAGGUCAGCUCAACUCCACCGACAUCAGAGAGCCUCCAGGACACUGCAGGUGGGCCCAACCAGCCAGAUAGGGGGUCGGCCGACCCCACUUCAUGGCGGUUCCAGGGUCGGUUGGCCUCCCACCGACCUUGCCCACAUGUUGCACAUGUUAGUUUGCCUCUACCGUUGAUCAGAUGGCGGUUGUGAAGUCGGUUUGAUCCAAUGGUGCAUGAUGAAGAUGACGCGGAUCGCUGACGUGGCACCGGAGUAGCCCCUACUCCAUCUCCCACUAUAAAUACCCCCCUAUUCCUUCACUUAAGAGAAAUGUAUCUUAGGAGUAAACUACUUUAGUAGCUUAGUGAUAUCAUAGUGAGUAGAGAGUGAGGAGUUCCAAGGAGGAGUCCCGGCCUGUCGGGAGUCUUCUUCGCGGAGCACCUCAGCGGAAGCAGGUCUUCUUGUAAGUCUUACUUCUGAGUCUUUUCUAGUAUUUAAUAUUUGGUCUGGUACUUUAAGUAUAAGAAUCCUUUACUGGCACAUUGCUUGAUCUUGAGUGCUCUUAGCUUUAGCUAAGCUUAGGGUAGCAAGAGCUAGUUUAGACGUGGUGUCUAGACUACUUCUUGCCAGUGUGGACUCCUUGUCGCAGUUGUGUAGACACCUAGUGUGAGAGUGACAGUCCUCGCUAGGCGGAAAGUUCCUCGCAUCUGUUGUAGGCAAGUUGCAAAUAAUAGUUGGGCUGAGCAGGGUAGUCGCUUAGGAGACGAGGAGGUGAAAAACUUCGUUAACUCAAUCCUCCUUUUCGGGUAUCGCCCUCAGUAAAGAGUUAGGUGAAAAACCUUGACUAUACUUAAUUACCAAGACCAGGCAUUAAUACUAGUUAGACCUCUCUACCCCAUUAUCCUAGACCCUUUGAUCAUCACCUAACGAUCUAAAGCCUAGUUAAUUCACUUCGCGUUCCCCGUGGAAAUCACGAUACCUGGAAUACUCCCGGUGAAGGCUACAUUGACUACCGUACGGUUGCGGUAUAACCGUUUGCCACUUCUGGUGUCAACAGUAGCCUUAGGGUAGUGACAGCCCUAACGGUCGACGUAUUCCACCUCGUUCGGAUCGGUAUUUGUAGGACCGUAGUCAGACCUUCCUAGCCCCCUUCUCAUCUCUUUCUGUGGUUAGUGCUCUGAUGUCCCGAUAUAAAUAAUCUUGAAGUAAUUCUUGAUUCUUAGAUCAACUAGAGAACUCUUAGGAAACUUCCUCUCUUCCCACCAAAAAUAAUUAUAUAGUUAUCCUUGGGCGAUCUUGAUUCUUAAUUAGUACACUCACGUUCUCUGUGGAAAAUCGAUACUCUGGAAUACUCCCGGGUGAAAGCUACAUCGGUAUCCGUGCGCUUGCGGAUUUUUCUGUUUGCGUUUAAAAUACCCAACAACGUGGACGAGCUCGAGGCCAUGGAACUGGUCCUCGAGUCGACGGCAGCUCGAGGUUUUCAUCACUUGGUCGAUGACGAGCUGGGAGUCGCCUCGGACGUCAAGGCGUCGGACUCCUAGCUCGAUGGCGAUCUUGAGACUGUUGACGAGGGCCUCGUAUUCCGCGACGUUGUUGGAUGCAGCAAAGUGAAUCCUGAUGACAUACCUCAUUUGAACGCCAAGGGGUGAGAUGAACAGCAGGCCCGCCCCACCUCCCAUUUUCAUGAGGGACCCGUUGAAAUACAUCGUCCACAGUUCUGACUGAACCUGAGCCGGGGGGAGCUGGGAGUCUGUCCAUUCCGCGACGAAAUCCACCAGGGCUUGCGACUUGAUAGCCUUACGGGGCGCAUAAGUGAGAGUCUCACUCAUGAGCUCGACCGACCACUUGGCGAUUCUUCCCGUGGCCUCCCGACUUUGGAUGAUCUCGCCCAGGGGGAAGGAUGAGACCACCGUGAUAGGGUGGCCGAGGAAGUAGUGCUGUAGCUUGCGUCGGGCGAGGAUUAUGGCGUAGAUCAGCUUCUAGAUUUGGGGGUAACACGCCUUGGUCUCUGAGAGCACCUCACUGACGAAAUAGACUAGCCUCUGGACUGGCAAUGCAUGCCCCUCCUCCUUCCUCUCGACCACCACCGCCGCACUGAUGACCUGGGUCGUUGAGGCGACGUAUAGGAGCAGAGGUUCUGCAGGUUGAGGUGGGACCAAGACUGGUGCAGAGGUCAGCGUUUUCUUUAAGUUGUCGAGGGCUUCCUCGGCUUCUGGAGUCCAAGAGAAACGCUCGACUUUAUUCAGAAGUCGAUACAGUGGCAAUGCCUUUUCUCCCAAUCUCGAGAUAAAGCGACUCAGCGCCGCUAAGCAUCCCGUGACUCUCUGCACGCCCUUGAUGUCUUGGAUCGGCCCUAUGCUUGUGAUGGCCGAGACUUUCUCGGGGUUGGCCUCGAUGCCGCGCUGGGAAACGAUGUAUCCCCUACCUGGCGCGCCAACUGUCGGUGUUUUCCCCACGGGGGGUCACACCAACGAGUGAAUUUGUAUGCGUGCUCCCUUUUCCAGAUGGUGAUGCAAAAAGACACACAAAGAUUUAUCCUGGUUCGGGCAAGAGAAGGCCCUACGUCCAGCGGGGGGAGAGAGUUUGUAUUAUUUUGCACCUAAGUGCUUGUACAGGGGUGAAUACAAGCGUGAUGAGCGGGAUGGAGUAUGGAAGUUCUACUACGUAUGGGUGUAGUGUUGCGUGAUGUCCUGUCUGUUCGCUCCCGGGCCUCCCAUUUUAUUGUGCCAAGGAGGGGCCUAGGGUACAAGUAUAGGCGUCAGAGUAGGGGUCGAUAGAGGUAUGGCGCGCAGACCUAGUUGAGGCCUCCGUACCGGCGUGGUCUCGAGCCGUCCUGUCCCAGUAGCUUGAUGAUGAUUACGCGUGCCCCUAGAUCCCGCUCUGUGUGCCGUCGUGGACUGGUUUAUCAGUCGCACGCAUGUACGUCAUGGCGGCAGAUACGUCGGAGUGGCUGCAGUGUUGUCAGUAGACGCCCAACCCUUCCUCAGGAAGGAAACACGUCUGGUCGAGGGUCGGACGCCGUGUAGCGCCUUGCUAUCCAGAGCGCUGACCUUAGGCGUCUCGAGGGGAUCUUGAUUAGACGUUCCAUCCCUGCUUCCCGCGUCCUGACAUGCUCUGGGUUGUUUGGUGGGGAAGGCUGCAAAAAGAAUGACGGGACGGGUGCCUGUUCCCUAUCAUGCUUCCCGUGACUAGCGUGUUAGGUGGGAACGUGACAGGCGCAUUAAAUGCCCCGGUCUCCGUGCGCGCGUCAGGCGGCGGGCGGCGUCCUUGCGCUCGACGCCUCCUGGUUCGCUCGAGCCUGUUUCCGUAUUCGACGGUAGUUGGUGCUCGAGCCCUGACCGAUUUGCUCGACGCCUUUUCCGUCUUCGAGGCUGCGGUCGUUGAUGACUGUAUGCGUGACUGAUCAAAUCGUCGAAUUGAGGGCCUCGACCUGCAUACGAACAAUCUCGUUAUGUACAUCAGUUAGGAUUCCCCUUACUGAUACCCUCGACACUCUCCUUGUCAUAAUAUUGUUCUUGCACACUCCAAAAAGAAAACCAGAACUCGAGGCUCGAAUUUAAUAAUGGGUUAGCGGUCAGCUAGUAACUGAUUGAUUGUUCUUAUGAGUUGAUUUGAAUUGACAGAUUCUAGCAGGAUUCUCUCUUUUUUUAGGAUUUUCUUGUUUAAUUAUGCAGUAAUGAAAUAUGUGUACAUGAUGUAUAGUUGUAUUAUUAUGCCUCCACAAAGAAUAUUUAUUCUUAUGGAGCUUAGGUUUUUUAUAAUGCAAGAUAGUAAAUACAGAAGCUAUUAUUAUUAUUAUUAUUAUUAUUCUUUAUGUCACCACAUGUCACACCAAGUUUUAAAGAACAAAACCAGGCUAGCCAUAUGUGUGCCUAGGAAGUCCACACAUACAACAACAGAAGCAAUAGUAUCAAAAACAAUGUUGUAUAGCAGAAACAUACUGAUAAUUAACACUUACAUCAGAGAAUCGUGGAAUGGUAACUAAUCUUCACGCUCAAUCUUCACAUGGACAGUUGACUAGGGGUAACAUAUGCCUAGCACUUCUUGUAUCCUGAGAACGUCCUUCAUAACUCCUUCGCUCCUCUGAUAACUCUUACUAGUAAACUGGAGUGGUGGGAAAUAGCAAGAGUGAGCACAUGUCGUACUCAACAAGUAUAACCAGGGGUUCAUGAGGCUCAAUAAGCCGAUACUGGUUUGACUGCAUUUAGCUUUUAUAUGUAGAUAGCAUAUUUAUAUUUAGAUAGCAAAUGUCAAGGUAGCAUAAUUAAUUCCAUAACCACAUGACCAAUGUACACAAGAAUAAAGAAUAACACAUAUAAAUAACAUAAUAAACCAUCCUUUAUCAUCAUUAAUCAUGUUCAUCAGUGUCUAUCUAUUCCGUCAGUUUUCCAGGCCGCCCAUAUCCGUGGGCACGGCUAGUAUACCAGAUUUAACACUCUACAGAGGUUGUACAUCUUUACCCAUGAGUCAUGAUUUUCUCUUUCGCCCGAGGUGAUCAGCCUCUUAACCGACUUUCAAGGACGGUCGGCAGGGAUCACUAUGAAGCCUUUCAAAAGUUCGUCUAACAUGUUAGGGCCGCAAGGUUUCCCAGGCGCACAGAUAUAGAUGCCCCCCUUCCGAAUGGCACAAUGACGCACAACCUAUACACAUAAGGACAGAGGCUUGCACUAUACCCAAAACAGUUAGGCCCCUCUAGCGCCCUUUCGGGUAACCUCUAACAAGCUUGAAAAGAUCUUCAUACUGAGCUAAAGCCAGAGCCAUAUAGCCCUCAUGGUUGUACGAGUUGUUCCAACUUUUGCAAAGGGAUAAGUCCUUAUCGAGGGUCAAGAUCAAUCUAGCAAAAGCUAGAGUUGUUUCCACCCUUUAUGUUCAAGUUGCUAGAAAGCUUAUUUUAUUGUUUAUUGCAUAUUCAAAUAUUCAAGUUACAGGAUCAUGGAUUAAUAAUCAAGCACUAGCAAGAACUACCCAAAUGCAUAUCCAAUUAGGAAACAAGGAAUUCAAAUAACAAGCAUUUAUGAUUCUGCUAAGGUCGUCAAGGUGGACACAUGCAUAUGAUAUUUGUAUAAUUAUAAUUGUAUAGGUAACAAGGAUAGUCCCAAGUUAUACUUGCCUUAAACACUUGCACAAGUCUCACACUAUCAGCUUUCGGUCAUCAUCUUCUCAUCUUGAGCACUCAGAGACAGCUCUUCUACUCGCAGAUCGUAGCAACCAAACAUACUACCAAACAUACAAGCAACCAAUAGAAACAACUAAGAACAAUACACCACAUGUCGACGAAAGCUGGUCGGCAGUCUACCUUGGGGUAUACUCACGGUAGUAGUUUAUCGGUAGAUGGUGCGCAAGCUAUGAACUCGAUGGUGACGUAAGACACAGACAAGGUUUUUAUCCAGGUUCGGCCGCCGUGUGGGCGUAACACCUACGUCCUGCGUCUGAUUGUAUUGUGUUGAGAGAAUAAUGUGUCCUAAGGGGGGUCCCUUGACCCUCCUUAUAUAGUUCGGAGGGCAGGGUUACAGAUCUGGAAACUAAUCCUAGUCGGUUACAAUUGCCAUAGAUAGUUCGAUAUGAAUUCCUAUUUUAACCAACUAGAAUCCUGCUUGAUCUUCACGUCUUGUUUCCUUUUGCGAAACUCCAAGCAGUUGGAUCAAGCCUCGGACUUGUCUCGUAAUGGGCCAAGCCUCCUGGCCCAAGUCUAGCUGUAAGGGUAUAGGGGUUUAUACCCCCACAGCUAGUCUCCGAGCACCGUGUAUUGUGAUGCAACACGCCGUCUUGAGCUUCUUCGAUCAGCAAGGCUUGACAUCUUCGAUUAGCAUGGAAAUCGCCCAAACAGUUGCAACGGUAUUUUGACCAACUGAAAAGAUAGUUGAUCAACAUUGACGUCGAAGAAGCAGGUUGUUCGAAGAAUGCAUGGUGCUCUUUGAGAAAAAAUAUUUCUUUUCACGAUGAAGUGUGCCCACUUUACUUUUAGAAAAAGUACAGUCUUUCAAAAAGCAAGCAUAUUCACCGCAAGGUGAAGUGUGCCCACUUAGUCCCCGAGCCUGGUAGUAGGUGACAUAGGCAUGUAGUGCCAGGGUCAAAAGAGUCUUCAUAGAAAUUCUAAAACUGAGAUGCAUCGCUAGAUGCAUCGUACCGAUGUAGUCCCCGAGCUUGCUGGAAGGCGAAGUAUGAGCCUUGUAGCAAGGUCUAAAAAAUUGAAUUUACCAAUCCCCAAGCAUAUAACGUUAUGUGGUCGGUAUAAUCCCCAAACUCUCAAACUAGUAAACUGGUCAACCAGUCCCCGAGCAUAGAGUACUCAGAUUGGUCGGUGCAGUCCCUAGGUCUCCAAACUGGUAGACUAGUCGACCAGUCCCCGAGCUUAUAGUGCUCGGUGGUCGGUGCAGUCCCCAGGUCUCUAAACUGGUAGACUGGUCGACCAGUCCUCGAGCUUAUAGUGCUCAGUGGUCGGUGCAGUCCCCAGGUCUCCAAACUAAUAGACUGGUCGACCAGUCCCCGAGCUUAUAGUGCUCAGUGGUUGGUGCAGUCCCUAGGAAUGUCAUAAAUAAUCCUCCACCAAUUCUGCUUGAUCUUUAGAAAGAGCAUUUUGCCACAUUAAUGCGCGAUGUGACGAGGCAUCCUGACGUAUUUUCAGACGGCUACGUGAAAAGGUGCGCCAGGUAACUGUGCCACCGCUCUUUGCAUGGUUCAAGAAAAGGAAACCAUCAAUUGUACAGAAAAACCACCACAUUAACUGCUGGUAAUUAUUGAAAACCAAAACGCCGCAUCCGCCGCUGGGCCCGCUCACUUCCCAAGAAUGCGGGAAGUGGAAGGGGUGGAGCUGUUGCCUAUAAAGACUCAACACCACACCCAUAAUCUUUACCCUGCCUUUGCCUUCAAGCCUUCUGUUCUUGCCAUUCCUGCCUCUGCAACCUCCAUCCUUGAUCGUCCAGCUCGCAAGCGCUUCUGCAGUGUCAAUGGCGAAGAGUGACUCGAAGAAAAGGAGUGAACUGAUGGCGAAGGAGUGGAAGAAGUCCCGGAGCAGCACGAGGUCCCUCAACGGCCUCGUCGAAAUGGGGCUACUUCACAACCAAGAGCUCGGUGGCUGGACGGCGCCGGAAGGGGAAAGCUACCCCGACCCCCGUGCCGGUGAGAUCGUAGUUUUUGAAGAUUUUUCAAGAGGGGCUUUGGGAUUCCUGUCCAGCCCUUCCUUCAGGGUCUUCUUCUUUAUUAUGAGAUCGGGAUCUGCAAUCUGCACCUGAACUCCAUUCUUCUUAUCUCCACCUUUAUUCAUCUGUGCGAGGCCUAUGUUGGAAUAGAACCGUACUUCGACCUUUUUCGCUAUAUUUUUUGUCUGAGGAAAAAGGGAGUGGUUGGAGGCUCCAAGAUUGCAGGUGGAGUAUACCUCAAUCUCCGCGAUGGGAUGAAGAAUCAGUACCUCAACUGCCCAUGGAACACUUCUCUCACCGAAUGGUACAAGAAGUGGUUCUAUGUCAGGGAAGAGCCGGGCAGCUCCACGUUCUGCGACGUGGGCUACAUUCCCAAGAAGAGGGUUAGCUGGACGGACCGCCCUGCGUUCACUGGUCAGGUGGCUGACCUGAUGAAGCUGAUCGACUGGUCCCACUUAGACGGGCCAGGAGUGGUCGGUAACUUUAUUUGUCCUCGGGUGAUGCCCUGCCAGAGGAGGGUACACUCGGCAUACGAGUACGUGGGAAGCCAAGACCCGAGCAGGAUGAGCCCCGAUGGUCUGGAGAAGGCGGAAGUGCAGCAGCUGAUGAACGAGUUGUUCAACUUUACAGACGACGACUUUGUUCGAAGCAGUGAUCGGAUGCACGCCUUCAAGCUGGGUCGACUAGCUCCUAAGGUAAAUAAAUAAUGUUACUGACUAGUAUUACUUUUUGAGUACUUGCUCUCCCAGUUGUUGACUUGUCUUCUGUUCUUCUGCAGAUUGGAGAUGUUGAUCGGUGCGCCGUGUACGUGUCACUGGCACCUGGUAUGGAAAAUCCUGUGAGGGUGGACCUGCCAAAGGACGACAUUGCUCGGUGUGCUCAAUACACCAGCAGUGAGGAAGAUCAGAACUGUCCCGCCCCAACCACCGAGGACAGGGCAGCGGGGAAAAGGCCACUGGCAGUGGAUCCGUCCCCUGCGGAAGCGUUGCUGGCAGAGAGCAGCCAAGCGCCGAAGCGUCGUCGGCUCGUCCGGAUCACCGACGACGAUGAGGAGGAGGAGGAGGCGCCCUCUUUGGUUCGAAGGCCGCGCAGCCGUCCGGACGUUGCGCCGGCCACUGCUGAUCGGAUGACCAGCGACCCACCUGCCCCACACGCCGAGCCGACGCACGUUAGAGAGACAGGGUCAGCGGCGGCGACUGGUAGGACCAGGAGAAGGUUCUUCACAGCGACGCACAGGCGCUCCAAUCUAUGAGUUGUUCAAUCUUACUCUCGUACUUCGAUAUAUUUUGCGUUUUGUUACUGCUACUUCUGACAUUGAUUAAAUGUCGCAUUUUUGUUAGCGCAACGUCGGACGUUGACCCUGACAGCGUUGCUGGCCGGGGGACGGCCGAGCCCGUGGUUGUCGUCGAAGAUGCCGCGCCGUAGACCACCCAGGAGCGUGCCGAGGAGCAGCCCACGGUGGUGAUUGCGGCUGAGACUGCCGAAGAGCAUCCAGCCCCAACAAGGGCCAGAGCGGGCACCCCUACGAGGGAUGGAGAGGCUGCGAGGACGCCGCCCCCGAGCAACAUUGUGGACGAAGAAGAUAGAGCUCUAACUCCCCCGCUAGCUGAAGAAGGGGGAGUCCCAACCCUGCCCUGAGCAGAGGCCUCUUCACCAGCAGGCUCCCCUGGCCUAUAUCAGGGUCCAGUGAUACUGGUGACCACGGCCGGGGGUAGUGCGGAGGGUGAGGAGACCCGGACGGCCUCCGAUGAUGAAGUGGAGGAGAUCCAAGGUCGUCCCCAAGAUGGUCGCCAGCACAUUUACGUGUGGUGCCAACACGGGGACCACUUCAUUGGUCAUGAAGAACUCGCAGAGACGGAGGAGGUCGCGAGGGUGGAGAACGCAGCGAAGUGGCUUGUCGACGAGGUUAAGGUAAGUGGUCUUUUGCGCUGCUCAAAGUUUAUAUGCAUUGUCUCUGGAUUCAGUAUGUAUUCUUCUUGUAGGGCGCAAUGAAAACGAUAAAGUACCGGAAAAGGUGCUUCGACCAGAUUGAGGGAAUCGUGGCCGAGAGCAAGGCCCUUUCCGCGGAGGUGGACCAGCUUCGGACGGAGGCCGAGGAGAAGACGGCCGAGAUGGGUGCUCAGGAAGAGCGCCUGCUCGAUCUCAAUCGGGGUUGGCCGACAAAGAUCAGGAAAGGAGAGGUCAGUCGUGUAUUCCGAGCAGCUGUAUGUAGCCAUGUAGUCGUUUUUGUUGACCAGAAAUUGCUCUUGCAGACUUGGAGGAGGAGGUUGCACGCCUCCGACAAGAAAAGGAGAAGCUCAACCAGGAGCUUGCCGGGGCGCUUGAGACCGGGCGCCGAGCUGGCGAGGAGCUAAGCAACAAGAGUCGGGAGUUGACUGGUAAGAACCGUAUGCCCUUCUUCUUUGUUUGCUCGACACUCCUUGUCUUGUGCACGCACUGACUUCUUGCUUGAUUCUCAGUGCUCAAAGUAAACACCAAGAAGCACCUCGACGAGCUGAUCAAGGACCGGGACUCCUGGAAACCAACUGCAUCAAGCUUUGGAAAGGAGCGGCCCCGGUGCUUGAUUUGAUCAGCCCCGAGCUCCCUGGAGACCAGCCGUUUGUCAAGGACUCCGAUCGAGAAGGUGCAACAGGCGUGGAACUGGCUCCAGCAGUUUGUCAAGGACGCCGGGGAGUUCGCCGGUGCGCACGUCCUCAGCAUGGUGCGCGCCCACUAUCCUCUGGUCGACUUGUCCAGACUGGAGAGGGGGUACCCCAAGGAGGUUGGUCCGCAGGAGGCAGACGACCUUCGAGUUGGUCUGCUUGACCUAUCGUCAACAGUGAUCGGCGACUUCAACCUCUGCGAGACGGCCACUCCCCCCGACCAGCCCGGGUCAGACAGAUCGACCAGGGAGUUGUCGGGAGCGUCCCUUGCCGGAGAUGGGCGGUCGACGCCUGCGGUCUCGACCAGCUAGGCGCCGGUGGCCCCGACCCCUUCGACUGGCCAGCAAGGCCGAGCGGGUGAUCAGCCCGAGCAGUAGGCCUGUAGAGUAGUCUGUAGAAAUAGACUAGGGACCGCCCAGAGGGGUGUUUAUUGUAAACUUUGUAUAUAAAGUUUGUAAUAAAGAUUGAUUUGUCGUAACCAUGGUUGUGAGCACUGUAACGAUGUCUGAGUGAUGUAUCACUGAAUUGGGUUAAUAAUCCUUAGGGAUUUUGGUCCCAGAGGGAGAUUGUUGUACUUGUCGAAAGCUCUGCGUGUAAAAAAGUAUAUAGCGAAAAAGUGAAAAUUUUAUUAUUGCUAAUCAUAAGAAACUUACAAACAAAAGGUAAUGGAACUUAUGGAUAGAAACAGCGUUGUCGAGGGUAUCAAUAAGGGGUACCCUCACCGAUGCACAUAACGAGAUUAUCCGUACGCAGGUCGAGGCCCUCAACUCGACGCUCUGAUCAUACAUACGCGCAGCCAUCGACGACCGCAACCUCGAAGAUGGAAAUGGCAUCGAGCGAAUCGAUCAAGGGUCGAGCGCCAGCUAUCGUCGAAUACGGAAACAGGCCCGAGCGAAUCGAGAAGCAUCGAGCGCAAGGACACUGUCCGUCGCCUGACGCGCGCACGAGAGCCAGGACAUUUAAUGUGCUCGCCGCAUUCCCACCUAACACACUAGUCACGGGAGGCGUGAUAGGAAACAGGCACCCGUCCCAUCGUUCUUUUUGCAGCCUUCCCCACCAAACGACCCAGGGCGUGUCAGGACGUGGGAAACAAGGAUGGAACGUCUAAUCGGAACCCCCUCGAGACAACCAAGGUCAGCGCUCCGGACAUUGGGGCAUUACACAGCGUCCGACCCUCGACCAGACGUAGCUCCUUCCUGGGGACGAGCUGGGCGUCGACUGACAACACCGCAACCACUCCGCCGGAUUUGCCGCCAUAUCGUACAGGCGUGUGACGGGUGAACCAGCCUAAGACGGCGCGCGAAGUGGGAUACAGGGGCACGCAUAAUCAUCAUCAGGCUACUAAGACGGGACGGCUCGAGGACACGCCGGUACGGAGGCCUCGAGUAGGUCAGCGCGCCAUGCUCCUAUCGACCCCUACUCUGACACCUAUACAUGUACCCUGGGUCUCUGCUUGGAGCUAUAAAAGGAAGGACCUGGGAAUAGAUAGACAACAGGCAAUACUUCACCCAUACGUGGUAGAACUCCCAUACUCCAUACCACGCUCGUAUUCGCCCCUGUACAAGCACUUAUGUGCAAGAUAAUGCAAACUUCCCUCCCCCGCUGGACGUAGGGCCUUCUCUUGCCCGAACCAGGAUAAAUCUUUGUGUCUUCUUGCAUCACCAUCUGGGAAAGGGAGCACGCAAACAAAUUUACUCAUUGGUGUGACCCCCUGUGGGGAAAACACCGACAGUUGGCGCGCCAGGUAGGGGUCCUGCGUGUUUUUUUAAUUGAUUUCCCACUCCUUUCCAGAUGGCUGCUCUCACCUCGCCGAUCCCGCACUCCACGGUGAUUUGGUUUGGGAGUCUCGAGUUCAUGUCCACGGGCUCCGGCUACGACAUGAUCUUGCUCUCAGUCAAAGGACUAGGAGGAGCCCGCGUUGCACCAGCACGGUUGAGGGCCCCGAGACGCCCUCGCCACCAUGCCUCCCCACCCAAGAAGAGGAGCGGACAGCACCACCGCCGCCCCUCUGCCUCAUCACGACCGGCAACUCGCGCGAGGCAGGAGGUGGGCCACAAGCCGGCAGCACCAUGUGCCGGAACCGCGGGCACGACGGCUCAACACCGCACGACGACGGGAGGGGACGUGUUUCGCGUGCCCUCCCCCACCGCUGCUAAGCUACUUCCACACGGGUUGUUCUCUCCAAGAAGGGCACUGCCAUUCGGAUUAGACAACGCCGCGGCAUCGCUCGCUAGAGCAAUAUGCCCAAACGCCCAGACGAACGUAGAGAGACCAAUGGUCCUCCCACGUGACUCUGAAGCACUACGGCCGACGUCCGAACUGCCGGAUUUCUCCCAGGUGCGAGGCCUCCGCCGCCUAGGCCCUGGGCGAUACACGAUCACCUCACUGAGGCAACGGCUGCUGGAGGAGGGACGUGGAUGUUUCUACGUCGCCAAGCCGGACUCCGACUCCGAGACUGAGAGCUACGACCCUACAAGAGAAUGCUAUCACGUCGACGGGGCGGUAGAAACUACUGACGAGACGCAGGAUGCUGCUUUGGGCGGUCGAGCCCCUGCAGCACGGGAAGACCCCAGGACGCCUGGGAACGAGGGACAGGUCGACCCCCCUCCAUAGGAAGACAGGGCUGCGCAGCUCGCACAGCUACGGGAGCUCAAGAUGAAGCUCGACGAAGACCGUGAGCGCCUCGUCCUGCUCGAGCAAAUCCUUGAGCAAGACCUGCCCUACCCGCCAGGCGGAUGUGUCCGCAAACGUGCUCGAGAGGUACAUCGACAAAUUGUCAGAGACGCAGAGCCAGAGCAGCCUGUCAGCCGUUUCCCUCGAGCGGGCCAGAAUGUAGUGGCAGUGACGAUGCUACUGCGCAACAUGCCAGAACCAUCGAACUCCCAGGCUCGGCGCAUUCGAGACGAGGUACAGACUCUGCUCCAGGUGGCGGCAGUUCAACAAGCCGAAAGCUCAGCUUCUCGACGAUAAGGAGCUGCCACCGAAAAGCGCGAUGAGCCACCCCAAAACGAAAAGGAGGUGUCAGUCCAUCAACAGCCUCCCCCUCGAGGUAGAAAGACCGCUCUCGUCCUCCCUGUCGACAAUCAGCGUCGACACGACGCGCGGCGUGACAUCGAAGAGAAUCGACGCCGUCGGUAUGGGGACGCGGAAGAGCGCAGUUACAGCGCGCAUCACGGUGGAAGGUAUGACAGCGACGAGGACCGGAUGGCCCCCGAGCCACCAGGCCCACGGGUGUUCAGCAGGGCAAUCCGCAGCACGCCCCUGCCCAGUCCGUUCCGACCCCCGACCAGCAUCGCAAAAUACAAUGGUGAGACCAAACUAGAGUUGUGGCUAGCCAAUUUUAGGCUGGCCUGUCAGCUAGAAGGCGCUCGAGGAGAUGAUCGAGCCAUCAUCAAAUAGUUGCCGCUCUUCCUCUCUGACACCGCCCGUCGGUGGCUCGAGGAACUUCCAGCUAAUCAGAUCCACGACUGGGUCGAUUUGGUUAGAGUCUUCGAGGGUAACUUCAAAGGAACCUACAUACGGCCCGGGAACUCGUGGGAUCUCAGCAAGUGCAAACAGAAGUCAGGAGAAACUCUUCGAGAGUAUGCUCGACGCUUCUCAAAGCAGCGCACCGAGUUGCCACACAUCCCUGACCAUGACGUCAUCCUGGCUUUUGUCUCUGGUACUACCAGUCGAGACUUAGUGCGGGAAUUGGGUCGGAAUCGACCUCAGACCGUCGACGAGCUGAUGGAUGUAGUAGCAAACUACGCAGCAGGGGAGGAGGCAGUCGGCGCCUUCUUUAGUUGUGAAGGAAGGAAAGGCAAGCAACCUACCGAUGAAGACGAGCCCCCCAGUCGAGGGCCCAAGAAGAACAAGAAGAAGCAGAAAGUGCGGCAGUUCAAGCAGGAGAACUUCGACAACGACCUCGUCGCCGCCAUGGAGCGGAAGAAGCCUCGAGGCCCCCCAGAUGGAGGUAUCUUCGAUAAGAUGCUAGAGGAACCAUGCCCUUACCAUAAAGGAGGAGCCAACCACAAGCUCAAGGACUGUCGUAUGCUGAAAAAGCAUUUCGAUGGCCUAGGGUUCAGAAAGGACGCGCGCGACGACCCCAAGAAGGAGAAGGGCGGUGACAAGGAGGGCGACAAGGACAACGAUGGUUUCCCUGCCGUCCACGACUGCUACAUGAUCUAUGGUGAGCCCUCGACGCAGUUGACUGCAACGCAGCGCAAGAGAGAACGUCGUGAGGUCUUCACGGCGAGAAUGGCGGUGCCCCAGUACCUCAGCUGGUCGAGCACACCCAUCACCUUCAACCAAGAGGACCACCCUGACAAGGUGGUUGCCCUAGGCGUCUACCCGCUCGUCGUCGACCCCAUCAUCGUCAACACCCGGCUCUUGAUUGUGCUAAUGGACGGAGGCAGCAGCCUCAACAUCAUCUACCUCAAGACCCUCAACAUUCACUUUGCUGCAUCCAACAAUGUCGCGGAAUACGAGGCCCUUGUCAACGGUCUCAAGAUCGCCAUCGAGCUAGGAGUCCGACGCCUUGACGUCCGAGGCGACUCCCAACUCGUCAUCGAUCAAGUAAUGAAGACCUCAAGCUGCCAUGACCCGAAAAUGGAGGCGUGCUACAAAGAAGUCCGUCGACUCGAGGACAAGUUCCAUGGCCUCGAGCUCGUCCAUGUCGCCCGACGCUACAACGAAGCAGCCGACGAACUCGCCAAGAUCGCGUCGACCCGAGGCACGGUACCGCCUGACGCGUUCUCGAGAGAUCUUCACGAGCCAUCCGUCGACUUGGGCUCGGGGGCUGGCAUCGAUGCCGGUCCCGCACAGCCAACCGACACCGUCAACGCACUAUUAAUGGCAGCUGAGGUGAUGGAGGUAGAAUGGCGGCCCGGUCGACCAUUCGACUGGCGCACACCGUUCCUCGACUGCCUAAUCCGCUGUGAGCUGCCAGAAAAUCGAUCUGAAGCACGCCGUAUCGCUCGACGGGCCAAGUCAUAUGUGAUUUGCGGCGAAGGCAAUGAGCUAUACCGACGAAGCCCGACGGGGGUCUUGCAGCGUUGCAUCACCGUGGAAGAAGGCCGGAAACUACUCGAAGACCUACACUCGGGGGCUUGUGGCCACCAUGCUGCUCCACGGACCCUCGUAGGGAAUGCCUUCCGACAAGGCUUCUACUAGCCAACGUCCAUAGCAGAUGCCAUCGAGCUCGUACGCUCAUGUCAUGGGUGCCAGUUCUACACCAAACAGACACAUCUACCCGCCCAUGCUCUUCAGAUGAUCCCCAUCACCUGGCCGUUUGCGGUGUGGGGGCUCAAUUUAAUAGGACCUCUACAAAAGGCGAAAGGGGGGUACACCCACCUGCUGGUGGCCAUCGACAAAUUCUCCAAAUGGAUCGAGGCUCCACCCAUCACCAACAUCCGCUCCGAACAAGUCGUCCUUUUCUUCACCGACAUCAUACAUCGGUUUGGAAUCCCCAACGUAAUCAUCACCGACAACGGCACUCAGUUCACCGGCAAAAAGUUCUUGGACUUCUACGAUCAGCAUCACAUCCGUGUCAACUGGUCGGCAGUGGCCCACCCUCGAACUAACGGCCAGGUCGAGCAUGCCAACGGCAUGAUUUUACAGGGGCUCAAACCAAGAAUCUACAAUCGCUUGAAUAAAUUCGGCAAGAAGUGGGUCGAAGAGCUUUCCUCAGUCCUAUGGAGCCUAAGAACAACACAUAGCAGGGCCACAAAAUUCACCCCAUUCUUCAUGGUCUACGGUUCUGUGGCUGUCCUCCCCACAGACCUCGAGUAUGGGUCCCCUCGACUCAAGGCGUACAAUGAGCAGACAAACAAGGAAACUCAAGAGAAUGCGGUCGACCAGCUUGAGGAGGCUCGAGACAUGGCCCUCCUCAACUCUGCCAGAUACCAGUAGAAACUUCGACGCUACCACGACAAACACGUACGCAAGAGGGACUUAAACGUGGGUGACCUUGUCCUACGACGACGGCAGAGCAAUCAAGGACGCCACAAGCUGACCCCGCCUUGGGAAGGCCCGUACGUGGUGGCCGAGGUCUUGAAGCCAGGAACGUACAAGUUAGCGGACGAGAAGGGGGCGAUCUUCACCAACGCAUGGAACAUCGAACAGCUAUGUCGAUUCUACCCUUAGAAUUUCGAAACUUUAUGUUCCAGCGCACAUUCUGUACCAAGACCUUGUAAAUAAAUGCAUGAAUAAAUGAAGUCUUUCCCCUGAGCAACUUCCUUUUGUACUAAGGCUUUACAAGUCAAAAUCGUGACGUAAGAAGGGAGUACCGACUAUGACCCAUCAUAGUCGGUACCCCCUCGGGGGCUACCAGGGGGGCGACCCCCCCAAGUGUCGAAAAAAGCCAAAAAUUUCUCUCUUUCUUACUUAGUAAACCUUGCAUGAUCGAGUAGUUGAGGCGCCUCGAGCCCCUUAAGGGCCGAGGGAUAACGAGCCUGAGAACUCCUACGCCCCCGGGCUAUGGAAACUCUACUCACUCCCUCACCCUCGAGGUAAUCGAAGCUGUCUUUUACGAAAAAUCGAACAAGGAACACAUACGUAGGCGCAAAGAGAAAUAAAAGAACCUCGAGCGGAAAGACAAAUAAACAUUUAGCAAUUACCAAAAUAUACUAUAUCGCUUAAAAACAGGACUAGCAAAGUACUAUACACGGGCCCCAGGCACCCUAAGCAGGCUCGCAGGCCUGAGUCCAUGGCACGAUCCUCACCACCCUCGCCUCUGCCCGAGCUAGUCUCAGGAGGAAGCACCUCAGGCUCAAAUAGCUUGGCCAGCCUCUCUCCAGGAGCCUCCGCGUCAUCGAUCAAGGCAUGGAGCCUCUCUUCGUUCUCCGCGUCGGUCUUAGAGAUGUCGGUGACGAAGCUGUGGGAUACUACCUCCAUGUCAUAGGAGAAGCCCGAGCAGACAACCGCCAUCGCCCGCUUCACCCCGAUGUGGAGGGCAUCCCGCACCCAAUCUCGCAGCGUCGCACCUAAGUAGCACAGCUGGUCGACCAGUGUGUCGCCUCGAGCGUCCUCCCUCGACUCGUCCACAGGCUCGACCUCCCAGGAGGUCGAGAGGUCGUUUAUCGCCGUCCGCACGCGACGGUUCAAAGCAACCUCCGCCUCGAGCUGGGCCUUAACAUUACGAGCCUCGGCUUGGGCGGCUAGGAGUUCGUCCUUAAGCCCUGUAAAUAUCAAUACAAGAAACUUUAGGGAAAACCAAGCACACCCUGAAAAAGAAAUCGGACAAAGGAAACGUACCGUGAACACUCUCCUCCAAGGUUGUGUUCUCGCCGACUAGUCUGGUGUUGGCCCUCUCGAUCUCUCUGUUGGAGCGGGUCAGCUCAGUGUUGGCAACGUGGAGAUCCUCGAUCGCCUUGCCAACCUGAGCAGUAGCCCCACUCUUCUCCAACAGCUCUCCCUUCAGACGUUCGACGUUGUCAGAGAGCCAGCGGGAUCGAGCCCGCUCCGCCUCGAGAUCCUCGAGGGCCUUCUUCUUGGCUUCCUCCGCGGCGCUCCUGGCGAUCUCGCCGUUCACGUGCUCCACCUUCAUCUUUUGGAAGGACUCUCGAAGGGAGUCCAGGUCGGUCUUGAGAAGGCCCUUCUCCUUGUUCAGGUCUGCAAUGACGCUCUUGUAGGACAGGGCCUCCUCUCGGGCUCUGGAUGCGGCCUCCUCGACCAUCAGAGCCCGCUCCCGUAGCAUCGUCGUCUCCUCCUCCGCCUUCCUUGAGGCUUCUCGAGCCUCGGCCAAGGCAGCCUCCCUCGCCUUCUUCUCCUCCUCGAGCGCUAUGAGGUCUUUAUAGGCCUUAAGGAGCUUCUCUUGCGACUCGAGGAGUUGAUCCUUGAGGACGGGGAGCUGCUCCCAGCCGCCUCUUGUGGCAUGAAUGAAGCUCGACUUGAUGCGGGAGGUCUCUUUCAUGUCCUGCGAGCCGGGGGUCGAACGGUUAGAACACGAAACCAAAUGAUCUAUGAGGAUUAAGGACCAAAAAAUACUUACAAAUUAAGCCGGCCCGAGCCCAUUAUUGAUGAUGUCCGACAGGAGCCCCACCACGUGCUUCAUCCAAAGGCGGAGCUCCUCGAUGUGUUCCCACUUCUCAGCCUCCUUCUUAUCGUCGAGGAAGAUGUUGGGCUCGGACGGAUCGGUGGAAGCCCGGAUACGAAUCUGAUCGGGGCACCAGUUCUCCAUCUCCCGAUCAGCCCGCGCCUUGACGCCGCGGAUAAGGUUCUCGACGGUCUCGAGGGAGCCCCCGUGGCACAAGAACAGGUCGACGAGGCAUGGGAACCGCCCAUCGUCGUCCGCCGUCUUCCAGGUACCGUCCUUGCUUCCCGACGUCCCGAUCUCGUCCUCCUCAGAGGGAAAACGAUCCUCCCACGCCCGACGCUCCCGGAGGAACCCAGGGUCGAUCCCGUCCAUGCCGUAGAUCGUCCCCUUGAUCUCGGACUCGGGGUCGGUGGGGGUGCGCAUCAUGCAGGCAAGUGCCACCACACCAUCCGCUCGCCCCGGCUCUGCCCGGAUCGCGGCGGGUGCCCUCGGAAGGAGCCACGCUGGGGUCGGAGGGCCGUACACUGGCAAAUCUUCUUCCUGCUCAUCAGGCUCUUGCAGUGCCGACGGUACUGGUUGAGGCAGAUCUUGAGGCGGGGGCUCAAGCGGUCCUUCUUCUUGGCCCCCCUGAUGCUGCUGCUGCUCCACCUCGAGCAUUUGCUGUUGGUGCUCCACCUGCUGUUGUUGCUGUUGCUGCUGCUACUGUUGUUGCUCCUCAUGCUCCUGUGGCUCUUGCCCACGGCCUUGCUCCUGCGGCUGCCGCGUCGCUUCGCGCUCGCGCUCCCGCUCCUCAUCCUCCUCCUCUUUCUUCUUCUGCUCCUCGAGGGUGCGAAGACCAGCGGGCCAGGGAGUCCGUCCCGCGAUAAGGGAGGUCGACGGAUCCUCCUCCAUGGGGUGGGCAUCCCUUGACGUCUCAUUGCCGCCAGACAUGUCACUGAUGGUAAUGGGGUCCGCCUCGACCACCAAUCGGGGGGGCUCGGGGGCUCCUUCUUGCUCCUGAGUCUGGGGCGCCUCGACCCGCGUCGGUGGCGACGUGGCAGGCUCGAGACGAGGCGGGGCGCUCUCAACGUCAGCAGGAGGACGAGAGUCGGAGGAGCCUGCAAAACAAAGAAUAGAGGCCGGUCCAUUGAAGGCUGCUCCUUGGAGGCUGCUCCCGCUUUGAGCCUCUUCGCCAUUGAAGGCUGAGCCUGCUCGAGCAUCCGCUUUAAUCUGAAACAAAAAGGAACAAGCUUGAAAAGACCGGUAUACGAAGAAACACAGAGGAAUAGGAAAACAAAAGACACAACGUCGAAGAGCUUACCCCAGGGGAAGAACAGCUCGCCUGCCGGUGCCCCGACCGGUGGGCCUCGAGCCACCCCGUGUCAAGGUCCCAGACCCCUCGAGGGCAGGCGUUGGCCUUGGCCCAGCAACUUCCGCUUGGGGGGCACCGGGACUGGCACUCCUGCGGCCAGUGUCUCCUUUCUCGGAGGCCGCGGCACGACCGCGAGUCAGUGGCCCUGUCGCCUGGGGCCUAGCAUGGCCACCCGUCUUGGGCGCGGGGGGAGGGCGCGGGGCAACCUGACCAGUCACAGGCACCGGGGGGGUGUCGGCAUGAGGGCGGUGAGAUCCGCCUGGUCCCUCCUUUGAUGUUUCCAUCCGCGGGGGGUCGACAUCGUCUCGAGGCGGACCCUCGAGGAUACGGUCGAGGCGAGACGCCAUCCCCUCGGAGUCAUCGCUGUCCUCGUCAUCGUCACCAUCAUCGUUGCUGGGGGACUCUUCCUCAGGCUCCCCCCUCUGCCUGGAUUUAGACCGACACGCCUCUAAUGCUUGGCGGUCGAGGUUUUUCUUUUUCUCCCCUUUCUUCUGGGAGUCCAUGGCGGACUUAGACUUCUCGGCGGACCGGCGCCGCGCGUCGCGAUCGACCUCGUCCUCCUUUACUGGGGGCCUCGAGGACCGAACGUCAAUCCGUCCCUACCAGAACAAAGUUGGAUUUAGAGAAAAGGGAGGAAAAGAAACCCAGAAUCAAGGCUGCGCACGAGAAGAAAGCAUACCAGAUCGAUCGAGCCUGCAUCUGGCCUCAUGGGGAAGCCGUUAACAUGCUCCGGCUUGAAGUCACCAGCAAUGGCGGCCCUGACCCGGGCCGUGACUUCGUCAUUCGUCGGAGCUUCGCUUGACAUCCGGCAUGCCUCGAGGUCCCGAGAUGAGGCGCCGGGAGCCAUCUCGUCCAUCCUCAGCGGUCGAGACAUCAACGGGAGAACUCGCCGGCGAUGGACGGCCGAGAGGAUGAGGGCGGCGGUCAAGCCCUCUGAGCGCAAUUUCUUCAUGACAUCGAGGAGGGGGUCGAGCCGAGAUUGAUGAGCCUGGAUGACGCUGUACGUCCAAUUCUUCGGACGCUCCGUGAUCAGACGCCCGGUGUAGGCGGGCAGGAGGUCGUCAUCGUUCCUUAAGUAGAACCACUGGGAAUCCCAGCCGGUGUGGUUGGUCAAUCCCACCGGGAUGUACUCGCGCGGCCUCUCUGUCUUCCCGGUCUUCAACACGAGGUUGAGGCAACCCGCCCGAACAGGCUUCCUCACGCCGGUGGUCCCAGUGGGGGCGUUGAAGAGCUCGCCCCUGUAGAGGUGGAGCCAUAGCUCCUAGUGGGGCAUCAUCCCCAAAUAGCCUUCACACACCGCGGCGAAGACCGCCGCGACGGUGAUGGCGUUUGGGGAGAAGUGCUGGAGCUCCACCCCGUAGUGGUGGCAGAGCGCCCGCAUGAAGCGGCUCGGGGGAGCACCCAGCCCGUGGCGGUGGAACUUGGCGAACGAAACCACAUAGCCCUUGGGCGGCCUGGGUUCCCUGUGGUCCGCCGCCGGCGCGAUCCACUCCGGCGACGACAGUGAGGUGCGGCGGCGCAGGAGUCCCUCCCUCUCAAGCUCUUGCAGCCGGCGCUUCGUCAUCGAUGACGGGCGCCAGUCGUCGGCGGCGACAAGCCUCACAGGCAUCCUAGCCGAAAGGAUGGCGGAUCCGCUACUACUCGAGGGGGGCACACACACGUGGGAUGGCAAGGGAACUAAGGCAGCGAGAGGGCUAAGGCGAGAAUGAAGACGGGAAGCAGAAGGGAGAACAGUGGCGAUGCCAGGUGAAAGGUCCUAAUAUGGCUAGAGGGGGGGUGAAUAGCCUAUUUAAAAAAUUCUACAAACUCACUAGAGCAAGAGAUUAGUAAAUAACAAAGCGAAGCUUUUUGCUCUAGCUCUAAAGGGGUGUUUGCAAGCCACCUAUCCAACAAUUCUAGUUGUUAAGAUCACUUGGCACACAAGAGCUAUGUCACUACUUACACUAGAAAGCUACCUAAAAUUUCUAUACAAGAAAGUAAGCUACUCUAGUUUGUGGGAAUGUAAAAGAGAUGGUUUGAACUUUAUACCGCCGCGUAGAGAGGAUGAACCAAUCAAUAAUAUAAAGUCCAAUCACCGGGAGAAAUCCAAUGAACAAUCACAAUGGAGACACACAAUUUUUCUCCCGAGGUUCACGUGCUUGCCGGCACGCUACGUCCCCGUUGUGUCGACCAACACUUGGUGGUUCGGUGGCUAAGAGGUGUAGCACGAACCUCGUCCUCACUAGGACACCACAAGAACCUACCCACAAGUGAGGUAGCUCAAUGACACGAGCAAUCCACUAAUGUUGCCUUUGGCACUCCGCUGAGGUAGGCACAAACCUCUCACAAUAACCGGGAGAUGGCCACGAACAAUCACCAACUCGUGCCAAAGCUCCUCCGCUGCUCCAAGCCAUCUAGGUGGCGGCAACCACCAAGAGUAACAAGAAAACCGUAGCCAAAUCGAUCCCCAAGUGCCACUAGAUGCAAUCACUCAAGCAAAUGCACUUGGAAUCACUCCCAAUCUCACAAAGAUGUUUAAUCUAUGAAGGAGAUGAGUGGGAGGAGUUUGCUUAGGCUCACAAGGAUGUCUAGAAGUCAAGAAUGCCAAGAGUCUAAGCCCCAAGCCGGCCAAACAUGUAUUUAUAGCCCCUCAAACAAAUAGAGCCGUUGGCUCUUUCACUGGGCAAAAUACGGGGUCACCGGACGCUCUUAAAGGGGCACCGGACGCUCAACACCAGCGUCCGGUGCUCCAACGUCAGCCACGUGUCGCCUUUUGAACUUCUCGUGUCAGAGUCUAACGGUCACCUGCAGUGCACCGGACGCUGAGCAAGUUGGCACCGAAUGCGUCCGGUGCACACCGGACUCAUGCGCAGAGAGUUCCGCAAACUCUCAGGGUCACCGGACGCACCCUCAGCGUCCGGUGUUCACCGGACCCAUGCGCAGAGAGGGUCGCAAAACGCCCGCACACCGGACGCUAACCACCGGACGCUCAAGCCUGCGUCCGGUGCCUAUCGUCCGGUGCCUUACCCUAGCUGGGCCAGGCACUGUCUGCACCGAACGCUCAGACGCAGCGUCCGGUGCUCCAGAAGCCAGCGUCCGGUGAGUGUUUUCUUAACAAGAAACACUCCCGCGACUUCUCCAAAUUUCCCACCAGCGCAAUAGAAAAUAUGCACUUCAUUUUCUCGAAAAGUGCCGAAUCCCGCCGAGCUUGUGAGGCGGGAGGGAGAGAGGAACCCAUCCUCUCUCUACCCAUCAAACUCCACCUCCUUCUCAAAGUGUUGCCAACACCACAACGUGUAAACCAACAUGUGCACGUGUGUUAGCAUUUUCACAAACAUUUUCUUCGAAGGAGUUAAGUUAGCUCACUAGGUUCUAAAUGCAUGCACAUGAACAAUGACACCCAGUGGCACUUGAUAACCGCUUAGCCAAAGAAUUCCCCUCUUUAUAGUACGGCUAUCUAUCCUAAAUGUGAUCACACCCUCUAUGGUGUCUUGAUCACCAAAACCAAAACCCUAAGCAAUACCUUUGUAAUAGAACCAACCAAAUUAUAAGAGAUUAAGCCUAACGGAGACCAUUCACAUAGUCAAACCCGCAGGCUUAAACCCAUAUAAUCCCGGUAGUCCGUGAAAUCUCGAAGGAUUUCAAACCACAUAUCGUACAACAGCCAAGAUCGUAAUAAGUUUAGCGGUCGCCAUCCACAAAUACAUCCAGAUUACAACAUUUAUAAAAUACAUCGGAGUACUUAAAGUUAUUACAAACCAAGUUCUUCAAGUAGCGGAGGCUUCAUAGUUCGAAAAUACAACACACACUUAGUCUGAUACAGUGCCAUAGUUCGGUCAUUCCCACAAAAGCAAAAGAGAAGACGGAGUGACCAUCGCCCUUGGUCUAGUCAUCACCCAUGGCUGGGUACAGACAGAGGAUGCAAUAACCAUAGUACAUUUGACCAUCUGCAAAACAACAUGGGAGUAGAACCCUGAGUACGAGAAGGUACUCAGCUAGACUUACCCAUCAUAAACUUAAAAUAAAGACUCAUCAAGGAUCAUGAAGGCUAUAUAGUGGGGUAGCUGACGACCAUUUUGUAAAACCGCAGGAUUCUAUUAUUAUAACCUACACAAAUCUUUCUUCUUUUAAUGAUCAAGUUGAAAGUAUCAUUACCUAUUAUCUAGGUUUGCACCUGUACUAUCACAAACAAGUAUAGUGAUAUGAUAGUACCUCAUCAUAGCAUUUCUUAAAACCAUUCAUCAUUAUAACCCAAGUGUUCCAUAGUCCUUACUACGAGGACAGGGCUCAUGUCAAGUGCUCACUAUCCAGGAGCGAUGGCGAUUCGAAUCGAUUUCUAACAACCUGGUGAGUUUAUUCCCCACACAAACCACACUCACUGAUCAAUUGAGCUACAGAUCACCGUAUUGCACUAUCCAGGACCAAUUCGCGGGUUCGACAGGCACCACCCAUACCCGAGGACCGUUCCGGCGACCGAAGUAUCCAAGGUAUACCAAGGUUGCGCGCCGCGCCCUCAUCGUUCUCCUCAACCAUCACCAAUACAGCGCGUACAUCGGGCCGAUUCCCGGCCCGGAUAGUGCUCAGGCUUCGCGGUCGGUGUUGAUAUUUGGGAACGCAAUAAGGAAUUGAUCCGCAAGCGCACGGAUAUCGGUGAGCACUUCACCCGGGAAAUUAUCCAGAGUAUCGUAUUUAUUUUUUUACCACUAGGGGAAAGAGUGCAUCAGACUAACCGGUCUAUUACUACUAACCUUUAGGCACAAAGAAUGUCUUUCGAUGUGAGUGAUAAAUAGAGAAGACUGCAACCGUAGUCUCCUUCUAACCUUGGUAAGGAUGAUCUACUGUUCUAAUGGGGAGGCUAACGGAAUCUAGACACCACAAAGGAUGUUCGACCCGCACCUAUAAACCCUAUCCUUCCUGCUAACGAGAUGUGAUCUACAAAGGUAGCUCGGAAAUGUCACGUUCCUCACUACUACCACGGUCCAACUAGUCAGGGAAUAUCUAUGAGUACCCCAGCCUAAACACCAUGUUUACGCCAGCAAUGAUUACUCUAAACUCUACGCGAAGAGAUUAAAGUAAACUCAUAAACCAUAAGAACAAUAAAACAAGCACUUACUAGAAUUUAGAAGUCGAAAUACUGAAGAAUCCUAGGAGCAAGCUUCGGGUUAGGAGAACUUGAUCCCGCAGGUACAAGCUUGGAGUAGACACCGACAAGCCGGGCUUCCUCCACUCUACACCUCCACUCUACACCUCCACUCUAUCUCUCUCAAUCUAGUAGAAACUAGAAGAUAUAUUUCUACCUUACAUUGAUUGCUAAGCCUAAAAAGAAAUAUUAAUUAGAGAAGAGGUUUUCCUUCGAGGGCACCCCUCAGUCUCUAUGAUAAUUUCUUCAUGUCUUCUCCAGGGGCCAGGGGGCCUUGCUUAUAUAGUCCUCCCCUUCUAUGCGUUUUUGGGUCGAUAGGCGAGGUGGUACUAUGUUUUUCUUGAUCCAAUAGGUCGGUGGAAUAUCCCGAGCGAAAGAGUCCUGAUUUGGCUCCAACAGCGGGGCGGGCGCCCAGGCUUCCAGGGCGGGCGCCCUGGGCCUGGCCCAGUUUUGCCUCCGCUUCGGUCUCGUGGCUUCUGGAGUCUUCUAGAUGAUGUAAAAUUACGCGGUGCGUUGAUAUCUCUAUGUAAUCCCGACAUGUGGACCUUUCUUCCGUAUUUCCUGAUAACCCCCUGCAGAAAUAGAUAAACAACAAAACUCGUGGAAUUCUGUCAGAUCAAACCCUAAUUCUAGGUGAUGGUUGCAUAUUGGUCCUUUCUCUUGUUUAUUUGAUAAUUAAAAUUGAUACUUAAGAACCGUCAACAAAUACCCCCAUACUUAGGCUUUUACUCGUCCUUGAGAAAAGGAUGGUUAAGAAAAAUAUCUGGGGUAAACAUUUUAAAGCAUUCUCUUUAUAUUUGCAGGGUGUUAAAAAUUCCACUGUGUACCAUAGUCAGGGAUGUAUAUGGUUAAGAGUAAAGAUUCUUUCUUCUCAAUCCUAUCACUUGGAGUUUUUGUAUAUUUUUCAAAGAAAGUUAGCAUACCUUUUGAUCCUCAUAGGUUCUCUCAGAUCACUCAUUAUCAUUUAUAUAUAUAUAUAUCUCACUGAGGCUGUUUUAUUUUGCAAAAAUUCUCAAGCAUUCUUACUUUGCAUUUAUUGCCUGAUCAAAACGGGAUCCGAGGAGGGGAAUGUCAUACUCUUAGAUCAAAGACUUUGGAAAUUAAAAUCUUUGUCAACUAUUGCUGGCAUAUUGCUUAUUAGAGGGACCAUGGGCUAUCAUUUUUUCUCUUUUUUUUAAGUGGAUACCGAGGUACCCCCUAAUUCUACUGCCGGACACUUGUCCAUUUUUUUCUGCGAGGUUGUCGAGCACUUGCUCCUUUUUAUUUCCUCGAAAUAUCUUCUAUUUUUGCAUAGCCCAUGCCUCUAAUGCAAUAAUACUUCGGAAGAGUGAAUCUUACUGAAAUAAUGUCUUGAUCUUGGGAGCAUGAUAAAUCUCUCAACAAGGGUCUAACUCAUUUUGAACAAACUCAAUACAGAGCAGAUAGCUUUUAUAAUCAUAAUUAAUAUUUUCAGUUUUAUCAGGCAUAUAAAACACUGAGGAUGGUAGCUAGAAAUUUGAAUAUUUUUGAAAUAAAUUCUCCAAGCAACAAUGAUAUUAAGAAUAAGAAACUCAUACUCUACCAUCACAUAUUCCUUAUUGACUUAAGUAACACAGGGUUUUAAAAUGAUUUUAUAAUAAUUGCAAGUUUUCAGGAAAUAUCACAAAUCAUGUUUAGAAAUAUUUUUAAUCUUUUUACUUUGUCAUGUCGGGAACAAUAUUCUGCAUAAUCCAAAAUAUAUAUAUGUGUAACAUUAAGUGCGCAGAGUGUGUACCUGAAUCGUGGAGUGGUGUAGUUGGAGUGUGUUUGGCAUGUCGAGGGAUCUCCCCCAUACUUGUUUUCUGCUUUCUUACAAAAAUAAAGUAGAGACACACAAGACAUAAUAAUAAUAAUAAUAAUAAUCAUAAUAAUAAUAAUAAUAAUAAUAAUAAUAAUAAUAAUAAUAAUAAUAAUAAUAAUAAUAAUAAUAAUAAUAAUAAUUUUUAUUGAUCUUGAGGCAUUUAUUACAAAAGACUGAUAGCAAACUGAUAAUAAUAGCAAACUUAAACCGAAUUUAAAGAUAGAUGACUAAGAUGCAUUGCCUCAAGGUCUAAUUUAGAUAACUUAGCGGCGCUCUAAUUCCUUGAUCUUCUUGUUGGCACUGGCAAGAUCCUGCUUAAGGCCUAGUAUAAUGGUGUUGUGGUUAGAGAGCUGCCUAGUGAGGGAAUUAAUCGAGGACUGGAGGUCUAUGAUAACUCUAUCUAGCCUGCGAACUUCCUCAUCAAUAUCCAUUAUAGUCUUGCGACGCUUGGGAGGUGUCUCAAAAGCAUUGAGAGAGUGCUUCGGGGCUGCCUUUGGAGGGAUGAAACGGACUUUGGAUGCUCUAAUCCCUUCAAAGUAAGGCCUUUCCUCCUCUGUAGUGUAGCGAAUACUGCUGAUCUCGCCGCUCCGGUUAGUCUUGACUCCAACGACCCUCUCAUUGGGUCUUGGUGGAAGGAUCCUUGUGGCGAUUGGCACCUUGAUAGUGGUCUUCGUCUUGGAUGAUGAUCCUUUAAGGAGUAGGGGUUGUGGUGGUGCAGUGAUAACUGGUUGAGCAUGAUAAGAUUGGGCGGAGCUGCGUUGGCGUAAUGGCAUGGCUUCUAGCUGACGCUCUGUGUUGGCCGGGACGAGAGCACGGGCAUCGAGGUCCUCCACAAGCUCCAUGUUGAGGUUGAAGGGGACGACUUCCCAAUCGUCGUGGUACUUCUCGGCCAUUGGAGUAGCAAGGAACUAAUAAAAUUUUAAUUGAAGUAGAGCUAAUCAAGCUCUAAUCGAAGGAGAGAAAGCUUGGUGGCUUGGUGUUUGAAAACUGAGGUCAGGGGUCUGUUUAUAUAGGGGUCAAAAGGGUGCCUCUAUGGGUUGUUCGGGUUGCUCCCGUCGAUGUGCGUGCGAAACUUUCCAUCCGAGGGAUUAUUUGGAUCACCAUAAGUGCAUUUUCCAUAACAGAGAAAGUCGGGACCGAGGGGAGCAGGGGCUGGGCGCCCGCCCACUUGACCUGGGCGCCCGCCCUCUCUCUGGCCCCUCUGUGGGCCCACUUUUCCGAGCGCGUUUCUAGAUGCGAAAUUAUUUAGAAAAAUAUAUAUAUGACCCAAAACCAUCAGACCAAAAGUAUCAGGCUCUAAUUCUCCAUGGGAAGGUAAAAAUGGACUACGUCUAUUUCUUCAAAUUCCUCAUUGGGCUCUAAAAAUAAUUUAAGACGUUGACCAUUUACCUUGAAUAACGUACCUUCGCUAUUUUGAAGUGUGAUAGCUCCGUGGGAUGAUGAAUUGAUUACCUUGAAUGGUCCUUCCCAUUUGCUCUGGAGUUUUCCAUGCCCGAAAAGCUUUACCCUGGAAUUAAAAAGUAAUACCAUAUCUCCGGGUGUGAAUUCCUUCUUCUUGAUUCUCUUGUCAUGCCACCUUUUGACUCUUUCUUUGUAGAUCUUUGAAUUGUGAUAUGCCUUCUCUCGCCAUUCUUCCAAUUCUGAUAGUUGCAUUCUUCUAUAAUCUCCAGCAACAUCUAGGUCCAUAUUCCAUCUCUUUAUGGCCCAGUGUGCUUUGAACUCUAGUUCAACAGGUAGAUGGCAAGUCUUCCCGUACACCAAUUGGUAUGGAGACAUUCCGAUUGGGGUCUUGUAUGCUGUCCGGUAUGCCCAGAGUGCAUCGGGUAACUUGUCUUUCCAUGCCGUUCCCAUUUCAUUUACUAUCUUCUGAAGAAUAUUCUUGAUUUGUUUGUUGGAAGUCUCUGUUUGGCCACUUGUCUGAGGAUGAUAGGGGGUAGCGAAGUUGUGACGGAUUCCAUGUCUUGAUAGAUAUUGCUUGAAGCGUUUGUCGAUGAAAUGUGCUCCUCCAUCACUUAUCACUACUCUGGGGACUCCAAAUCUUGGAAAUAUAAUUUCUUCAAACAUCCUCUUUGAACUGACGUUGUCGGCAUGCUUGCAAGGUAAUGCCUCUACCCACUUGGAGACAUAGUCAACCGCCACCAAGAUGUACUCGCACUUCUUUGAUGGAGGAAAUGGACCCAUGUAGUCUAUUCCCCAGACAUCAAAGAGCUCAAUCUGAAGGUUGUUGGUGAGUGGCAUUGCGUCCCUUGUAUUUAUGUUUCCGUGCCUUUGACAUGGCCCACAUCUCCUGAUAUAUUGCUUCGUGUCUUCAUACAUUGUAGGCCAAUAGAAUCCACACUGCCAGAUCUUUGAAUGUGUACGGAAUGCUCCAUAGUGACCUCCAUAUGGUGAUGAAUGACAUCUGUCGAUGAUCUUCCAUCCUUCCUCAGUGGUCACACAUCUCCUGAGUAAGCCGUCAAAGCAUACUCGAAAGAGGUAUGGCUCAUCCCAUAUAUGUGAACGACUUUCUUGAAUAAGCUUCUUCUUGUUUGCUCCUGGUGGUACAUACCCUGAAACCAUAAAAUUAACAAUAUCUGCAUACCAGGGGUCAGACCUGUUAAUCCCGUAGAGCAUGUCGUCCCGGAGUGAAUCAUUGAUGGGGGUUUCCUGUGGACUCUUAAAAUACAUUCUAGACAAGUGAUCAGCAACAGAAUUUUCUACUCCCUUUUUAUCUUUUAUUUCUAAGUCAAAUUCUUGGAGUAAUAAGAUCCAUCUAAUCAGGCGAGGUUUAGCAUUUUUUUAGUGAGCAAAUAUUUUAGUGCAGCGUGAUCAGUGUAAACAAUUAUUUUAGCUCCAACUAAAUAAGAUCUAAAUUUAUCAAUGGCAAAGACAACAACCAGAAGCUCUUUUUCAGUGGUUGCAUAAUUAAGUUGAGCUCCUGUCAAAGUUUUACUGGCAUAAGCAAUUGCAUGAUGCUUCUUAUCUUUAGUUUGUCCCAAUACUGCCCCCACAGCAUAAUCACUAGCAUCACACAUAAUUUCAAAAGGUAACGACCAAUCAGGGGGUUGAAUGAUUGGUGCAGAGAUGAGUGCUUUCUUUAAUAAAUUGAAAGAUGUUAAACAUGCAUCAUCAAAUUCGAAAGGAGCAUCCUUGCCUAGCAAAAGAGUAAGUGGUCUAGCAAUAAAUGAAAAAUCUUUUAUGAAUCUACGAUAAAAACCAGCAUGGCCAAGAAAGCUUCGAAUUCCUUUUAUAUUCACAGGUGGAGGUAGUUGUUCAAUUACUUCAAUUUUAGCUUUGUCUACCUCAAUCCCUCUUUCAGACACUAAGUGUCCUAGCACUAUUCCUUCUCUAACCAUAAAAUGACAUUUUUCCCAAUUAAGGAUUAAGUGCUUUUCUUCACAUCUUUGCAAAACCUUGUCUAAGUUUUCAAGACAACUAUCAAAAGUUUUUCCAUAAAAAGAGAAAUCAUCCAUGAAAACUUCCAUAAUCUCUUCAAUCAUAUCAGAAAAUAUAGACAUCAUGCAUCUUUGAAAAGAAGCUGGUGCAUUACAUAACCCAAAAGACAUUCUACGGUAAGCAUAAGUUCCAUAAGGGCAUGUAAAAGUGGUUUUGCUUUGAUCAUCAGGAUGGAUCGGGAUUUGAUGAUACCCUGAAUAUCCAUCUAAGAAACAGAAGAACGAAUGGUUUGCUAACCGCUCUAGCAUCUCAUCUAUGAAAGGCAAAGGAAAGUGAUCCUUUCUCGUGGCUUUGUUUAGUUUUCUAUAGUCUAUGCACAUCCGCCAUCCUGUGACGGUACGUUGCGGAAUUAGCUCGUUCUUUUCAUUCAUAAUAACAGUCAUGCCUCCCUUUUUAGGCACAACUUGUACUGGGCUUACCCACUCACUGUGUGGCACAGGAUAUAUAAUCCCUGCAUGCAGCAACUUUAUAACUUCUUUUUUAACUACCUCUCUCAUAGUGUUGUUAAGUCUACGUUGGGGUUCUCGAGAGGGUGUAACAGAAGGAUCUGUUGGAAUACGAUGGGUACAAAUCAUAUGACUGAUUCCUGUAAGAUCUUGAAGUGAGUAGCCGAAAACUGAGUGAUGUUUCUCAAGAAUGGUCAUUAAUCGCAGAGUUUGAUCCUAAGUGAGUUUAUCCCUAAUGAUCACAGGGAACUCUGGAUUAUUGUUUAGGAAAGCAUAGGUAAGACCGGGUGGUAAAGUUUUAAGUUCUAUGGGGGGUCUAGGUGUCUCUGCAAACUCAUCUAAAGGUUCAGGCUCAGAAGGUUCGUCUUCUUCUUCUGUGAAGAAAGGAGUUUCGUCUUCUAGGUCUGGUUCAUCUAAAAGCUCUAGAGAUGCAGCCUUUACUUCCUCCAUAGGAUCAGGCAAAAGAUAUGACUCGGCCUUAUUAUUUAAGGAGUGUGAAAUUAUUAUUGGGAAUUUAAAAGUUUUUCCAAAAGAAAUGUGUAGCUUUCCAGUAUGACCUUCAUAAAGGAGUCUUCUAAAAGGUUGUCCUAUUAACAAGUCGAAGUCCCAUGUAUCAAAGAUAUAGAAGUUCAAAUGAACCAUGGAGCCUUCUACCGUAAGAGGUAGGACAUUAAUAAUUCCAAGACUGGGGACUAAUCGUCCCGAAGAUUCCUUUAUGACCUUUGUUGUGGGGGUUAAGAUAAGAUUUUUAAAUAGUUUAAGUGCAAAAGAUUCAGACAUGAUGUUGAUCCCCACAACAGGAUUAUAGAGAGCAUUAAAUCGAUCAGAAUUAUAAGCACAGCGUAUAGUUAUAGAGGGUGUGUCCAAACGGAUCACAUCAGAGGAAAGUUUUGAUUCCUCCAACCAUUCGCUACUCAUUACUGAGAUAAGCUCUCUCAAUUGAUAUUCACUUGGCAAAUAAAUGCUAGACUGGCCGUUUUGGGGUUUGUCAAUAGAAUGGUAGUUUGAAAUAUUUCCAAAAUCGGCAAAAAGAUCGGAUUCUAUAUCCAGCAUGAAGUCCGGUAGUGGAAUUUCUUCCUCUUGUGGCUCAGAACUUGGAAUGGCUAAAGUAGAUGAAGAAUUUGGCAGAGUGUCUACUUUGGCUUCGUAGGUUUCAUCAUAAAGGGUGUUAUCCAUCUCAGCUUCUAGGAUUCUAUCUAGGAUCACUCUUGCUUCAUCAGCAGGGAUGCGAAAGAAAGAACCUCUAGACAUUGUGUGAAGCAUUUGUUUAUGAUUUUUAUGAAGACCUCGAAAAAAGUGAAAUAAAAGAACAGGGUCUUCAAGAUUAAGGUUUGGACCAGAUUCUAAAAGAUCAGAAAAACGUUUCCAGGAUUUUCCCAAAGUUUCAUUAUCUAUUUGUUUAAAAGAUAGGACUUUGAGUCUAAGGUCGGCUAUACGGUCAAGGGAAUAGAAAUCUAGACAAAAGUUGGCUCGUAAAACUCCCCAUUCACCUUGUUGUUGACUUACCUUCUGACUGUACCAUUGUCUAGCUUCUCCCCUUAGAGAAAAAGGAAAAAGCUUCCAACGUAAAGUCUUAUCAGAAAUGCCUUCAAUGCGAAGACAAUCACAUGUUUGCUCAAAAUCUCUAAUAUGAAGGUAAGGGUUUUCGUCUUCCUUUCCCGAAAAAGAUAGGUUUUGAAUCAGGGCAAUCAACCUAGAACUUAACUUAUACUGGGAUGUUUGGAUAGGCUGUGAUGACUCCCAUGGUAAAAGGUCAGUUGCUAAAGGGAUUGCAGACUCAUGGAUCGAUUUAGAAUUUUGGUUUUCCAUAAGGUAAGAAUAAAGAAAAUAAAUAAAGGAUAUAAAAGAUAAGAAAAGAUAAAAGUAUAGAUACAAGCUAGUAGCAAGACACAGGUUAUCUCAGCAACCGUCUUUCUCCCCGACAACGGCGCCAGAAAUGCUUGUUGAUAUUUGGGAACGCAAUAAGGAAUUGAUCCGCAAGCGCACGGAUAUCGGUGAGCACUUCACCCGGGAAAUUAUCCAGAGUAUCGUAUUUAUUUUUUUACCACUAGGAGAAAGAGUGCAUCUGACUAACCGGUCUAUUACUACUAACCUUUAGGCACAAAGAAUGUCUUUCGAUGUGAGUGAUAAAUAGAGAAGACUGCAACCGUAGUCUCCUUCUAACCUUGGUAAGGAUGAUCUACUGUUCUAAUGGGGAGGCUAACGGAAUCUAGACACCACAAAGGAUGUUCGACCCGCACCUAUAAACCCUAUCCUUCCUGCUAACGAGAUGUGAUCUACAAAGGUAGCUCGAAAAUGUCACGUUCCUCACUACUACCACGGUCCAGCUAGUCAGGGAAUAUCUAUGAGUACCCCAGCCUAAACACCAUGUUUACGCCAGCAAUGAUUACUCUAAACUCUACGCGAAGAGAUUAAAGUAAACUCAUAAACCAUAAGAACAAUGAAACAAGAACUUACUAGAAUUUAGAAGUCGAAAUACUGAAGAAUCCUAGGAGCAAGCUUCGGGUUAGGAGAACUUGAUCCCGCAGGUACAAGCUUGGAGUAGACACCGACAAGCCGGGCUUCCUCCACUCUACACCUCCACUCUAUCUCUCUCAAUCUAGUAGAAACUAGAAGAUCUAUUUCUACUUUACAUUGAUUGCUAAGCCUAAAAAGAAAUAUUAAUUAGAGAAGAGGUUUUCCUUCGAGGGCACCCCUCAGUCUCUAUGAUAAUUUCUUCAUGUCUUCUCCAGGGGCCAGGGGGCCUGGCUUAUAUAGUCCUCCCCUUCUAUGCGUUUUUGGGUCGAUAGGCGAGGUGGUACUAUGUUUUUCUUGAUCCAAUAGGUCGGUGGAAUAUCCCGAGCGAAAGAGUCCUGAUUUGGCUCCAACAGGGGGGUGGGCUCCCAGGCUUCCAGGGCGGGCGCCCUGGGCCUGGCCUAGUUUUGCCUCCGCUUUGGUCUCGUGGCUUCUAGAGUCUUCUAGAUGAUGUAAAAUUACGCGGUGCGUUGAUAUCUCUAUGUAAUCCUGACAUGUGGACCUUUCUUCCGUAUUUCCUGAUAACCCCCUGCAGAAAUAGAUAAACAACAAAACUCGUGGAAUUCUGUCAGAUCAAACCCUAAUUCUAGGUGAUGGUUGCAUAUUGGUCCUUUCUCUUGUUUAUUUGAUAAUUAAAAUUGAUACUUAAGAACCGUCAACAGUCGGAACGACUUAUCCUUCCAGCUAAAUGUGGGGCAUGCGUUCAACAUGACAAGAGGGCCGUCAACGAUCGGUCCUUAAUCGACACAGACAGGGGCACUAUGGUCAACCCACCAUAAGACCCUGCCCGGUCUCCAAUUCCAUUCCACACUUGGUUAUUCUUUUCCCCAAAGCAACCACUGCUCGAACAAGCAGGUAUCCACCUAUAUCUCGCAGGUGACAGGGAAUCACCCGACUUCUACCGGGCUAAGCAAGCUAAGCAUAGACUCCGCACCUAUCUACAUAGGACAAGGUAGAUAAACGAGUAGGGAUAACAAGGAGUACUUAUGCAUCAACGGUAUCAAGCAACUCCUAUCACUUAAAUGCAAUAUAGUAGAACAAGCAUAGUAUAUCCUGUAAGUUAGCGAGAAUAGGGAGACUUAGAAUGCUCCGGGGCUUGCCUUUCUCAAACGUGCUGGGUCGGUGAUCCGGACACUUCUGUAGUUCCUCUCCGGACUCCUGUGCUUCCGGAGGUUCCUGCUCCUGAAUCUCCUCUGGUUCCUCGGGUCCCACCUCGUUCUCCUGCGAGCCUGUAUGAUGCAUGUGUGCUCAUGAGUGUAGUGCGAGAUGCCCGAGUGGAUGCUUGUAUGAGAAGGUACCAAAGGAUCAUGACAUGAUGCAUGGAUGAUACACUUGGUCAUGCUCAUUACAAGACAGUCAACAUCAUCCAAGAACAGACAAUUGAAUUAAACAUCUAUUGCAUUCUCUUCUACACUUGUUUUGCAAGUGUAACCAGCUACCCACAUGAUGCUUCAAGGAUACACCAAACCCCUCCUUAUUUUACUCAACCUAUAUAUAAAAAUUCAUAAUUUUCUUUAUUCAUUUCUAGGCCCAUUAAAAAUUACAUGCAGUUCUGUUCAUCAAUAAAUUCCACAAAAAUUACAGGAGACUACCAGCCAAGCAUAAAGUCUACUGUAAAUUUUUCAUAAUUUUUGGAUACUUAUUUUGAGCUACAAAAAUCACAGGAUUAAUUAAUAAGGUAAGUAAUAUUAGUCCACUGUAAUAUAAGUGUCAAACAACAGAUUUCAUAUUUUUACAAUUUGCCUAAUAUCAUAAGAAGCACCCACAAAAAUUACCAGAUUAAAUGCAUGAUCCAAAUACCACUGCCAUGCAAGCAUUUAAAUUACCAUAAAUUCAUUUAUACACCAAAUAAUGUGUAGCAAUAUUUUCCCAGUGAGUUAACAUACAUGCAAAGCCCAUAAAACAAGUUUCAUAUUUUUCUGAGUCAUAUUUUAAUUAUUGUACAUUUUCCAAGUUUAGCAAAAACAUGGAUUAAAUAUAUUCAUACAGAAAAGUUACUCGAACAUGACAUGCAAUUACAUCAAACUGUAGAUCUGGAAAUAUAGAGCACACCAAAAUUUAUUUCAUCAAAUUUGGAGCUGUAGAACUCAAGAUAUGAAUUUUACAAGUUUUGAAUCAAUUUCUGGAAAACAUUUAUUAAAUAAAACCGACGAAAAAGGCUAAACACACCCAAAUCUACACCCACCGGGGUUCCCCCUGCGACUGUCAGCGAGACCGAGAGGGAGCUCACCUCCGACGAGCAGAUCUCGCCGGCGGUGAGGUUCCCGGCCACGGGGUGAGCACCAUCGUGCUCCCCGCAGCGAGGCGCACCCAGCGGUACCCUCGGAUUGACCGGAGGAUGGCCGGAGCACCUCCGUCGAGCAUGCAUGGCGACGCUGCUCGCCGUGGCCAGGCCGCUCCGGCGCGGUACAGCGUGCGCAAACAGUUCUCCGAGCUUCCUCACCACUCUACCGACCUAGCGCAACCAAGAACCAGCGAAAAGAGGUAGGGAAACGCAAGAUCCGUCGCGGCGGAGUACUCUGGCGAGCUCGGGGUAACUCCGUCGAGCGAUUCACGGUGCUCGGCGGACUCUCACCUCGGUAGAACACUCGCAUACGCUUACCCUAACGAUGGCGAAGGCGCUGGUGGCUUCAGUGUCGAGGUUUGGUCACCGGAGUGGCCGGCGGUGAGCAGCGGAGCCGCUCCGGCGAUGGCGCUGCGGCGGAGUUCUAUGGCUCGGUUGCGCUUGCGAGCGGAGGGAGGAAGGAGAAGGGCGCGGGCGACAGGAUGGAGGGAAUGGCCUGGGAGCCCGAGCCGGCGUCCCGACUAGGGGGUGUUGGAGGCCGGCCGCGGCGCGCUCCUCGCCGGCGUACGGCCGCCACGUGGCCGACGCUGGCUGGGGCGAGGCGGGCGUCCGCGCGCGGGAGAGAGGGGGAGGGGGAGGCAGGCCGGGCCGCUCGCUGGGCCGAAAGGGAGGCGGGGUUGGCCCAGCAGCGCCUGCCCCUUUUCUAUUUUUUUUUGAAUUUCUUUUCUCAAAUUCUUUUCUAAAUUCUUUUGGACCAAUUUAAAAAUCAUUUUCAUCUCUUGCUUCCAAAAGCAAGGUUGUUCCAAAACAAAAACCCUACAACUUUGUUUUAAUAAGCAAGACAAAAUUCAAAAUAGAAUUUGAAUUACAAGUUAAAACUAGUUCUAGGUUUUCAAAUAAAUUCAAUUUGGGGAUUUUUGUAUAAAUUCCAUUUCUCAAAUUCUAUAGCUCCAAAAAUUACACAAAAAUAUUCUUAAUCCUUCUUACACAUAAAUCAACCUAGUUUGACUAUCUCACAUUUUUAGAAGCAAGCAUCAUAUUUUUAGCAUAUUUAGAACACAUAAAAUAAAGCACAUAAAAUCAUGGUUUGGGAUGAAUGAGAUGCUCAUGAUGCCUAUGCUUGAUGAGAAUGCUUAUGCAUUGCUUUGGGAAGGCUAAGUGCAUGCUUAACACCUAGGGUGUUACAGCCCUUCCCCCCUUAGGGAAAUCUCGUCCCGAGAUUUUGGGUUACUAACCAUUUCUUAUGAAAUUUUGGAUAAACUGUUUUUAAGUAAUCCUCUGUUUCCCAGGUGGCAUCCCUAUCGUCAUGAUGACUCCACACCACCUUAUAUGUUCGAACAACUCUGUUUCGGGUUACUCGUUCCUUGGUAUCCACAAUUCCCACUAGCUGCUCUUUAUAUUCCAAGUCUGCUUUUAUCUUGAUUCCCCUAGGUUCAAUUCUUUGCUCAGGUACUUUCAAACAUUUCCGCAGUUGCGACACAUGGAAAACCGGAAAGAUUGAGCUUAACUCUUCACGUAACUGAAUCUUGUAGGCCACUGGGCCCUUCCUCUCUAGUACUUGAUACGGUCCCACAUAUCUGGGUGCAAGCUUCCUUCGAACUCGGAAACGUUGAACUUUCUUCAUUGGCGUAACCUUGAGGUACACGUAGUCACCUACGUUGAAUUCAAGUGGCCUUCUUCUCUUAUCGGCGUAACUCUUUUGCCGUGAUUGUGUGGCUUGCAUGUGUUGCUGUAUGAUUUGCACCUUCUUCUCGGCCUCAUUCACGAAGUCGAUACCACAGUAUCUUCUCUCGCCAGGUUCAACCCAGUUUAACGGAGUUCUACACCUCCGACCAUACAAAGCUUCGAACGGGGCCAUCUUGAUGCUCUCUUGAUAACUGUUAUUGUAUGAGAAUUCAGCCAGAGGUAACCAUGAUUCCCAUGAUCCCUUGGAUGAUAGCACACAGGCCCUCAGCAUAUCUUCUAACACUUGAUUUAGCCUCUUAGUUUGGCCUGAAGUCUGGGGAUGAUACGCCGUGCUUCUUAUCAGACUGGUCCCCAAACUCUUAUGCAUGCGCUCCCAGAAGUGAGCGGUGAACUGUGGUCCCCUAUCCGAUAUGAUGGUCUUGGGAAUACCAUGCAAUUUGACAAUCUCAGCCAUAUAUAUAUCGGCAUAUUCAGGAGGUCGGUAACGAGUCUUCACAGGAAUGAAAUGGGCUGAUUUGGUCAAUCGAUCUAUGAUUACCCAAAUCGAGUCAUUCCCCUUCCUUGUUGUUGGUAAACCCGUGAUAAAGUCCAUACUGACCUCUUCCCAUUUCCACUCUGGAACUGAUAACGGUUGUAACAGACCUGCAGGCUUCAUGUGGAUGGCCUUAACUCUGCAACACGUGUCACAACGAGCUACAUACGCGGCUAUUUCUUUCUUCAUCUUGGUCCACCAAAAGUGGGGUCUCAAGUCUUGGUACAUUUUACUACUGCCAGGAUGAAUAGAAAGCUUAGAGAGAUGGGCUUCAUCCAUGAUGCGAUUCUUCAAUUCACGAUCUUUCGGAACUACUAACCAAUGUUGAAACCACAGUACCCCUUUUUCAUCAACUCGAAAUUGAGUCUUUGGGUCAUCUUUGAUCUUCUCCUUGAUGUGGAAAAUACCCUUGUCUGUUUUCUGACCUUCGAUGACUUGACUCUCGAGUGAAUAACUGAGUUGUAUGUGACAUAAGACCUCAGGAUGCAUAAGAUCGAACCCAUCUUCAAACAACGGUUGAACCACUUGAUAGUGCGGUUUACGACUCAAUGCAUCCGCUACUACAUUUGACUUGCCUGGAUGAUAGUGAACUUCCAGAUCAUAGUCCUUGAUUAACUCUAACCAUCGUCGUUGCCUCAUAUUCAGCUCGGACUGAGUGAAGAUGUACUUCAAACUCUUAUGAUCAGUAUAAAUGUGACACUUAUUCCCCAGCAGAUAGUGUCUCCAAAUCUUCAAGGCGUGUACCACUGCUGCUAACUCGAGGUCAUGAGUUGGGUAGUUGACUUCGUGCUUUCUCAACUGUCGGGAAGCAUAAGCUAUCACUCUGCCUUCUUGCAUCAACACACACCCCAGGCCACUCUUCGAUGCGUCACAAAACACAUCAAAAGGCUUCUCUAUAUUGGGUUGUGCCAGAAUGGGAGCAGUGGUUAGCAACUUUCGCAAGGUGCGGAAGGCUAACUCACACCCUUCCGUCCAGACAAACUUAUGAUCCUUUUGUAGCAAACUUGUCAUUGGCUUAGCAAUCUUGGAGAAAUCAGGUAUGAAUCGACGAUAAUACCCGGCCAGACCAAGAAAACUUCUAACUUCCGAGACAGAAGUUGGUGCCUUCCAGUCCAUGACCUCCUGCACCUUUGAUGGAUCCACAGCAAUCCCUUCUUCAGAUAGAAUGUGCCCUAGGAAAGGAACUUUCUUCAACCAGAACUCACACUUGCUGAACUCGGCAUAUAAAUGAUGCUCUCGUAAUCGUGUCAGCACGAUUCUCAGAUGCUCGGCAUGAUCUUGCUCAUUUUCUGAAUAAACCAGAAUAUCAUCGAUAAACACCACAACAAACUUAUCCAAUUCCGGCAUAAAGACUGAAUUCAUCAGAUACAUAAAGUAUGCAGGAGCAUUUGUCAAUCCAAAGGACAUGACAAGGCACUCAUACAACCCAUAUCUAGUGGAAAAAGCAGUCUUUGGGAUAUCUUGCGGACGAAUCUUGAUUUGGUGAUACCCAGACCUCAAAUCUAUCUUGGAAAACACUUUUGCCUUAGACAACUAAUCAAAUAAGAUAUCAAUCCUUGGCAAGGGAUACUUAUUCUUGAUUGUCACGGCAUUGAGUGGACGAUAGUCCACGCACAUGCGCAACGACUGAUCCUUCUUUUUCACAAACAAUGCUAGACAACCCCAUUCCGACGAGCUUGGCCGGAUGAACCCUUUUUCCAGUAACUCCUUUAGUUGAUUCUUCAACUCAGCGAGUUCGUUUGGUGGCAUCCGGUACGGCCUCCUAGAUAUUGGUGCUGUACCUGGUAUCAACUCGAUUGCAAACUCUACCUCCGUAUUUGGGGGAAGUCCUGGUAAUUCCUCAGGAAAAACAUCAGGGAACUCACAUACCACGGGUAUGUGUUCUAGUGAAACCACCUGUACUGCACACGAAAGACUGGCGAAGUCUAACCGUCGAGGUAACUUGACCUGAAACACACCCUUCCCUUGCGGGUCUCUAAGGGAAAGAGUUCUAUUCCCGGUGUCUAUAACCGCGCCCCAAUCAGUCAUCUUGUUCAUUCCAAUGAUGACAUCCAAAACCAGCCCUGGCAUGACCACAAGGUUUACACGAAACCUCCGGCCACUGAUAUCCAAAGUAACUCCUGUUACUGUUUUAUUAGUCAACACAUCGGCUCCGGCUGAGCUGAUGCGAUAGCCAUAACCCAACUCAGUAACUGGCUGGUCAUGCUUUUGUGCAAAUGCUUGACUCAUGAAUGAAUGCGAUGAUCCAGAAUCAAACAAAACAACUGCAAGAUGUUGGUUGACAGAGAACAUACCAGCUGUUACCGGUUCUCCUUCCAGGAUCUCCUCGAUCGAGGUAUGGUGCACACGAGCUGGAUAGGUUGGCUGCUGCCUCUUGGGGUAGGGACAUUCCUUAGCAAAGUGCCCCAUCUUGUGGCAGUUAUAGCACGGACCCUUGGGCGCAUUGUUGACGGCAGGUGCUGCAGCUUGAAUUGCCUUUGGCUUGGCAGGGGCUAUCGCCACCUUGUACGGCUUCUGCUGCGUUGGAUGCCCAGUGUUCCUUCUCUGCGGCGGUCAGAACCUAGCACCUGGGGCAGGAGGACGAUACUGCUGUCGCCCUGUCAUGGGUGCCCUGGACUGGGAUGAUCCGGCUUCAAAAGCCCUCUUACGUGACUUGGAUGCACUGUAGUUGUUGUUGUUGUUCUCCUGGGUCAGACAGUCACUGAUGUAAGCAUUGAAGGUAGCCCUAGCUCCUGUACCCAUGGUCUUCAGCAUCUUUGGACUCAAGCCUCUCUGGAAACUAGCAAUCUUCUUGGCCUCCGUGUUCACAAACUCAGGGGCAUAGCGAGCGAGAUUAUUGAAAGCGUGUAGAUACUCCUUCACAGAUUUCGUCCCCUGGGACAGCCUCAUGAACUCCCCAACCUUCAUUUCAACUAAACCCAGAGGAAUGUAAUUUCCCCAAAAAGUGGUGGUGAAGCGGUUCCAGGUAAUUGGGGUCCCCUCUGGGUAGGUAGUACUGUGAUGGGACCACCAAAUUCCAGCGGGUCUUUGCAACUGAUGUGCCGCAUACUCAGCCUUGAGUUCUUCGGUCAUCCGAAGGAGACGAAACUUCUGCUCCAUGGUGUUGAUCCACUCAUCUGCUUUGAGCGGUUCCAAGGCCUCUUUGAAGAUUGGUGGCUUGGUAUCCAUGAAGUCCUUGAAUGAGCUGUACUGAUUGACUUCACGGCCGCCCUGGUUAUCCCCACGACGGGUGUUGUCAGCUAUGUUGCGCAGAGCCUCUUCCAUGUUGUGUUGCAUCUUUUCCAUGUUGCGUUGGCUCCCCAGAAACUGCGCGAAAAACACGUCCGCAGUGUACGGAGGAGGCAGUGGUGGUGGCAGUGUUGGUGCUCUGUCCUCAUUCCAUUGAGCCCCACCUCCAGACGUGCCUGCUCCAAGGCCCGGGUUGUGUUACCCCCGCCACGUGUUUGCACCAUCUGCAUAGGUCAAUGAUAAGCAAUCGUUAGGAGUUGUCAUCAUCGGUAGAAAUGUGUAGAAUCAUGCCGUACUGAAUUUACUGAGGGAAUAAAUUUGCACAAUAAAUAGAGGCACAACAACUCAUCGUCCACGCACAACAUCACUAACAGAUUACUUAUCAUUCAAGCAACGAGGUUCGCAUGCAUCCAACUUGCCAGCAAACAUACACUGGACUUUCAGCAUUAACUCAUAGAGUUUUACAUAACCCAGAUCCAAAGGUACAAGAUAUGCCAUGCAACAUACAACGCAAAAGAAGAAGGACUAGCCCUAGAGCCCUAGCAUCUACUCGCUAUGAUCACUGUCCAUGCCGGAGCCAUCCUCAUCCUCAUCUCCACUAGCAGCUGCUCCAAUCUCAGGAUCCUCAUCCAUCUCGUCCUCAGAGUCUAGCUCAGCUGCUCCAGGCAGGGGGUGAGGGUGGAGCUGGUUAUGCAGCUGGUGGAUCUCCUCAUGCAAGUUCUCAUUGUACUCCUCAGCAUUGGCUAGCUGCUGCUCUAGCUCUAGCUGUCGGGCCCUCAAAGUGUCCUCCUCGUGCCAGGCUUCAUUCCUCUGUCCAAGCACAUGGACUAGCAUGCGCACGCAGUUCCUGUGAGCAGUAGUCACCCUGUCCUUCUGCUCUCGUACUGCAAGCAGGUCCUGACUCAGCUCACUGUUCCUCUGGACUGCCUGAUCUCUCUCUGUGGUCACACGGGCCAACUCUGCCUAUAGCCUCUCAACCUCAGAGUCAAACUCACGCUGCAACUGACGCUUCUCAUCCUGGACGGUGAGAAGAGACCCAGACAAGCGACCCAAACAACGCUCCAGGCCUUCAUAGGUCUUCAUCAACGCGUACAUAGCACUCAUAGCUGCACUGUCACUGUGCUGGGCCUCAUCCGCACUCCUCUCUAGAGCGUUCACCUCGGACUGAUCCCACACUGAAGUGUAGGGGUCACCUCGGGGAAACACCCCAGCGAAGGCGCGGGCCAGCUCCUGUGGAAACCUCUCCAUGAGGUCCCUCAGAACUGCGAAAGCUGCCCUGCUGGCACCGUGGAAAGGCGUGAUACCUCGGGACUCAUACACCCAGCCGCCCCAAGCAGGGUCCCCUCCACUGGUAGGGACAACUGCCUCGAUCCCCACCAGUGUACCGUCACCAAGCGGCUCCUUAUCCCAAUAGUAGCGAGGCUCUCUUCCUUCGGGAUACCCUAUCGAACUGAGCACCCUCCAAAGCAAAGUGGGCAUCCCAAACUCCUCCAGGAACUUGCUCUUAUGUCGUGAGCUCCUCGCUGCCAACGGAUGGCGAGGGGCCCGCCCACCAGUGGACUUGCGAGCGGUGAGCCUAGUGCGUGCCAUCUGCUGCAAAUGGAAUACCUUGGUUAAGAGCGAGGAUUACCUUUAAUUAUUUUAUUUAGAAUUGGGACAGAUUAAAUUAAGGGGGAAAGUAAGCAAUGAUAUGAAAUGACCAUGAUGCAUGUACGAACUUACGAUCUCACAAACUUAGAAACAAAGGUUAACACUAAGCGGUAUAUGCGGUGGCCCACAACGUUCUCUCAUAACGUAACUAGCGUUCUAAGCGAGAAGUGGUUAGUGUACCUGCAGAAAACUCAUUUCAGCCCACCCACAGCAUGCUAAUGCAGAACAAAACUUAAAACUAUACACUCCACAUACACAGACACCCGUCCAUGCAUAUGACGUGUUGCUACCCCCAUCAUCGCCCUAAUGACGGCAUCGCCUCUCAGGACGGAAUUCCCAACAUGUGGUACUGUUCCCAAGACACACCAAAACAUGUGUGCAUGACACAGUACCUAACAACACUCCCGUAGACCGGCAGUGUAUCCGAUCAUGCUCUCACAGCUCCCACUUACUGUGGCGUAGAGGAAAAAUUGAUCCAUACAUUACCACUCAAAUGAAUGGCACUCAUACUAUUGCACGCCGUAUGAGCGACGAAAUAAAAAUAUGAUGCAUUAACCCCCAGGUCAGUACUUAACUAACCACCUUAGAGUCCUUAACUGGGCAUAAAGGAUAUGACCAUGGCACACUAGAUAGUUUUUCCCAAAACUUGGUUUAACACCUUGAUCAUUAUUGAUUAAUUAAUAAAAUCUUUCAUUAAACUGGUUUAGAUUUUUGUUUAGAACGUACUUAUGAACAGUAACUCGCUAAACCUUGCUCCGAUGCCAGCUGUAACAGAACCGACCAAAUUAUAAGAGAUUAAGCCUAACGGAGACCAUUCACAUAGUCAAACCCGCAGGCUUAAACCCAUAUAAUCCCGGUAGUCCGUGAAAUCUCGAAGGAUUUCAAACCACAUAUCGUACAACAGCCAAGAUCGUAAUAAGUUUAGCGGUCACCAUCCACAAAUACAUCCAGAUUACAACAUUUAUAAAAUACAUUGGAGUACUUAAAGUUAUUACAAACCAAGUUCCUCAAGUAGCGGAAGCUUCAUAGUUCGCAAAUACAACACACACUUAGUCUGAUACAGUGCCAUAGUUCGGUCAUUCCCACAAAAGCAAAAGAGAAGACGGAGUGACCAUCGCCCUUGGUCUAGUCAUCACCCAUGGCUGGGUACAGACAGAGGAUGCAAUAACCAUAGUACAUUUGACAAUCUGCAAAACAACAUGGGAGUAGAACCCUGAGUACGAGAAGGUACUCAGCUAGACUUACCCGUCAUAAACUUAAAAUAAAGACUCAUCAAGGAUCAUGAAGGCUAUAUAGUGGGGUAGCUGACGACCAUUUUGCAAAACCACAGGAUUCUAUUAUUAUAACCUACACAAAUCUUUCUUCUUUUAAUGCUCAAGUUGAAAGUAUCAUUACCUAUUAUCUAGGUUUGCACCUGUACUAUCACAAACAAGUAUAGUGAUAUGAUAGUACCUCAUCAUAGCAUUUCUUAAAACCAUUCAUCAUUAUAACCCAAGUGUUCCAUAGUCCUUACUACGAGGACAGGGCUCAUGUCAAGUGCUCACUAUCUAGGAGCGAUGGCGAUUCGAAUCAAUUUCUAACCAGCUGGCGUGUUUAUUCCCCACACAAACCACACUCACUAAUCAAGUGAGCUACAGAUCACCGUAUUGCACUAUCCAGGACCAAUUCGCGGGUUCGACAGGCACCGCCCGUACCCGAGGACCGUUCCGGCGACCGAGGUAUCCAAGCUAUACCAAGGUUGCGUGCCGCGCCCUCGUCGUUCUCCUCAACCAUCACCAAUACAGCGCGUACAUCGGGCCGAUUCCCGUCCCGAAUAGUGCUCAGGCUUCGCGGUCGGAACGACUUAUCCUUCCAGCUAAAUGUGGGGCAUGCGUUCAACAUGACAAGAGGGCCAUCAACGAUCAGUCCUUAAUUAAUACAGGCAGGGGCACUAUGGUCAACCCACCAUAAGACCCUGCCCGGUCUCCAAUUCCAUUCCGCACUUGGUUAUUCUUUUCCCCAAAGCAACCACUGCUCGAACAAGCAGGUAUCCACCUAUAUCUCGCAGGUGACAGGGAAUCACCCGACUUCUACCGGGCUAAGCAAGCUAAGCAUAGACUCCGCACCUAUCUACAUAGGACAAGGUAGAUAAACGAGUAGGGAUAACAAGGAGUACUUAUGCAUCAACAGUAUCAAGCAACUCCUAUCACUUAAAUGCAAUAUAGUAGAACAAGCAUAGUAUAUCCUAUAAGUUAGCGAGAAUAGGGAGACUUAGAAUGCUCCGGGGCUUGCCUUUCUCAAACGUGCUGGGUCGGUGAUCCGGACACUCCUGUAGUUCCUCUCCGGACUCCUAUGCUUCCGGAGGUUCCUGCUCCUGAAUCUCCUCUGGUUCCUCGGGUCCCACCUCGUUCUCCUGCAAGCCUGUAUGAUGCAUGUGUGCUCAUGAGUGGAGUGCGAGAUGCCCGAGUGGAUGCUUGUAUGAGAAGGUACCAAAGGAUCAUGACAUGAUGCAUGGAUGAUACACUUGGUCAUGCUCAUUACAAGACAGUCAACAUCAUCCAAGAACAGACAAUUGAAUUAAACAUCUAUUGCAUUCUCUUCUACACUUGUUUUGCAAGUGUAACCAGCUACCCACAUGAUGCUUCAAGGAUACACCAAACCCCUCCUUAUUUUACUCAACCUAUAUAUAACAAUUCAUAAUUUUCUUUAUUCAUUUCUAGGCCCAUUAAAAAUUACAUGCAGUUCUGUUCAUCAAUAAAUUCCACAAAAAUUACAGAAGACUACCAGCCAAGCAUAAAGUCUACUGUAAAUUUUUCAUAAUUUUUGGAUACUUAUUUUGAGCUACAAAAAUCACAGUAUUAAUUAAUAAGGUAAGUAAUAUUACUCCACUGUGAUAUAAGUGUCAAACAACAGAUUUCAUAUUUUUACAAUUUUCCUAAUAUCAUAAGAAGCACCCACAAAAAUUACCAGAUUAAAUGCAUGAUCCAAUUAAUUACUAAAAAUCAUAAACCACUACCAUGCAAGCAUUUAAAUUACCAUAAAUUCAUUUAUACACCAAAUAAUGUGUAGCAAUAUUUUCCCAGUGAGCUAACAUACAUGCAAAGCCCAUAAAACAAGUUUCAUAUUUUUCUGAGUCAUAUUUUAAUUAUUGUACAUUUUCCAAGUUUAGCAAAAACAUGGAUUAAAUAUAUUCAUACAGAAAAGUUACUCAAACAUGACAUGCAAUUACAUCAAACUGUAGAUCUGGAAAUAUAGAGCACACCAAAAUUUAUUUCAUCAAAUUUGGAGCUGUAGAACUCAAGAUAUGAAUUUUACAAGUUUUGAAUCAAUUUCUGGAAAACAUUUAUUCAAGAAAACCGACGAAAAUGGCUAAACACACCCAGAUCUACACCCACCGGGGUUCCCCCUGCGACUGACAGUGGGCCUCUGACCCCACCGGUCAGCGAGACCGAGAGGGAGCUCACGUCCGACGAGCAGAUCUCGCCGGCGGUGAGGUUCCCGGCCACGGGGUGAGCACCAUCGUGCUCCCCGCAGCGAGGCGCACCCAGCGGUACCCUCGGAUUGACCGGAGGAUGGCCGGAGCACCUCCGUCGAGCAUGCAUGGCGGCACGGCGGCGCUGCUCGCCGUGGCCAGGCCGCUCCGGCGCGGUAGAGCGUGCGCAAACGGUUCUUCGAGCUUCCUCACCACUCUACCGACCUAGCGCAACCAAGAACCAGCGAAAAGAGGUAGGGAAACGCAAGAUCCGUCGCGGCGGAGUACUCCGGCGAGCUCAGGGUAACUCCGGCGAGCGAUUCAUGGCGCUCGACAGACUCUCACCUCGGUAGGACGCUCGCAUAAGCUUACCCUAACGAUGGCGAAGGCGCUGGUGGCUUCGGUGUCGAGGUUUGGUCACCGGAGUGGCCGGCGGUGAGCAGCGGAGCCGCUCCGGCGAUGGCGCUGCGGUGGAGUUCUACGGCUCGGUUGCGCUUGCGAGCGGAGGGAGGAAGGAGAAGGGCGUGGGCGACAGGAUGGAGGGAAUGGCUUGGGAGCCCGAGCCGGCGUCCCGACUAGGGGGUGUUGGAGGCCGGCCGCGGCGCGCUCCUCGCCGGCGUACGGCCGCCACGUGGCCGACGCUGGCUGGGGUGAGGCGGGCGUCCGCGCGCGGGAGAGAGGGGGAGGGGGAGGCAGGCCGGGCCGCUCGCUGGGCCGAAAGGGAGGCGGGGUUGGCCCAGCAGCGCCUACCCUUUUCUAUUUUUUUUGAAUUUCUUUUCUCAAAUUAUUUUCUAAAUUCUUUUGGACCAAUUUAAAAUUCAUUUUCACCUCUUGCUUCCAAAAGCAAAGUUGUUCCAAAACAAAAACCCUACAACUUUGUUUUAAUAAGCAAGACCAAAUUCCAAAUAGAAUUUGAAUUACAAGUUAAAACUAGUUCUAGGUUUUCAAAUAAAUUCAAUUUGGGGAUUUUUGUAUAAAUUCCAUUUCUCAAAUUCUAUAGCUCCAAAAAUUACAUAAAAAUAUUCUUAAUCCUUCUUACACAUAAAUCAACCUAGUUUGAAUAUCUCACAUUUUUAGAAGCAAGCAUCAUAUUUUUAGCAUAUUUAGAACACAUGAAAUAAAGCACAUAAAAUCAUGGUUUGGGAUGAAUGACAUGCUCAUGAUGCUUAUGCUUGAUGAGAAUGCUUAUGGAUUGCUUUGGGAAGGCUAAGUGCAUGCUUAACACCUAGGGUGUUACAACCUUUGCCUUGAUCUCCAUAGGGUUUUGUUUUUCUCUUUCUUCUUUUCCAAGUUGAGCACUUGAUCACCUUGUGGUCAUCACCAUCAUCACCAUGAUCAUCACUUGCUCCAUCACUUGGCAUGUACCAACCUCAUUAAGUCUACACACACUUAGCGUAGAGGUUAGUACUAGGGUUUCAUCAAUUAUCCAAAACCAAACUAGGGCUUUCAAUCUCCCCCUUUUUAGUAAUUGAUGACAACCCUUUUUACAAAGAUUUUCAAUAAAAUUUUCUUGGAUUCAUGUUGCUUGCCCAAGCAUUUUACCAUGUGCAAAGGUUAUGGACAAGUUUCAUAAACCCAAAUUGGUAGGAAUUGCUCCCCCUACAUAUGUGCUAAGAGUUUGGAUUUGAAAGCUUGCACAUAUGCUUGAAUAGGAAAUAUAGGAGUCAAUUUCUACCAAAUGAUGCUAAGGUGUAAAGAAUGGACCUUUGAAGCGUGAUACCAAUCAGAGUUGCCAAUGUAUACCAUCCUUAGCACCAUUAGUAACUAGGCAUUCACAAAACUAGAACACCUCGUGAGAUCAACAUUAUAAACAAAGUUCUAGUACCACUUGUGAAAUAACUAAAAGUCUAGUUACACUACUUAUGCAUGCUAGUUUUUCAUUUCAUCAAUCAAAUUUACAACUAGCAUACACCACACAAGCAAGGCAUUGGAGAGAAAGCUUCUAAAACUAAUGCAAAUGCAAGCAAACAUAUGUGAUGCACAUUAAAUAUGCAACAAACAAGUUUAUGAGCUUGCUCACCCUACUUGUGUGCUUCAAAAUUUUAAUUGAUCCCCUUCUUUUAUCAUGUUACUCCCCUAUCUUAACUCUUUGGGAAAUUUUCUCCCCCUUUGUCAUCAAUGACCACAAAAGGUGAGUGUUGACGGUUCUUAAGUAUCAAUUUUAAUUAUCAAAUAAACAAGAGAAAGGACCAAUAUGCAACCAGCACAUAGAAUUAGGGUUUGAUCUGACAGAAUUCCACGAGUUUUGUUGUUUAUCUAUUUCUGCAGGGGGUUAUCAGGAAAUAAGGAAGAAAGGCCCACAUGUCAGGAUUACAUAGAGAUAUCAACGCACCGCGCAAUUUUACAUCAUCUAGAAGACUCCAGAAGCCACGAGACCGAAGCGGAGGCGAAGCUGGGCCAGGCCCAGGGCGCCCGCCCUGGAAGCCUGCGCGCCCGCCCCCCUUCUGGAGCCAAUUCAGGACUCCUUCGCUCGGGAUAUUCCACCGACCUAUUGGAUCAAGAAAAACAUAGUACCACCUCGGCUAUCGACCCAAAAACGCAUAGAAGGGGAGGACUAUAUAAGCGAGGCCCCCCUGGCCCCUGGAAGACAUGAAGAAAUUAUCAUAGAGACUGAGGGGUGCCCUCGAAGGAAAACCUCUUCUCUAAUUAAUAUUUCUUUUUAGGCUUAGCAAUCAAUGUAAGGUAGAAAUAGAUCUUCUAGUUUCUACUAGAUUGAGAGAGAUAGAGUGGAGGUGUAGAGUGGAGGAAGCCCGGCCUGUCGGUGUCUACUCCAAGCUUGUACCUGCGGGAUCAAGUUCUCCUAACCCGAAGCUUGCUCCUAGGAUUCUUCAGUAAUUCGACUUCUAAAUUCUAGUAAGUUCUUGUUUUAUUGUUCUUAUGGUUUAUGAGUUUACUUUAAUCUCUUCGCGUAGAGUUUAGAGUAAUCAUUGCUGGCGUAAACGUGGUGUUUAGGCUGGGGUACUCAUAGAUAUUCCCUGACUAGCUGGACCGUGGUAGUAGUGAGGAACGUGACAUUUCCGAGCUACCUUUGUAGAUCACAUCUCGUUAGCAGGAAGGAUAGGGUUUAUAGGUGCGGGUCGAACAUCCUUUGUGGUGUCUAGAUUCCGUUAGCCUCCCCAUUAGAACAGUAGAUCAUCCUUACCAAGGUUAGAAGGAGACUACGGUUGCAGUCUUCUCUAUUUAUCACUCACAUCGAAAGACAUUCUUUGUGCCUAAAGGUUAGUAGUAAUAGACCGGUUAGUCAGAUGCACUCUUUCUCCUAGUGGUAAAAAAAUAAAUACGAUACUCUGGAUAAUUUCCCGGGUGAAAUGCUCACCAAUAUCCGUGCGCUUGCGGAUCAAUUCCUUAUUGCGUUCCCAAAUAUCAACAAGCAUUUCUGGCGCCGUUGCCGGGGAGAAAGACGGUUGCUGAGAUAACCUGUGUCUUGCUAUUAGCUUGUAUCUAUACUUUUAUCUGUUCUUAUCUUUUAUAUUCUUUAUUUAUUUUUCUUUAUUCUUACCUUAUGGAAAACCAAAAUUCUAAAUCGAUCCAUGAGUCUGCAAUCCCUUUAGCAACUGACCUUUUACCAUGGGAAUCAUCACAGCCUAUCCAAACAUCCUAGUAUAAGUUAAGUUCUAGGUUGAUUGCCAUGAUUCAAAACCUAUCUUUUUCGGGAAAGGAAGACGAAAACCCUUACCUUCAUAUUAGAGAUUUUGAGCAAACAUGUGAUUGUCUUCGCAUUGAAGGCAUUUCUGAUAAAACUUUACGUUGGAAGCUUUUUCCUUUUUCUCUAAGGGGAGAAGCUAGACAAUGGUACAGUCAGAAGGUAAGUCAACAACAAGGUGAAUGGGGAGUUUUACGAGCCAACUUUUGUCUAGAUUUCUAUUCCCUUGACCGUAUAGCCGACCUUAGACUCGAAGUCCUAUCUUUUAAACAAAAAGAUAAUGAAACUUUGGGAAAAUCCUGGAAACGUUUUUCUGAUCUUUUAGAAUCUGGUCCAAACCUUAAUCUUGAAGACCCUGUUCUUUUAUUUCACUUUUUUCGAGGUCUUCAUAAAAAUCACAAACAAAUGCUACACACAAUGUCUAGAGGUUCUUUCUUUCGCAUCCCUGCUGAUGAAGCUAGAGUGAUCCUAGAUAGAAUCCUAGAAGCUGAGAUGGAUAAUACCCUUCAUGAUGAAACCUACGAAGCCGAAGUAGACACUCUGCCAAAUUUUUCAUCUACUUUAGCUAUCCCAAGUUCUGAGCCACAAGAGGAAGAAAUUCCACUACCGGACUUCAUGCUGGAUAUAGAAUCCAAUCUUUUUGCCGAUUUUGGAAAUAUUUCAAACUACCAUUCUAUUGACAAACCCCAAAACGGCCAGUCUAGCAUUUAUUUGCCAAGUGAAUAUCAAUUGAGAGAGCUUAUCUCAGUAAUGAGUAGCGAAUGGUUCGAGGAAUCAGAGCUUUCCUCUAAUGUGAUCCGUUUGGACACACCCUCUAUAACUAUACGCUGUGCUUAUAACUCUGAUCGAUUUAAUGCUCUUUAUAAUCAUGUUGUGGGGAUCAACAUUAUGUCUGAAUCUUUUGCACUUAAACUAUUUAAAAAUCUUGUCUUAACCCCCACAACAAAGGUCAUAAAGGAAUCUUCGGGACGAUUAGUCCCCAGUCUUGGAAUUAUUAAUGUCCUACCUCUUACGGUAGAAGGCUCCAUGGUUCAUUUGAACUUCUAUAUCUUUGAUACAUGGGACUUCGACUUAUUGAUAGGACAACCUUUUAGAAGACUCCUUUACGAAGGUCAUACUGGAAAGCUACACAUUUCUUUUGGAAAAACUUUUCAAUUCCCAAUGAUAAUUUCACACUCCUUAAAUAAUAAGGCCGAGUCAUAUCUUUUGCCUGAUCCUAUGGAGGAGGUAAAGGCUGCAUCUCUAGAGCUUUUAGAUGAACCAGACUUAGAAGACGAAACUCCUUUCUUCACAGAAGAAGAAGACGAACCUUCCGAGCCUGAACCCUUAGAUGAGGUUGCAGAAACACCUAGACCCCCUAUAGAGCUUAAAACUUUACCACCCGGUCUUACCUAUGCUUUCCUAAACAAUAAUCCGGAGUUCCCUGUGAUCAUUAGCGAUAAACUCACUCAGGAUCAAACUCUGCGAUUAAUGACCAUUCUUGAGAAACAUCACUCAGUUUUUGGCUACUCACUUCAAGAUCUUACAGGAAUCAGUCAUAUGAUUUGUACCCAUCGUAUUCCAACAGAUCCUUCUGUUACACCCUCUCGAGAACCCCAACGUAGACUUAACAACACUAUGAGAGAGGUAGUUAAAAAGGAAGUUAUAAAGUUGCUGCAUGCAGGGAUUAUAUAUCCUGUGCCGCACAGUGAGUGGGUAAGCCCAGUACAAGUUGUGCCUAAAAAGGGAGGCAUGACAGUUAUUAUGAAUGAAAAGAAUGAGCUAAUUCCGCAACGCACCGUCACAGGAUGGCGGAUGUGCAUAGACUAUAGAAAAUUAAACAAAGCCACGAGAAAGGAUCACUUUCCUUUACCUUUCAUAGAUGAGAUGCUAGAGCGGUUAGCAAACCAUUCAUUCUUUUGUUUCUUAGAUGGAUAUUCAGGAUAUCACCAAAUCCCGAUCCAUCCUGAUGAUCAAAGCAAAACCACCUUUACAUGCCCAUAUGGAACUUAUGCUUACCGUAGAAUGUCUUUUGGGUUAUGUAAUGCACCAGCUUCUUUUCAAAGAUGCAUGAUGUCUAUAUUUUCUGAUAUGAUUGAAGAGAUUAUGGAAGUUUUCAUGGAUGAUUUCUCUGUUUAGGGAAAAACUUUUGAUAGUUGUCUUGAAAACUUAGACAAGGUUUUGCAAAGAUGUGAAGAAAAGCACUUAAUCCUUAAUUGGGAAAAAUGUCAUUUUAUGGUUAGGGAAGGAAUAGUGCUAGGAUACUUAGUGUCUGAAAGAGGUAUUGAGGUAGACAAAGCUAAAAUUGAAGUAAUUGAACAACUACCUCCACCUGUGAACAUAAAAGGAAUUCGAAGUUUUCUUGGCCAUGCUGGUUUUUAUCGUAGAUUCAUAAAAGAUUUUUCAUUUAUUGCUAGACCACUUACUCUUUUGCUAGCCAAGGAUGCUCCUUUCGAAUUUGAUGAUGCAUGUCUAACAUCUUUCAAUUUAUUAAAGAAAGCACUCAUCUCUGCACCAAUCAUUCAACCCCCUGAUUGGUCGUUGCCUUUUGAAAUUAUGUGUGAUGCUAGUGAUUAUGCUGUGGGGGCAGUAUUAGGACAAACUAAAGAUAAGAAGCAUCAUGCAAUUGCUUAUCCCAGUAAAACUUUGACAGGAGCUCAACUUAAUUAUGCAACCACUGAAAAAGAGCUUCUGGCUGUUGUCUUUGUCAUUGAUAAAUUUAGAUCUUAUUUAGUUGGAGCUAAAAUAAUUGUUUACACUGAUCAUGCUGCAUUAAAAUAUUUGCUCACUAAAAAAGAUGCUAAACCUCGCCUGAUUAGAUGGAUCUUAUUACUCCAAGAAUUUGACUUAGAAAUAAAAGACAAAAAAGGAGUAGAAAAUUCUAUUGCUGAUCACUUGUCUAGAAUGUAUUUUAAGAGUCCACAGGAAACCCCUAUCAAUGAUUCACUCCAGGACGACAUGCUCUACGGGAUUAACAGGUCUGACCCCUGGUAUGCAGAUAUUGUUAAUUUUAUGGUUUCAGGGUAUGUACCACCAGGAGCAAACAAGAAGAAGCUUACUCAAGAAAGUCGUUCACAUAUAUGGGAUGAGCCAUACCUCUUCCGAGUAUGCUCUGAUGGCUUACUCAGGAGAUGUGUGACCACUGAGGAAGGAUGGAAGAUCAUCGACAGAUGUCAUUCAUCACCAUAUGGAGGUCAUUAUGGAGCAUUCCGUACACAUUCAAAGAUCUGGCAGUGUGGAUUCUAUUGGCCUACAAUGUAUGAAGACAUGAAGCAAUAUAUCAGAAGAUGUGGGCCAUGUCAAAGGCACGAAAACAUAAAUACAAGGGAUGCAAUGCCACUCACCAACAACCUUUAGAUUGAGCUCUUUGAUGUCUGGGGAAUAGACUACAUGGGUCCAUUUCCUCCAUCAAAGAAGUGCGAGUACAUCUUGGUGGCGGUUGACUAUGUCUCCAAGUGGGUAGAAGCAUUACCUUGCAAGCAUGCCGACAACGUCAGUUCAAAGAGGAUGUUUGAAGAAAUUAUAUUUCCAAGAUUUGGAGUUCCCAGAGUAGUGAUAAGUGAUGGAGGAGAACACUUCAUUGACAAACGUUUCAAGCAAUAUCUAUCAAGACAUGGAAUCCGUCACAAUGUCGCUACCCCUUAUUAUCCUCAGACAAGUGGCCAAGCAGAGACUUCCAACAAACAAAUCAAGAAUAUUCUUCAGAAGACAGUAAAUGAAAUAGGAACGGCGUGGAAAGACAAGUUACCCGAUGCACUCUGGACAUACCGGACAGCAUACAAGACCCCAAUUGGAAUGUCUCCAUACCAAUUGGUGUACGAGAAGACUUGCCAUCUACCUGUUGAACUAGAAUUCAAAGCACACUGGGCCAUAAAGAGAUGGAAUAUGGACCUAGAUGUUGCUGGAGAUUAUAGAAGAAUGCAAUUAUCAGAAUUGGAAGAAUAGCGAGAGAAGGCAUAUCACAAUUCAAAGAUCUACAAAGAAAGAGUCAAACGGUGGCAUGACAAAAGAAUCAAGAAGAAGGAGUUCACACCCGGAGAUAAGGUAUUACUUUUUAAUUCCAGGGUGAAGCUUUUCGGGCAUGGAAAACUCCGGAGCAAAUGGGAAGGACCAUUCAAGGUAAUCAAUUCAUCAUCCCACGGAGCUAUCACACUUCAAAAUAACGAAGGUACGUUAUUCAAGGUAAAUGGUCAACGUCUUAAAUUAUUUUUAGAGCCCAAUGAGGAAUUUGAAGAAAUAGACGUAGUCCAUUUUUACCUUCCCAUAGAGAAUUAGAGCCCGACACUUUUGGUCUGAUGGUUUUGGGUCAUAUAUAUAUUUUUCUAAAUAAUUUCGCAUCUAGAAACACGCUCGGAAAAGUGGGCCCACAGAGGGGCCAGAGAGAGGGCGGGCGCCCAGGUCAAGUGGGCGGGCGCCCUGCCCCUGUUCCCCCUCGGUCCCGACUUUCUCUGUUAUGGAAAAUGCACUUAUGGUAAUUCAAAUAAUCCCUCAGACGGAAAGUUUCCCACGCAAGUCGACGGGAGUAACCCGAACAACCCAUAGAGGCACCCUUUUGACCCCUAUAUAAACAGACCCCUGACCUCAGUUUUCAAACACCAAGCCAUCAAGCUUUCUCUCCUUCAAUUAGAGCUUGAUUAGCUCGUCUUUAAUUAAAAUUUUAUUUCCUUGCUACUCCAAUGGCCGAGAAGUACCACGAUGAUUGGGAAGUCAUCCCCUUCAACCUCAACAUGGAGCCAGUGGAAGACCCCGAUGCCCGUGGUCUCGUCCCGGCCAACACAGAGCGUCAGCUAGAAGCCAUGCCAUUACGUCAACGCAGCUCCGCCCAAUCUUAUCAUGCUCAACCAGUUCUCACCGCACCACCACAACCCCUACUCCUCAAAGGAUCAUCAUCCAAGACAAAGACCACUAUCAAGGUGCCAAUCGGCACAAGAGUCCUUCCACCUAGACCCAAUGAGAGGGUCGUUGGAGUCAAGACCAACCGAAGCGGUGAGAUCAGCAGUGUUCGCUACACUACGGAGGAGGAAAGGCCUUACUUUGAAGGGAUUAGAGCAGCCAAAGUCCGUUUCAUCCCUCCAAAGGCAGCCCCGAAGCACUCUCUCAAUGCUUUUGAGACACCUCCCAAGCGUCGCAAGACUAUAAUGGAUAUUGAUGAGGAAGUUCGCAGGCUAGAUAGAAUUAUCAUAGACCUCCAGUCCUCGAUUAAUUCCCUCACUAGGCAGCUCUCUAACCACAACACCGUUAUACUAGGCCUUAGGCAGGAUCUUGCCAGUGCCAACAAGAAGAUCAAAGAAUUAGAGCGCCGCUAAGUUAUCUAGAUUAGACCUUGAGGCAAUACAUCUUAGUUAUCUUUAAAUUCUGUUUAAGUUUGCUAUUAUUAGUUUGCUAUCAGUUUGCUAUCAGUCUUUUGUAAUAAAUGCCUCAAGAUCAAUAAAGAGUAUUAUUAUUAUUAUGUUUUGUGUGUCUCUACUUUAUUUUUGUGCAAGAAAGCAGAAAACAAGUAUGGGGGAGAUCCCUCAACAUGCCAAACACACUCCGACUACACCACUCCACGAUUCAGGUACACACUCUGCACACUUUACUUUACACAUACAACUCCUUUGGAUUAUGCAGAUUACUGUUUCCGACAUGAUAAAAUAAAAAUAUUAAAAUAUUUCUAAUCAUGAUUAAUCUCAAUCUGUGAUAUUUCCUGAAAACUUGCAAUUAUUAUAAAAUCAUUUUAAAACCCUGUGUUACUUAAGUCAAAUGGAAUAUGUGAUGAUAGAGUAUAAGUUUCUUAUUCUUGAUAUCAUUGUUGCUUGGAGAAUUUAUUUCAAAAUAUUCAAAUUCCUAGCUACCAUCCUCAGUGUUUUAUAUGCCUGAUAAAACUGAAAUAUUAAUUAUGAUUACAAAAGCUAUCUGCUCUGUAUUGAGUUUGUUCAAAAUGAGUUAGACCCUUGUUGAGAGAUUUAUCAUGCUCCCAAGAUCAAGACACUAUUUCAGUAAGAUUCACUCUUCCGAAGUAUUAUUGCAUUAGAGGCAUGGGCUAUGCAAAAAUAGAUAUUUCGAGGAAAUAAAAAGGAGCAAGUGCUCGACAACCUCGCAGAAAAAAAUGGACAAGUGUCCGGCAGUAGAAUUAGGGGUACCUCGGUAUCCACUUAAAAAAAAUAUGAUAGCCCAUGGUCCCUCUAAUAAGCAAUAUGCCAGCAAGAGUUGACAAAGUUUUUAAAGUCUUUGAUCUAAGAGUAUGACAUUCCCCUCCUCGGAUCCCAUUUUGAUCAGGCAAUAAAUGCAAAGUGAGUAUGCUUAAGAAUUUUUGCAAAAUAAAACAACCUCAGUGAGAUAUAUAUACAAAAGAUAAUGAGUGAUCUGAGAGAACCUAUGAGGAUAAAAAGGUAUGCUAACUUUCUUUUAAAAAUAUACAAAAACUCCAAGUGACAGGAUUGAGAAGAAAGGAUCUUUACUCUUAAUCAUAUACUUCCCUGACUAUGGUACACAGUGGAAAUUUUAACACCCUGCAAAUAUAAAAUGCUUUAAAAUGUUUUACCCCAGAUAUUUUUCUUAACCAUCCUUUUCUCGAGGACGAGUAAAAGCCUAAGUAUGGGGGUAUUUGUUGACGGUUCUUAAGUAUCAAUUUUAAUUAUCAAAUAAACAAGAGAAAGGACCAAUAUGCAACCAGCACAUAGAAUUAGGGUUUGAUCUGACAGAAUUCCACGAGUUUUGUUGUUUAUCUAUUUCUGCAGGGGGUUAUCAGGAAAUAAGGAAGAAAGGCCCACAUGUCAGGAUUACAUAGAGAUAUCAACGCACCGCGCAAUUUUACAUCAUCUAGAAGACUCCAGAAGCCACGAGACCGAAGCGGAGGCGAAGCUGGGCCAGGCCCAGGGCGCCCGCCCUGGAAGCCUGGGCGCCCGCCCCCCUUCUGGAGCCAAUUUAGGACUCCUUCGCUCGGGAUAUUCCACCGACCCCCUGGAAGACAUGAAGAAAUUAUCAUAGAGACUGAGGGGUGCCCUCGAAGGAAAACCUCUUCUCUAAUUAAUAUUUCUUUUUAGGCUUAGCAAUCAAUGUAAGGUAGAAAUAGAUCUUCUAGUUUCUACUAGAUUGAGAGAGAUAGAGUGGAGGUGUAGAGUGGAGGAAGCCCGGCCUGUCGGUGUCUACUCCAAGCUUGUACCUGCGGGAUCAAGUUAUCCUAACCCGAAGCUUGCUCCUAGGAUUCUUCAGUAAUUCGACUUCUAAAUUCUAGUAAGUUCUUGUUUUAUUGUUCUUAUCGUUUAUGAGUUUACUUUAAUCUCUUCGCGUAGAGUUUAGAGUAAUCAUUGCUGGCGUAAACGUGGUGUUUAGGCUGGGGUACUCAUAGAUAUUCCCUGACUAGCUGGACCGUGGUAGUAGUGAGGAACGUGACAUUUCCGAGCUACCUUUGUAGAUCACAUCUCAUUAGCAGGAAGGAUAGGGUUUAUAGGUGCGGGUCGAACAUCCUUUGUGGUGUCUAGAUUCCGUUAGCCUCCCCAUUAGAACAGUAGAUCAUCCUUACCAAGGUUAGAAGGAGACUACGGUUGCAGUCUUCUCUAUUUAUCACUCACAUCGAAAGACAUUCUUUGUGCCUAAAGGUUAGUAGUAAUAGACCGGUUAGUCAGAUGCACUCUUUCUCCUAGUGGUAAAAAAAUAAAUAUGAUACUCUGGAUAAUUUCCCAGGUGAAAUGCUCACCGAUAUCCGUGCGCUUGCGGAUCAAUUCCUUAUUGCGUUCCCAAAUAUCAACAGUGAGCUCAAAUUUUAGAUAGGUUAGUGUGGAACCAUGUCAAGUGAGAUCAUUUUACCAAAUUGGUCCAAUCUAGAUUACUUGCCUAAGAUAUUUAACUCGGUUUGAUCCAAGGACUAGCUUCUUCACACCUCCAAAUAAGGGUUAUCUUGUACCAUGUUGAGUUAAACACUUAUAGCUCAUAUUCUAGAUCAAACACUAGGAUUGCAAGCCCAAAAACAAUGUCAUAUGCUACCACUAGAUCAAGUCAAGCAUAGAAGCAAUAGUGGUACAAGCAUCAAAUGUAUUUGAUUUUCAUGAAUGAGCCUAAGACAUGUAAGGAGUGACUAGAUGCACUAAACAAGUCCGUAGCAAAGAUGGAUGACAUGUCAAACAAUUUCACCUUGCUUUGCUCGAAGGAGAGGCAUGUCAUAAUGUGGGGGUGCAUCAACACAUAUUUGAGAAGUCAAGUAUGUUCAAUUCAUUCCUUAGCUUGCAAAACCUCUUCUCAUCAAGUGGCUUGGUGAAUAUAUGGGCAAGUUGAUCAUCGGUGCCUAUACUCUCAAUGCAAAUGUCCCCUUUUUGUUGGUGAUCUCUUAUAAAGUGAUGGCGGACAUCUAUGUGCUUUGUUCUUGAGUGUUGAACUGGAUUGUUGGUGAGCUUCACGGCACAUUCAUUGUCACAUAGUAAUGGUACUUGUUUGAAGUUGAUUCCAAAGUCCUUCAAAGUUGCCUUCAUCCAUAGAAUUUGUGCACAAGAACUACCAGCCGCAAUGUACUCCGCUUCGGCGGUUGAUAGUGCAACACUAUUUUGUUUCUUGGAUGACCAUGAGACAAGUGAUCUUCCCAAUAGUUGACAUGUGCCCGAUGUGCUUCUUCUUUCAACUUUGCAUCCCGCAUAGUCCGAGUCGGAAUAUCCAACAAGUUCAAACUUUGCACCUUUGGGAUACCACAAACCAACAUUUUGUGUAUGCUUCAAGUACCUCAAUAUUCUCUUUGUUGCCUUCAAAUGACUUUCUCUUGGUGAGGCUUGAAAUCUUGCACACAUGCAUACACUAAACAUAACAUCCAGUCUUGAUGCGGUUACAUAGAGUAGGCUUCCAAUCAUAGACCGAUACAACUUUUGAUCCACCAUAUUUCCACUUGUGUUACUAUCUAAGCUUCCAUUUGUUCCCAUUGGAGUGCUAAGUGAUUUUGCAUCAUCCAUACCAAACUUCUUGAGCAUGUCUUUUAUGUACUUGCCUUGACUCACAAAUGUACCAUUCUUUCAUUGCUUGAUUUGAAGACCAAGGAAAUAACUAAGCUCUCCAAUCAUUGACAUCUCAAACUCAUUAGCCAUCAAGUUUCCAAACUCCUCACAAAAUUCUUGGUUGGUUGAUGCAAAUAUGAUAUCAUCAACAUAUAUUUGCAACACAAACAAGUCCUUGACAAUCUUCUUGGUGAAGAGAGUGGUGUCAACCUUGCCCAUCUUGAAACCUUUAGAGAGCAAGAAAUCUCUCAAUCUCUCAUACCAUGCUCUUGGUGCUUGCUUCAAACCAUACAAUGCCUUUCUUAGCUUGUAAACAUGGUUGGGUUUCUUGUCAUCUUCAAAACUGGGAGGUUGCUCAACAUAGACUUCUUCAUUGAUAUAGCCAUUGAGAAAUGCACUCUUCACAUCCAUUUGGUAGAGCUUGAUGUUAUGAGCACAAGCAUAGGCUAACAAGAUCCUAAUUGCUUCCAAUCUUGCAACCGGGGCAUAUGUUUUACCAAAGUCAAGACCUUCAACUUGAGUAUAGCCUUGUGCUACCAAUCUUGCUUUGUUCCUUACAACUAUCCCAUCUUGAUCUUGCUUGUUGCGAAAGACCCAUCUAGUACCAAUAACAUUGUGAUCACUAGGCCUCUCAACUAAUUCCCAUACUUGAUUUCUCUUGAAAUUGUUAAGCUCUUCAUGCAUAGCAUUGACCCAAUCAACAUCUCUCAAUGCUUCAUCAAUCUUCUUUGGCUCAAUGUGAGACACAAAGGAGAAAUGCUCACAAAAUGAUGCUAGUCUUGAUCUAGUUUGCACUCCUCUUUGAAUAUCACCUAUGAUAUGAUCCAAUGGAUGAUCUCUUGCAAUAUUUGUUGGUUGGAGUAUUUGCACUUGAUUGCUUGCACUUGGUUGAUCAUGAGAUGAUGUACUAGCUUGUUAAUCAUGCACUUGUGUACCACUUGUACUAGCUUGUUGAUCUUGCACUUGAGUACCACUUGUACUAGCUUGAUUUUGAUCAUGAGAACCACUAGCUUGCACAUUAGAGGUAGGAAGCACUUGAUCUUUGUCAUCUUCAACAUCAAUCACUUCUCUAGGCCUUAAAUCACCAAUAUCCAUAUUCUUCAUUGCAUCGGCCAAUUGAGUGCCUCUCACAUCAUCUAGAUUCUCUUCUUCUUCUUGAGAGCCAUUGGUUUCAUCAAACUCAACAUCAUGCACCUCCUCAAGAGUACAACUAGCCAAAUUCCACACUCUAUAAGCUUUGCUAGUAGUGGAGUAACCAAGCAAGAAUCCUUCAUCACAUUUCUUUUCAAAUUUACUCAAUCUAGUGCCUUUCUUCAAUAUGUAGCAUUUGCAACCAAAUACCCAAAAGUAUGCAAUGUUGGGCUUUCUUCCAUUCAAGAGCUCAUAUGGAGUCUUCUCCAUCAUUGGGUGACAAUAAAGUCAGUUGCUAUAGUAGCAAGCCGUGUUGAUUGCUUCGGCCCAAAAAGAAUGACUAACAUUGUAUUCACUCAACAUUGAUGUUGCCAUGUCAAUCAAGGUUCUAUUCUUCCUCUCAACAAGACCAUUUGAUUGUGGAGUGUACUUGGCUGAGAAUUGAUGCCUAAUGCCAAAUUCAUCACAAAGCUCAUCAACUCUUGUAUUCUUGAAUUCACUUCCAUUGUCACUUCUCACUUUCUUGAUGGUUGUUUCAAACUCAUUGUGUAUUCUCUUGACAAAUGAUUUGAAGGUUACAAAAGCAUCACUCUUGUCACUAAGAAAGAAUACUGUUGACGGUCCUUAAGUAUCAAAUUUAAUUAUCAAAUAAAUAAAGAAAAGGAUCCAAAUAAAAUCAACAUCUAGACUUAGGGUUUUAUCUGACAGAAUUCCACAAGUUUUGGUGUUUGUCUAUUUCUGCAGGGGGUUAUCAGGAAAUACGGAAGAAAGGCCCACACGUCGGGAUUACGUAAAGAUAUUAACGUGCUGCGCAAUUAUCUUACAUCUAGAAGACUCCAGAAGCCACGAGACCGAAGCGGAGGCGAAACGGGGCCAGAGGCAGGGCGCCCGCCCUGUUCCCCUGGGCGCCCGCCCUCUCCAGGAGUCCAAUUAGGACUCUGCUUUGCGGGAGAUCUCCACCGACCUAAAGGAUGAAUCUAAACCAUACAAUCUAUGUCGGUUUGAUCCAACGGCCCAUAUUCACUUGAAGGGACUAUAAAACCAGACCCCCUGGCCCCUGGAGGAGAGAGCCUCUCAACCCUAAUUCAUUGUUCCAUCAAGGGAGAAGAAGCCUCUGAUCAAGAUUAGAGCCACCACAUCAAUUACAUAUCUAGAUUAGCAUAGCUACAUAGGAUUAGAACUAGAAGGAGUCAAUCUUCGAUUGGUUUCCGGAUCUGUCAGGAGGAUUCUUGGUAAUUCUCUAAUUGUGCUUCUAAUUGCUUUCUAAUUAUCUUUGUUCUUCAAUAUUAUGAAUAUGACUUUGUUCUUCUUCAAUAUAUUGCUUAUGACUUUUCUCUACUUGCUUAUAUUCAAGAUUAUAUUGUUCUUAGUUUGUCAUAGUUAUGUACUUGGCUUAGUUAGAUUGGAUCUAUAUACAUGCUUAGGAUCAUAUAGCGUUUAUCCAUCGGAUCCAUGGGUAAAUGAUAGAUAUUGUGUAGGCGUUGUGCUUAUACCGUAUUUAUCUGCGAUUGUACCCAAUAUGCCAGAUCGUGGGGUGGUUCGUGAUAGUGACAGCUUCAUGGAUUCUUAUAUAGUACCCCUCUCGUGUAUUGGGCUAGCAGAGCAACAUUAUUACAGGGGAGUGAUUGCUAUGUUUCUCAUAUUCCUUGCUAAUAUCACUAUGCAUGGGCGUAGUCUUGUCUCACAAUGAUUGCUAAGUAUGCUUGCACUAACUAUGAUAAUGACUAGACUAUAUAGUUGAGAAUAACUUAGGGAAUAUUGUUGUAGUUCGUUCUAAUACCAUGCUAAUGACUUUCUAGAGUAUCUAAUUGAGGUGCUUAUCAUAUUUAUUAUGUGGCUAGAUCAGAUUAGUUAUCCUUGUCACUAUUAUUAUUUCAUAUAUCUUUUAUCUGACACUUAUCCCUGUAUGAAGAGUUAGAUAUAAUGUUCUCAAUUAUACAUGCAAUGAUAGAUGCUCAAUCUCAUAUUCUAUUCUGUAAUCAAUGUUGAUGAUUGCUAAUCCCUUCCCAGUGGUAAAAAUAUAAAUAACGAUACCUGGAAUACUUCCCGGUUAAAAUGCUACAUCGGUAUUAAUCUGUGAGCUUGCAGAUCCCAUUCAUUAUUUAUUUAGAAGAGCAAUUGCAUAUUUCAAUACCGCGUCUCUUAUAUCAUGCUGGGGAUGACAACUUGGCUUAAGUGAUAUGAGGGAUAGGUUUGGCAUUUUUGGCACCGUUACUAGAUUUAGAGAACUUAGUCUACUUUUGGUAAUGUUGUUAAGAAUACCCAACAAGCAUUUUUGGCGCCGUUGCCGGGGAAGGUUGAUUACUAAUCAGGAAUGGAAUAAAAGAUUUUGAGUUAUCAUUCGCAUCACUAAUAUGAUUGAGCUUAUCUAUUCUCUCAUACAGUUUUACCCUGAUAUUUUUCUAUUUCAUCUUAUGCAGGGGAAUGUAUGAAUAGAAGACAUCUUCCAGGAAAUUUUGUUGACAAUCCUGAAGCAUUAUUCAAGAAGACGAGAGCCAAGCUAAAGAAAUCAUCAACACUUCAGCAAGAAGCUUCAUCUAAUCAAGAAGAUCACCGGAACUUGUCUUCAGAGUUCGAGGCCAUGGCGAACAAAUCAAUCCGCGAGUUCUUAGCUCCCACUACGGACAACAUCCGCACUGGACCUACUACAGAGAUCGACGGCAACUUUGUGCUCAAGCCUGGACUUAUUAACAUGGUGCAAUCCAACCAGUUCUGUGGGAAGGCACACGAAGACGCUAGUGCUCAUUUACAACACUUCCUGGAGAUUUGCAACACAUUCACCAUAUCAGGAGUUUCUAAAGAUGCUAUACUACUUCGCCUCUUCCCAUUUUCACUGUUAGGAAGAGCGAAGCAGUGGUUUUACGCUACAAAGGAGAAGAAUACUACGUGGGCACUCUGCUCAACAAACUUCCUGGCAAAGUUCUUUCCCAUGGGCAAGACCAAUGCUCUCCGUGGGAAGAUUACAAGUUUUCAGCAACAAAAUGAUGAAUCUGUUCCAGAAGCAUGGGAGCGCUUUCAAGACUACAUCCUAGAAUGUCCCCAUCAUAGAAUGGAGAGUUGGCCAUUGAUGCAGACAUUUUAUCAUGGGCUCGGCAACAGUGCCCGAGAAACCAUGGAUGCUGCAGCUGGAGGAGCAUUUUUAUCACUUACUAUACCACAAGCCACAGCUCUUGUGGAGAAGAUGGCGUCCAAUCAAAGCUGGAAUGAAGAGAGGACCCAGACACGCAAGAGAGGUGGAGGUAUGCAUCAGCUGAAAGAGGUAGACAUGCUGUCUGCAAAGCUAGACCUGCUCAUGAAGAAGCUCGACGAUAGAGCUGGAGAUAAGAAAGAAGUUAUGCACAUCUACGACUCUCACAUGACUUGUGAGGAGUGUGGAGACACUAGACACUCAGGCAACCACUGCCCUGAGAUACUUGAGGAUGUAAACUACAUCAACAACUACUAUAACCGUCCUCAACAAAAUCAAGGUUGGAAUCAACAGAGGCCUAACUACUCAGGUAAUUAUCAAGGUAACAAUUCUUACAACAAUAAUAAUAAUUUUCCACCUUUGAGAGAGUUAGUGUCUAAUCAAGGAAAGCUAAUGGAUAACCUAUCUAAGAAAUUGGCGUCUAAUGAUAAAAUGCUAGAAAAUAUAAAUAAUAGAAUGGAUAAUUUCUCUACUGCCAUCAAGAAUCAAAUUAGCUUUAAUAAAAUGAUUGAAUCUCAGUUAAAUCAAAUAGCUGCUGCUUUUCCUACUACUAACCCCGGUAUACCAUCACAAACGGAAGGAUUAGAAUCUGCAAAUCUUGUGGACAUGUUUGAUGCAGGUAAUUGGAGUAACCCCGUCAAUGAAUUCUCUACUGACCUUCUGCCGGUCAAGAGAGGCGAUCCAGGAUGCCCCGUCAUCCCGAUCUCCAUCGGCAUGGUGGACGUUCCCGAAGCACUCUGCGACUCUGGCUCCAGUGUCAACAUUAUACCCAGGGUACUCUAUGAAAAAUUCUUUACAUAUCCUUUAUUAGAGACAACCAUGUGUUUGCAGUUUGCAGAUCAGACGAUAACUUUUCCAAAAGGAAUAUUGAAGAACCUUUGUGUCCGAGUUGGUACCUUAUAUGCUCUAGCAGACUUCGUAGUGGUAGAGACCGGAAAUGAUGAGAGAGCACCCAUCAUCUUAGGGAGGCCAUUCUUGAACACCAUGGGAGCUAUCAUCUAUGCCAGUGCUGCCAAGAUCAGUUUCUACGUCGAAGGGAGGAAGGAGACAUUUUUAUUCAAGAACAAGACUACACAAAUUCCAGAUUAAUCCAGACGUGAAUCGAGGAAGAGGACCAAUAGGAGGAACAGGAAUAAGCAAGUGUGGACCGAAUCAGCUAAGAUGGUCACUGUAGUUCAUGGAGGCCAAGAUCACCAACUUAAGUCACCGCUUUUGACUAAGAAGGACGACCCAGGAAUGCCAAGCAUUUACUGCUCCAUAAAUGGAUACAACUUCUACAAGGCAACUUGUGACACCGGAUCGGGCGUCAACAUAAUGGCCGCAGUCACCUAUCGGCUCUUGUUCGGAACCAUGCCCCUAAGACCAACAUACAUUCAGCUCCAGAUGGCAGAUCAGACAUUUCGAGAAGUUAAAGGAAUAGUAACUGAUGUCCCAGUCAAAAUAGACGAUCACUUUGUCUACACAGACUUUCAGGUUAUUGACAGGGGAGAAGAUGAGUACGAUCCACCCAUCAUCCUUGGAAGACCGUUCCUCAGCACCGUCAAAGCAAUUAUCUACAUUGGAACCGGAGAAGUCCAUAUGCACUUCCCCUCAGAGAAGGUAUGCCGUUACUUUACUGACCCUAACUAUAUCGUUGAAAAAUCUAAGCAGGUAAGGAAACGACGCAACCGCAACCAGAGGAGGCAGAUCAUCAAGGACGGAUGGGCAGACUAUGAAGGAGAAGUUGUAAGGUCAGAAGACGUAGAGUUCAAACAGAAUUAUCCAGAGGAGACUGAAGCACCAAGUCAGGUGUGGAAAAUGAAGAUAACUAUACACGAAGAGGAGGCGCUGCCGGAAGUACCGACUACGCCACCCAACGAACCUCAGGACGAUUGAAAAAAUGGAGAGUCCCAUUCGGAGGACUUAAAAACACCGAAUGCCUUGCCAAGAGGUAAACUUGGUAGUUAUUCUUUCUCUUUCAAUUAUUUCAAAUAGUUUAUUUAGUUAAUCAUGUUCAUGCUAUCCUAAAAAGAAAAUAAAAAUAUGAAAAAAAUAGUAAGCCCCAUGUGAGUAGAUGAGUGGCAUAAAACCCAUAAGUACAUUCACUGUGGCGGCAUAAAAAACAAAAUAAAUAUUUAUUUUCUACUUUAUAAAAUGAAAAUAUAAAAACAGGGAGUAAUAAUUAAGGAGUCUCAACAUGAUAAAGGCUAGAUAUUUAUGCUAACACUUAAUCAGUUCCACAAGCUUUGUUGUCUAUUUGAGCUCCACAGAAUUUAGGAAGACUAGCAGACGGUGGACAUUCUAAUCGCUGUCAAAAUGCUGCUAACUUUCAAAUACACCUCUGCCACCUGUUAGCUACAUCAAGGGAAAUUACAUCAAAAUUCAGCUUGGGGGAGAGCACCCCCAUUUAUCUCGAUAAGUAUUUCUAUCUAUAUAUCUUUAUACUUAUAUUAUUUUAGAAUAUAAAUAUACAUAACUAUGAAAAAAUCAAAUAAAGAUUUCGUACUUAUAUAUUUGUCUUUUGCUUAGUGUGUUUAAUAAAUAAAUAAAGUGGCUAUGCUAAUCUGUAUCUAAAUAAAACUUAAGCAUGGAUAUGAUGAAUAGUUGCUCUGCCUAAUUUGCACAUUUUAAGUUCUCUCUUAAGUUUAGAUAUAACUGUUAUAAUUUAAAGCUUGCUCUAGACCUAAACUUGUGGCAUGAAAACUUGAUCUGAAGUCUAAGUUGUUAACGGAUACGAUAUGCUGCUAUUUAUCUGUUCCUAGAGAAGCUAGAAUUCUAGAGAAUUUUAUCUUUGAAAAUCUUUAAAAUGUUGCAUGAUGAGUUCCUGUAUGAUGAGAGUUUAAAUUCCUACCAAAGCCAUAUAUACAUGCUUGCUAGACUUUGAGCCACACAUUUACUAUUUACUGCUUAUGAGCAUUGAGUGUGGUCAAGCUGUGUAGACCCUUAGGAGCUUGUCCUGUGGUUAAAUCAAGAUUUCACUUGCACGUUCACUCAUAUAUGCUACUUCUACUCUGGAAGUACCAUCCACAUAUAUCCACCCAUUCCAUCUCCAGAAUCACCCAAAAAUAUUCUACUCCUAAUCCGGGAGAGAAUAACCAAAAAUAUUUUUGUUUUCCUUAUGAAAUAAAUGCUCAAGUUAUCUUGUUACUACCACUUGCUACAUUAUCUCAAGAGAUGAGUGCUCUAAAAAAAGAAGAAAAUAUAGUACGAGGAAAUAAAAAGGAGCAAGUGCUCGGAACCUCGAAAGAAAAGAAAAAGUGAGAUGAGAGGUAAAAAUGGACAAGUGUCCGACAGUAGAAUUAGGGGUGCAAGAUACCCACCUGAGAGAAAAGAAAAAAAAUAAUAUAGAGCAUCUCAUUCUCCUCACUAUUCAAAAAGCAAGGAAGGUAUGUAUCCCCUCAAAAGAGCAAAGUAGAAUUAGACUUCCACCAUUGUUAUCACCAUCAUCACCAUACACCAUUCAUUCGCCACACAUGCACAUCUUGAUUUGGCUUAUUGAUUUGUUUCUUUGGAUCCAUGGUUUGACUAUACAAUACAUGUCUUGUAAGUAUGUAUACUUUAUCUCCCACCUAUGAGCUCCAGAUAUUAAAGCCUUAUUAGAGUGGGGUGAGAAGAAAAGGCAAUGUCACUCUGCUUUGUACCAUAAAUACUACAUAUCUUGAGAGAAGGCAUAUACCAUCACUGCCUUGGUAAGGAUCCAAAAAUACCACAAAAGAGAGAUCUGAGAGAGUCAUACAAGGAAUCUCUGAGUUUUAUUUGAAAAUCUACAAAAACCCCAGAGCUAUAGCUGAUCAAGAAUAAGAGACAUGGCACUUGGCUGGACUGUUCUAUCUUUUAACCACUCAAGACAGAAGUGACAGUUACAAGUCCCAUGGUGAAGGUAAAGUAAGUAAGCUUUAAGUCUUGACAGUUUACUCUAACUCAGAGAUGAGAUCUUAUUUAAAAGCAUGUGUACAUCAAUUUUUAAAAAUAUUGCAACAACUUAUGAUCCAUAGCUGAGUCUAUCCUUGCUUAGGGACGAGCAAGAGGUAAGCUUGGGGGAGUUUGUUGACGGUCCUUAAGUAUCAAAUUUAAUUAUCAAAUAAAUAAAGAAAAGGAUCCAAAUGAAAUCAACAUCUAGAUUUAGUGUUUUAUCUGACAUAAUUCCAUGAGUUUUGGUGUUUGUCUAUUUCUGCAGGGGGUUAUCAGGAAAUACGGAAGAAAGGCCCACACGUCGGGAUUACGUAAAGAUAUUAACGUGCUGCGCAAUUAUCUUACAUCUAGAAGACUCCAGAAGCCACGAGACCGAAGUGGAGGCAAAACAGGGCCAGAGGCAGGGCGCCCGCCCUCUCCAGGAGUCCAAUCAGGACUCUGCUUUGCGGGAGAUCUCCACCGACCUAAAGGAUGAAUCUAAACCAUACAAUCUAUGUCCGUUUGAUCCAACGGCCCAUAUUCACUUGAAGGGACUAUAAAACCAGACCCCCUGGCCCCUGGAGGAGAGAGCCUCUCAACCCUAAUUCAUUGUUCCAUCAAGGGAGAAGAAGCCUCUGAUCAAGAUUAGAGCCAACACAUCAAUUAGAUAUCUAGAUUAGCAUAGCUACAGAGGAAUAGAACUAGAAGGAGUCAAUCUUCGAUUGGUUUCCAGAUCUGUCAGGAGGAUUCUUGGUAAUUCUCUAAUUGUGCUUCUAAUUGCUUUCUAAUUAUCUUUGUUCUUCAAUAUUAUGAAUAUGACUUUGUUCUACUUCAAUAUAUUGCUUAUGACUUUGCUCUACUUGCUUAUAUUCAAGAUUAUAUUGUUCUUAGUUUGUCAUAGUUAUGUACUUGGCUUAGUUAGAUUGGAUCUAUAUACAUGCUUAGGAUCGUAUAGCGUUUAUCCAUCGAAUCCAUGGGUAAAUGAUAGAUAUUGUGUAGGCGUGGUGCUUAUACCGUAUUUAUCUACGAUUGUACCCAAUAUGCCAGAUCGUGGGGUGGUUCGUGAUAGUGACAGCUUCAUUGAUUCUUAUAUAGUCCCCCUCUCGUGUAUUGGGCUGGCAGAGCAACAUUAUUACAGGGGAGUGAUUGCUAUGUUUCUCAUAUUCCUUGCUAAUAUCACUAUGCAUGGGCGUAGUCUUGUCUCACAAUGAUUGCUAAGUAUGCUUGCACUAACUAUGAUAAUGACUAGACUAUGUAGUUGAGAAUAACUUAGGGAAUAUUCUUGUAGUUCAUUCUAAUACCAUGCUAAUGACUUUCUAGAGUAUCUAAUUGAGGUGCUUAUCAUAUUUAUUUUGUGGCU
Molecule: long non-coding RNA, 127316 nt
Filed under: Sorghum bicolor (sorghum)
Lineage: Eukaryota; Viridiplantae; Streptophyta; Magnoliopsida; Poales; Poaceae
Description: long non-coding RNA (SBIC_LNC000968)
Source: RNAcentral